Molecule: long non-coding RNA, 90812 nt
Filed under: Manihot esculenta (cassava)
Lineage: Eukaryota; Viridiplantae; Streptophyta; Magnoliopsida; Malpighiales; Euphorbiaceae
Description: long non-coding RNA (MESC_LNC001244)
Source: RNAcentral
CCAUUAUAAAGCUUCAUUGUCAAGCUUGAAUUGAUUAACACACAACAUGAGACCUAUAAACAUAAUGCAUGGGCUGGCUUCAUUAUUAAGCUUUGGCUUUUGAGUUGAUUGUAUGUUUCUAUCAUAGGAUGUAUUAUUGAGCCCUCACCUACAAUUUGAGGCUUUGGAUUGAUGGGUUGUCCAAUGUGUCAUCAAAGUCCCUUUACUUGAUAAUCUUUCAGUUUAUGGCAACCCAUUUCUUAAUUACUAUUCUUUGUAAUUAAAAUUUUAGUGCACAGCCACAGGAUUCUAAGUGAACAUGUGACUCGUUCAUUGAAUAACUCAUGCAAUUGCUAGUAGCUCUAUAAAGUUAGAUGAAGCAAAUCAUGCUCCUAGAGAUUUUAGGAGUACUUAUUUUAGGAAGAAACAUAAAUAUAGGAACUAACGAUUUUGCUAAGUUAGGAUCCUAUUUUAAUUAGAGUUAAGAUUCUUGUUUAUUCCUAAUUAGUUAGGAUAAUGUUCCUAAUUUGAUUAGGUUUGGAUGCUCUAUAAAGGGGCUAGCUUAUUAUUAUUUCAGCAGAUUUUGUUAUGGAUAUUUUGAAAUAAUGCAAUUUGAGAAUUAGUUUCUGGUUUUAAAAAUUCAUCUCUUGUUGGUUUGGUUUACAUUGUUAACCGAAAGGAACAGAGAUUUUUUGGUCCCUUUAAUAAACAAAUGAAAAUGUAUACACUGAAACCCAAUUAUAUUCAUGAAUAAGUGUGUUUGUAUUUGUUUUACAACUAAGCUUGAUAUGAUGCUUUUUUUUAUUUCCAAAAGCGGGCAUGCAGGAAAAUAUUUCCAACAAAAGUAUAAGAAAAAAUUAUUUUCCCAAUAAGGGUGAAUUUGACCCGUCAAUUAUCAAUCAUGAUUCAAAAACACAUUAUAGAAUAUGGAUAAAAUUUUAAAGCUCAUGUGAGCAAGUUGUGAAAAAAGAUUAUGAUUUGUACAACUCGAGAAAAAGAAUUACGACUUGAGCAAGUCGUAAUAGGCCAACAAUAUUAGUUGUGAGCCAAGCUCAUGACUUGAGCCAUCUUAUACUUUUCACUAUUUUAUUUAUUUUCUACUUGCAAAAAUCAAUUUUAAAUAGUUAAACACUAUGUAUUUGUUCUCCUUACUGCAUUAUUGAUUUUUCUAAUGCAAAAGUUUUAUUUUUGAUGCAGAAAUAAUUUAGAUUUCAAAAUAUUAUGUUAUUGUAUUGAUUUUCCAUAAUUUUCUAAAAUGUCUAGCUAUUUAAAAUGGAUUUUUAAAUGUAGAAAAAACUAAAAAGAUGGCCAAUUUGUGGGCUUCACUUACUUCUAGUCAUUUGCCAAGUCAGCAAGUCACAUUUUAUUUCACGACUUGUACAAGUUAUACCUUUCGUUAUCACCUUACGAAAAAUUGUGAAGUAUGAAUAUGUUAGAUACUCGAUUCAUUUAAUUCAUACACUUCUCUAAAUCUAAAUAACUUGAUUUUUUUUUUUUAAUUUUCAUUUUGAAAGAUUGUUUAUCAUUUCUUUUCAGCUCAUUAUGCUUUAAAAUUUUGCUUCUCUUCUUACUCCUGUUUUUGAACCACGACUUGGCUUUGACUGAUACUAUGUGGCCAAAAUACCGCUAUUAGAGAAAUAAAUUUUUUGGUCAUCCCUUUUCUGAAAAUGCUUUUUUUAUUUGCACCAUUAGGGAAAAGAGCUCCUUCAUAUGAGUCGAUACAUAAAUUAUUUUAACCUACAAUCUUUCGUCUAGUAGAAAAGUAAUCUAAAGUUAAAGUAUGUUUUGAGACCUUUGCUGUAGUAGUCAUGUGAAUAAAAUAAAAAAAUUAAACUAUAACAUAUUGAAUUUGGAAUAUAAGUAAUUGAGCUAUGAAAGAAAAGUUAAUUAGAGGAACAUGGAUACAAGUUAUGUAAGGGGGGCAUCACCUCCUCUUUAUGAGGAGGCCUCAAUUUCAUUGGAAAUUUGAGACCAUUUGGCCCUUCUGGAUGAAUCUACUGCUGUGGAGUCUUUAAUUUUUUAGUGGUAAUUUCAUGAAAAGUGACAUGUGGUUUUGCACUUUAUAACUCAAGGGACAAAAGUUUGUCUUUCAUAAAAAAGGUACCAAGUAGUUAAGCGCCAUUAUUCUAUCCCUCCUCCUGUUAAUGGCUUGCUGAUGUAGUACUUAAUUUAAUAUGGAGGUUUAAUGGCAUUAUAUGGCAGCAAGGGAUAAAGUAAAGGUGAAAAAUCAUAGGGUACUUGUUUGAUGAAAAACCAAACUUGAGUGACAAAGUGUGAAAGUUGUAGAAAGAUUAUUUGAGCACUGUUAAAAAAAAAGUUUCUUCCUUAACCCUUGAUCAUAGUACUAAGCUUGGCAUCUUCUAUUCAAAACAAGAUUGAACAGUGAAAUUUGAACUUAGUUUGUGCUUGAGUUAACUUAGAAUAGGACAAAUUAGCUUGAAUACUAAUCAUACUCAGCUCGGCUUAGCUCAUUUGCACCCUUAUGCACAUUAAAGUAGCAACAUCCAAGCCUAAAAUGAAGACUAAUUAUGUAUUGUAGUUGAAAUGAGGAUUUAUCAUGUCAACUGGCUGUCACUAGUUACUAGAUAGAAGCUUAAUGAACUUCCAAAUUAUAGUCAAAGCAUGUUGGUUAUGUUAUUCCUGCAUUUUAUUUUUAUGUAACAUUAUCUCAUGCAUUUUCCUUGGCCUUAUCAGGAGUCUCAGAAACUGUAAUUUGCAAGGUCCAAUCCCUGAUCUGAGUAGGAUAACAAACCUUGGAUAUAUGUAAGUAUAUAUCUUGAGUUUUCCUUUAUGAAACAUUAAUUGAAAAUUAUGGGCUUUCCAAUUGGAAGUUGGAAUGCAUAGACUGGAUAAGCUUUUAUUUAUUCCUAUUUUGAGAUCUGUGCUGGUUCAUCUUUUCACUAUUUUGAUUUAAUUUUCAGAGACCUUAGUUCAAACCAGCUAAAUGGAUCCAUACCUACUGAAAGGCUUUCUGAGAAUAUUACAAACAUGUAAGAUUACACUAUCUUGCACUUGUAGCACUAUUUGCACUUUGUAGAAUUGGUUUGAAUAAAAUGUAUGGGUAUUUUCUUAAAACAAUCCCAAAGUGUCUUUGAAAUCCUGAAGGUUAUGCUGUUGUUAAUUUUUCUUCAGUGCUGAUGUUCACUAGCUAACCAAUAUUUACAGUGAUUUAUCUAACAAUGAUCUUACUGGAAGUAUUCCUGCCAACUUUUCGAGCUUGCCUAAUCUUCAAAGAUUGUGAGCAUUUUCUUAACUCUCAUUUCUUAAUUGUUACAAUAGGUUUUGCUGAGCAAAAUUCUUGUCUCUAUUAAAGCAGUAAGGUUUUGAUUCUAAUAAAUGCAUAUGGAAAAAGAAAAAUGAACUCUGUUCUCUGUAGUAAAAUAAAUGGCUUAACCUUCUUCCAUGACAGGUCAGUUGCAAACAAUUCAUUGAGUGGCUCCAUUCCAUCUACCCUUUGGCAAAGUCAGACUUUGAAUGCAUCUGAAAGGCUUAUCUUGUAAGAGCCAAAAUGAAAAUGUCAUUUUUUUUUCUUGGUAAAACUGCAGUCAGAGUUUAAAGGCCAACACAAAUUCCAGUUUGUGAACUCUCUUGAACAUCUAUUAUUGGUUUCUAAGAUAAAGAUUUUAUAUGUCAACAUGUGAUAGAGUGAGAAGCAAUUAAGAAUGUAUACAACAAGGACAAGUGUUAAUAUUACUUAAAAAGAACCUCCUCAGAGGAUACAAUAAGAAUUUUAGGAGUAAUCUCCUGUCUAGCUCAAGCUAGCCAAAGCAGUAAUGCAUUUUAGAAAAGAAAAUAAGAAGACAAGUAAUAAGAAGACAAGUCAUACACUUCACUGUGACUACCCUUUUAUUUAUUGUUGACCAACAUAAAAGAGUUCCUAAUUAGGAGGAUUCAGGUAUUUGAGAUCCUAAUUAGGUUUGAUUAUAGAGCUUGAUUAUAUGAAUUUUAUUCUUAUUGUAAAUAUUUCUAAUUUAGGUUGAUUCUUUGUGUAUAAAUAUUCAAACCUUGUAAAAAUCAAUUCAAUUAUAAUAGAAUAAAAAAUUCCUUCCAAAAUUCUUCAGUUCCUCCCAAAAUUCUUCAUGGUAUCAAAACUUUUUCCUGAUUUUAGGGUUUAAAUUUAAUUUUUUCUCUUUAAGGUUUCAAAACCCUAGAUCUACCUUUUUGAUACUACCUAUUUAGAGACCUUUUCACACCUCACCAUCGGCACCAAGAGGAUUGCCGGACCGUCGCUAGCCAGACCGCCCAGCUGCAAUGCUGCAAAGUCAUGUGCGUGAGGCUCGCGCUGCCACAGCUUCUGCGUCUCCUUCCACGCGCUGGCGCGUGAGCUUUCCUCUGGUGUCCUUUCCCGUCGGUGCUCCUUUUCGGGCCCUCUUUCCUGCAUGUCGCCCUUUUGACUUGCCCUGUUCGUGAUCAAAUUCUCUUUUGGGUUGUUUAAGGUGUUUUAACAGUAACUUGAUCGUUUCUGCCUCUUUGUAUUGCUAGCGCUUUUUUACCUUUAAAAUAUUAGAUAAGAAAGGCACUAAUGGAGGUGAUGUAUGUGUUUUUUAUACUAUUUGGAUUAUUGAUUCUGGUGCAAAUAGGUACAUGACGGGUUCCUCUAAAAAUUUUCUUAAUUACCUUCACAAUGUCUACAAAAGGACAAAGUCAGAGUAACCGAUAGCUCUUUUAUUCUUGUCUCUAGAACCGGAUCGAUUGUUUGUACUUCUAAUAUUAAGCUAUUCUCUGUUCUCUAUAUUUCUCGUUUUCUUAUUAAUCUUUUAUCUGUCAGUGCUCUUACCGAAACCUUUAAUAAUUGAGUUUUUUUUCUGAUCAUUGUGUUAUUGAGGGCCUUCAAACUGGGAAGAGGAUUGACUAUAGUAGACUGUUUGAUGGCUUAUAUAUAUUAAAAGGAAAUCUAGGUUUGAAUUCACCUCGGACUCUUUUUGGAAGAAAUCAGGAUGUCAACUAGGAAAUCAUACAGUGGCAUCGACGGUUAGGAUAUCCACAGAAAUCAGGAUGUCAACUAGAAAAAUCAUACAAUGGCAUCGAUAGUUAGAACAUCUAUCCUUCUUUGAUUUAGAGAAACUUUAUCCUAAUUUAUUUUUCAGGCCUCAAUGUGAUUCUUUAGUUUGUGAUGCUUGUGAGUAUGCUAUGUAUACAAGAACCUCUUAUCCCUCCAGUAACAAUAGGAGUACGAUGCCUUUUGUGACCAUCCAUUCCGACGUUUGGGGACCUACUCAAAUGGUCUCACUAUCUAGUAAUCGUUAGUUUAUUACUUUUAUUUAUUGCUUCACUCAUAUGACUUGGGUUUAUCUGAUAAAGGCAAAAAGUGAUGUGUUUUAUUGCUUUCAAUCUUUUCACAAGAUAGUUUAUACUCAAUUUGAUACUUAGAGAAAAGUUUUGAGAACUGAUAAUGGCACAGAGUACAUGGAUAGACCUUUUUUUGCUUAUCUGGAGUCUAAUGGAAUACUGCAUUAAACUAGUUGUCUUUACACUAGUCCCAAAAUGGUGUUGUUGGAAGAAAAAAUAGACACCUGUUGGAAGUAGCUCGAUUUCUCCUUUUCACUAUGAACCUUCUAAAAACCUAUUGGGAAGAUGUAGUUUUAGCUGCAGUUUAUCUCGUUAACAGAAUGCCUCUCAAAACACUUGCCUUAAAAGCCCUUUAGAGGUGCUACAAGGGAAAAAUGCUUAUACUGUUCCACUAAAGGUGUUUGGAUGCACAUGUUUUGUUCAUACUAGGACAGGUGGAAAGCUCGAUUAGAGGGCUCUUAAAUUUGUGUUUGUUGGGUACUCUCCUAUUUAGAAGGGUUACAAAUGUUACCACCCUCCAUCUCAAAAAAAUAUUUUAUCAAUAUGAAUGUUACGUCUAGAGAAAUUGAACCUUACUUCAGUACUAUUCAAUCACCUUUUCAGGGGGAGAACAAUGAGAGAGAAGAGGUGAUUCUUAGUCCUAUAACUCUAGAGUGUUUUAAUUUAGAGGAGACUACUAUACAAGGGAGACUAACGGUGACUAGGAAAAGAUAAUGAUUGGGCAUUUGGAUAAAUAAGAUUUAAGGAGAUACUCAAGAAGAGACACAACAGAAGCAAAAAAAGCCAUUGUACAGUCUACUUAGUGUCAUGAAUCUUCCUCUUCUCCAUCUGGUGAGUCAUCCCUAAACCUUAAACCCAUCGAUGAUCUGGAUAAACUAAUUGCUCAAAGAAAAGGAGUUAGGUCUUGUACAAAGCACUCUCUUUCUAACUUUCUCUCUUAUGAUUCUCUAUCUCCAUCCUAUAGAGUUUUUGUUUUGUCUAUUUUCUAUGUGUCUAUCACAUAGGAUUGGAAGAAGCUCUUAAAGAUUCUAAUUAGAAGGGAGCAAUUAUUGAAGAAAUGAAAGCCUUGACUAAAAAUAAGACAUAGAAGUUGAUGUUUCUUCCACCUGGAAAAAAACCAGUUGGCUGUAAAUGUUGUUCACCGUAAAAUACAAAGCAGAUGGAUAUAUUGAAAGAUUCAAGGCCAGACUAAUUGCCAAAGGAUACACUCAAACCUAUGGAGUGGAUUACCAGGAGAUAUUUGUCCUUGUUGCCAAAAUGAAUUCAAUCAGAGUAUUGCUAUCUUGCGCUGCCAAUCUUGACUAGGACCUAUAACAAUUUGAUAUGAAAAAUGCAUUCCUCCACAGAGACUUGGAGGAAGUGUAUAUGAAAAUUGCUCCUAGAUUUGCUGAUGAAAAAACACAAGAAAAGUUGUGUAGGCUAAAGAAGGUUUUGUAUGGGUUAAAACAGUCACCCAGAGCUUGGUUUGAUCAAUUCAGCAAAACUAUAAUUUUCUUUGGUUAUCAACAGAGCAAUGCUGACCAUACUCUAUUUAUCAGACAUCAUAAGAGUAAAAUUACUCUUCUCAUAAUCUAUGUUGAUGAUAUAAUAAUGAUAGAGAAUGACAUUGAAGAGAUAACUCGACUGAAAAAACAUUUGGCUCAAAAGUUUAAAAUUAAAGAUUUAGGAAAAAUUUUAAGAUUUCCUAGAAAUCGAGGUUGUCAGAUCAAAGAAGGGAAUUUUUAUUUCUCAGGAAAGAUACAUUCUGGAACUUUUGAAAAAAAUUGGUAUGUUAGGCUGUAAACCAGUAGAAACUCUCAUUGAGAGCAAUCACAAGCUACAAAUAGGAAUUGGUGAAUCGGUGGAUAUUGUCAGAUAUUAGAAGUUAGUAGGCAGACUGAUUUAUUUUUUACAUAUUCGAUCAGACAUAACAUAUGCAGUCAGCUUAAUCAGUCAGUUUAUACAUGAUUCUCGUAAGUCUGACAUGCAAGCUGUUUUUCACAUUUUGCGAUACUUAAAGUUUGUUUCUGGAAAAGGUUUCUUAUUCUCUAAACACGAUCAUCUCCGCAUACACACAUUCAAGAUGCAAUUUGGGCUGGAUCCCAUGAUGAUAGGAGGUCGACUAGUGGUUGCUGCACACUUGUAGGAGGAAAUCUUGUCACUUGGAGAAACAAAAAGCAAAGUGAUGUUACUCGAUCAAGUGCCAGGGUGGAGUAUAAAGCGAUGAUACAAGGUGUCUGUGAACUCUUAUAGUUGCAGAGAUUAUUGGAGGAAUUGAAACUAUUGGAGAGAGACAAACUCCUCUUAUACUGUGACAACAAAACUGCCAUCAAUAUAGCCCACAAUCUGGUUCAAUAUGACUGAAUAAAACACGUAGAGAUUGAUCGACACUUUAUUAAAGAGAAGUUAAUAAAUGAUAUUUUGAUAUUAAAUCAUGUGACUUUUAAUGAACAGAUAGCUGAUGUGUUUACCAAAAGACUCAACAACAAAAUCUAUCACAUCUUAAUUUGCAAGUUGGUCAUGUGUGAUAUCUAUGCACCAAUUUGAAAGGUAGUGUUGACCAGCACAACAGGUUUCCUAAUUAGGAGGAUUCAGAUCUUUGGAAUUCUAAUUAGACUUGAUUAUAGGAAUUUUAUUCUUAUUAUAAAUAUUUCUAAUUUAAGUUACUUCUUUGUGUAUAAAUACUCAAACCUUGUAAAAAUCAAUUCAAUUAGAAUAGAAUAAAAAAUUCCUCCCAAAAUUUUUCAGUUCCUCCCAAAAUUCUUCAUUUAUUUAUACCCUUAUCCCAAGCAGCAAUCAUUUCCAAGUGAUUGUCAUCCAUGAUUCCCGCUAAUUGUAUUAUCCCCUUUUGUCUGCAUUCUCAGCUGUCCCGAUUCUCCCUUUUUCCUGGACUGAUCUCCUAUGUCUCUCUUCCUUCGCCUAUAGUAGACCCUCAAAGGUUUUGGAUUGCUAACAACAUAACUUUUAAGAAUGAACAUUUAAUCUCUAGGAUCUGCUAUAAUUUUGUAGUAUCUCACAUCCCUUUUUCUAAUGAAUGGUUUUUCCACUCUUUGAUAUUGCAGGGAUUUUGAGAACAAUAGACUGACAAACAUUUCCGGUGAUGGCACUAUCAGUCUCCCUCAGAAUGUUUCACUAUGGUUUGCUUAUCUUUUCAUAUAACUUUGUGUCUUUAUGUUCAUGAUGUACAUGUUUACCAAUACACUUCCUAAUAGUCCUGAAUAAUGUUCAGGCUACAAGGCAAUCCUGUAUGCUCAACUUCCAACCUGGUUCAAUUUUGUGGAUCUCAAAAUGACAAUGUAGACAACCAGGGUUCGGCAAACACUACUGAGGAUUGUCCCCUUCAAGCCUGUCCUUAUACAUAUUCCCCAACAUCUCCUGUGCGUUGUUUUUGUGCUGCCCCUCUGACUGUUGGAUAUCGAUUGAAAAGUCCUGGAUUCUACGAUUUUUUAGAAUACAAAGAGCUGUUUGAAGUGUAUUUGACCACUGGUCUGAACUUGGAGGUUUAUCAGCUAUACCUUGAGAACGUCCAAUGGGAAGAUGGACAUAGAUUGGAAAUGCAACUUCAGCUAUUUCCUCUCUAUGAUGCUAGCAACAAGAGUUCUCAUGUCUUUAAUGCAAGCGAGGUUCUCCGUAUCAGGAGCAAGUUCACCGACUGGACUAUACCUGAUAGUGUUAUAUUUGGACCUUAUGAGCUUCUGAACUUCCCCCUGUUGGACCCUUAUAAUGGUUUGUCUUAAACAAAAAUAGUGCCUAUUUUAAUUCAGCCUUCUUAUAUCUUAUCUGGUAGAACAUGUGAAAUAAUUUGAACUUGGUGUCACGUUUUUAUGCACUUUUCAAGUGAUUAAAUAGUAAUUCUGGAUUGCCUUAUUUUAUUUUUUUUUCAGCUCAAGGAUUGUGAAAAGUUACCAUACUUCAUCUAUUAGCAAUAAGAUGAACUUUAACUUAGUUCUUUUGCAUGCAUUUAACAAUAUUGAGGAGCAGUUAAGCUGUAUUCACUUAUUUCUUGCAUAAACAUGUCCUCUAAUGUGCAUUUGUAAUGCCAGGAAGUACUUUAUGCUUGCUGAAUAAUCAUAGGAAGAAUUCGCUAUACUUAACAUAUAAUUUUGUGAUAAUCUUGGUUGUUGCAUAUUUGAAGCUUGCCUGUACUUAUCGAUGUGGAGAGGUGUUAUUCAGUUUUGUGCAAUAUAUUGUGUCAAGGGUAAAGCACCUCUUGUUGGUGUCAUUUGGACUUCAUCAUGUCCAUGCAUGUCAUGCCUUUGCUAUAACCUAUAAUGAAACUGAAUGAUCAUAAAGCUUAAUUUAAUAUGAAUUUUGAUGUGCUGACGAACAAAAUCGUAAGUUAUGCAUCUAGCUUAGUUUCUCCUACACAAGGAUGUGACAGAGUUGCUGCAUAAAUUUGAUGAUGUUUUGCUUAUGGUUCUCAUGAUGUUGCAGUGUUUAUAACCUCACCAUCAUCAUCUGGUAUCAGCAAGGGUGCCUUGGCUGGCAUAGUAUUGGGUGCAAUUGCUGGUACAGUUACAUUAUCUGCAAUUGUUUCACUUAUUAUCCUGAGGAGAUAUAUGAGAGGCUACCGUGCAAUUUCAAAAAGACGUCAUGGUAAGUAUUUCCUAUUACUAGAUUGCAAAUGCUUAUAAAUUAUGUUUGUCCAUGAUGCCUUCUCAAGUUUUGGGCUAUAACAACGCAUAUUCUGAUGCCAUGUCUGUAUCGUUUAAAAUUUAAACAUAGUGUAAUAAGAUAUACUAUUUUAUUAUGUUAUUUUAAGAGAUUGAUGGGUAAUGCUGUUCAAGUGUUUGAAAGUAAGAUCUGUUGGUCAAAAUAGUUCCAUGUCUAACGUUUGCCUCUGUUUGUGCAUAGCAUCUAAAGCCUUUCUAAAAAUUGAUGGCGUGAAGGACUUUAGUUAUGCUGAAAUGGCCUUGGCUACAAAUAAUUUUAAUAGCUCCGCUCAAGUUGGUCAAGGAGGAUAUGGAAAAGUUUAUAAAGGCAUUCUUGCUGAUGGCACGGUUGUGGCCAUCAAACGUGCUCAGGAGCAUUCUUUGCAAGGUGAGAAGGAAUUCUUAACAGAAAUAGAAUUGUUGUCGAGGCUACAUCACAGGAAUCUCGUUUCUUUGGUUGGAUACUGUGAUGAAGAAGGUGAACAGGUACCUUCCUAAUAUAUUUCCCAAAUGUUUAAAUUCAUCUUUAUUGUCUUCACAUUUUCGUUAAAUUAAUCAAAUCCUGCCUGUGUUUUUUCAUCCAUUUAGGGAGUCAAGUGAAAUCCCUGACUAGAGUAAUCGUAGGCAUAGAGUAAGCUGUAGGCAUAAGUCUCUGUUCUCUCCUGCAAUGUUGCAAGCCUCACAGUCGAAGCAUAUGUGCUCUCACCGUGUGUGAGGAAAGCCUUAAAAACUAGGCCACAACUUUGGGACAAUUGUUCCGACUUUGACAUACGUGGAAGGCUUAUAUUUUAUUGUUCUGAUUGCUGAAUAAUUUCAAGAAAAAUAAAGAAACAAUUCAAUCUAGAAAUGAUAUUUAGGAGCCGCAGGAAUUGUUCUAUUUUUUCUACAUUUCCUUUCAAGUGAUUCCACCGACAAGGAAAACUUUGGCAUUCUAUGCCAGAUAUAUAACUCUUUUGUUCUUUUUAUUUAUCCUGUGAUGUCAAAAAUUAUCAUUUGAGAAAAGCUUAUCAUGUAUUCCAUUAUGCCUGCAGAUGUUGGUUUAUGAGUUUAUGUCAAAUGGCACCCUUAGAGAUCAUCUUUCUGGUACAAAUAAUUUUCUACUUGGGGUUCCUUUUUAUUAUUAUUUGUCAUUCAGUAAGCAAGAACCAGCUAAAGUAGAUAUCUCUUUUCUUUCUAUAUAAAAUCGUCAAUUUAAUUAUAAUUUUCUAUAUACUUGUGUAUUGAGUAUUGUAGCUGAUUCAUCUUGUCUGUGGGUGGUAUCACAGCCAAGUCUAAAGAACCCCUGAGUUUUGCAUUGAGAUUGAGAAUUGCCUUGGCUUCAGCAAAGGGCAUCCUCUACCUACAUAAAGACGCAGAUCCCCCAAUUUUCCACCGAGAUAUCAAGGCAAGCAACAUAUUACUCGACUCUAAUUAUAAUGCAAAGGUUGCUGAUUUUGGACUUUCAAGGCUGGCUCCAGUUCCUGAUAUUGAAGGUUCGAUCCCAGCUCAUGUGUCCACAGUAGUAAAGGGUACUCCUGUAAGUUUAUUUUCUCUGGAAAGACUAUCAAAAUUUCCAAGUUUCCCUUCUUCAGUUAGUUGACGUUGUUCGUCUUUGUUCCUCUUUUUUUUACCAUUAGCACCCAUUUUGUAGUGUGUCCACAUUUGGACAUCUUUGAUACGAUUAAUGAAUUUCAUCACAGUUUAUUAACCUGCAAAUGGGUAGGAGAAACAACAUUUGAAUCUUAUCUGUUCAGUUCAUUCUCCAAAAUCCACAAGGAAAAAGCUAGUUAAAUUUGUGAUAUCCUGAUGUCUCAAAUAUUAUUUUGAUUUUGCAGGGUUACCUUGAUCCAGAAUACUUUUUAACACAUAAACUGACAGACAAGAGUGAUGUUUAUAGCCUUGGUGUUGUAUUUCUGGAGCUGUUGACAGGGAUGCAACCAAUCUCGCAUGGAAAAAACAUUGUCCGAGAGGUAAUAGCUUACCACCAAAAUGAAGUUCAAGUCUGUCUUACACGUAGUAAACAUUGGAAUAAAUUAGAUCUACAUGACAUCUCUUCAUUUUCAAAGAAUUCGAUGAAAAUGUAGAAACAAAUGUUUGAUAUUUAAGGCUCCGUUUGUUUCAUAGAAAUUUUUUUUUUGAGGAAAAUAUUUUCCGUAUUUUCUGGUGUUUGGGAUCCUUAAAAAAUUUAGUCAAUCAAAAAUAUUUUUUUGAUAAAAAAAAAAUAAACAAUUUUAAGGAAAAUGACUUCUUCCUUUCAAAAAAGGAAGUUAUUUUUCUUAAAUUAAUUUUUUUUUCACUAAGAAAAUAUUUUUCGUUGAUUAAAUUUUCUCAGUGUCCCAAACGCCAAAAAAUAUAGAAAAUAUUUUACAUGCACAAAUGAGCUUAUAUGUGGUGGGUUGCAUAAAGGCUGGAUAGUGUUCUACUUUUGUGAAUAUUACUAAAUUAAGUUUUUUAGGUAAUUUUCUUAAAUUAAUAUUAACUUGGAUUAAGUACCUGGGCCAAGUCUGUUGACAUAGUUUGUUAAAUUAAUAUUUUAUGGAUUUUAUGUACAUCAGGUCAAUAUUUCAUACCAAUCUGGUAUGAUAUUCUCUGUGAUUGAUGGACGUAUGGGUUCUUAUCCUUCCAACUCUGUGGAGAAAUUCUUGAAUUUAGCAAUCAAGUGCUGUGAGGAGGAUACAGAUUCAAGACCUUCAAUGGCAGAUGUGGUCCGAGAACUUGAAACUAUAUGGCUGAUGGUCCCAGAGUCUGACAAGAAAACAACAGAUACAGUUAUCAGUGAUCCUGAAAAGUUAGAAAGUUCAUCACCAUCUUCAUCAUCAAUGGUGAAGCAUCCUUUCAUGUCGUCUGAUAUUUCCGGUAGCGAUCUCGUGAGUGGAUUUAUUCCUAGCAUCACUCCCAGAUGAAUGGCACUGUGGGAACAUUUAAUAAGAACUGCUGACUAUGAAGUGCCUUGGUGUACUUUGUUUGUAAAGGUAAUAGAUAGACUUGAUGUUAAAUAUCUGAAGUGAUACACUCAACCAAUAGUAUUACAAAAAUUAAAACUUAAAAUUAUCUUAAAUUGCCACGUAAGUUGUAAGUGGUUAGUUUUAAAUUAUAUGAUAAUUUUGUGAUUGUGUUGGUUGGCUGCAUAAUUGUGGAAUCGAGAUACGAAAUUUUUGUUUUAUAAAUUGAAAAUUAAAUAUGUUAAAAUUUUUAAAAAUUAAUUAAAAAUAAUAUAUAUUCUAAAAAUAAGUAAAUAAUAUCAUAAUAAUAUAUUUUGAUAAGCACAGAAUUAUCAUUUAUUUAAUUAUAAAUAUUCUUCAUAAUAAAAUAAUAUAUAUGUAUUAUGUUAUAAAUUAUGAAAUUUAAAAUUAUUGACAAUAAUUAUCACCAUAUAUAUAUACACCGAAACUUUCAUUUAAAUUUAAUUAAAUAAAGUAUAUUAAAAUUAAUAUAAAUUAUCUUAAAUAACUAUAAUUAGUUAAAUAAAUUAACUAGAAAAAAAUUUAAAAAAAAAUUUAUAUACACUUUUUAUAGCGAAAAUGAGUAAAGAUUUUAAAUUUUAAAAAUAUUAAAUCUAGCAAACGUUUUAUAAGUAAUUAAUUGAAAUAGGUGAAAAUUCGAUUAAUUCAUAUUGAUUCACCUUAUUCACUAUUAAUUUUUUUUAUUUAAUCAUAAUUCAUAUAUCUUAUAGAUUUUUGAUUCACCUUAUUCACUAUUAAUUUUUUUUAUUUAAUUAUAAUUCAUAUAUCUUGUAGAUUUAAAUCGUUAGGAUAUAGAAUUUAAUCAAGAAUCUUAAGACUCAAACUAAAAAUCGUAAGAUUCAGGUACAUUUAAGAUUUACUCUCUAAAUUCAAAACGAUUUGUUGGAAAAUAGAUUUAAAUUGUAAAAUUCUAACAAUAAUGGUUAGGUGUACUAUCUCAAUACGAUAAGAUGAAAUAGUACGUUGAUUGUGUAUAUUUUGAAUUUUCUGUAUAUAUUCCUUUGAAAAUAAUAUAAUAUUUAUAUAUAAGAUAUUCUAUAAUUAUGUAUUCUAACUUAGGAAAGUAUCCCUAAAAUUAUGCUAAUUUUUAUUAUAUAGUUGACUUACUGUAACACUCUACCUUAAAUUGGAGCAUAUAUAUUUAUCAUAUUCAAUUUAUUAUUAAUGUAAUCAAUUCUAAUUCUAUUUAGACCCUUUAUGAAAAUAUCACUUAAUUGUUCUCCAGUCUUAACAUGUCCAGUUGAGAUGACCCGUUGUUGAAUCUCCUCAAGAUUGAAGUGAUAAUCAAUUUCAAUAUACUUGGUUUGUUCAUGAAACACUGGAUUAGAAGUGAUAUGAAGAGUUGCUUGGUUAUCACACCACAACUUAGUAGGUGAUCAGAUUUUAAGACCGACUUCAUCCAAUAAUUAGUAUAUCCAUAUUUUUUAUGACUUAUUUGAAAUAGAUUUAUUCCACAUUGAGAGCAAUGUGAGUUAAGUAUAGAGGAAGAGUUUAGAGGGAAUAUUCUAAUGUCCAUUGAUAUCUAUUUGCUUUAUAUUUCUUUAGUUUAUUUCUUUUCUUUUAGCUUUAUUUUCUUUAGUUUUAUUGUUUUAUUUUUAUUUGUUUUACGUACUAUUUUGUUUAUUUUAUUUUAUUUUCUUUCUAUAUUAAAAAUAAAGAGUUAUGACUUUUAAAGUUAUAUUGAAUUUCAUCAUGUGGCUAGUACAGAUGGCUUUCUCUUAUGUUUUUAUACAAAUCAUGAGUAAUUUCAACAUUUACCUUUACUAAUAGGAAUGUGCGAACUCCUAUUUAAAUGAAGUGAAAUUGCCUAUUAAAAGAUCUAUUAAUGCAUUCUAAAACUUUGAUUUAACUUGUUUUGGUGAGUCUCAUUUAAGAACAAUGUCCCAAGAAACUUAGAAUGUUCAAAACUAAAAAGAAAAAUAAAUAAAUAAAUAAGUGAUUCACCAAGAUCGGCUAAUUUAGGUGGUACGACACUUGUUUCCUUAAGCAAAGGAUGUCCCUUGUGGAUGGACCCAUAGAGACCGUCAAUAGUUCAAAAUACACUACUAACAAGAUAGUUUAUCAUCACUAGUUGGUUUUUGUGGUUUGGACCUAUUCUCCUUGAGGGAUGUCCCUUGUUAAUGGAAAGAACUAGUAUUGAGAGAGUACACCGUCAUAGGAUUUUUUGACUUUGAGGACCAUGUUGAAAUUUCUUUUAUGCCUUGAAUACAUUGAUGAGAUCUUGCUACUGAAUGCUAGUUGUUUAAUGUACUUUAGUUUAACUCUUUGAGCCAUAAAAAUUUUAACGGUUGAGUAGAUGGAUGUAAAUUUUUAGACAUAGAAAGAUUGGUGGGUUUUGCUUUUUGGACAUAGAAAGAUUGGUGGGUUUUGCUUGAGGACAAGUAUGAUCUAAAUGUGGAGGAAUUAAUAAUCUGCAUAUUUUGUGUUAUCUUUAUUUUAAAUACUUAAAUUUUGAGUUAAAGUAUACUUAAACAUGCUUAUUUAUUUGAGUAUUCAUAUUUUGAUAUGAUAAGUAAAAAUUAGAGAAAAAGAGGGCAAAAAUUAUAUUUGAUUUGGAUAUUGAAGCUGAAAGAGUCAUGGGCAUAACUUGGCACAUGAGGAAAUAGAGUCCAUCUCAAACUUUGACUCUCGGAUCAAUAAAUACAUUUUUCCAUGGGUUAAGUUAUGAGCAUAACCAACCCCACGAAAAAAUGACAUAAACCUAAUUGGGAAGAACUUCUCAAACAUGUGAUUGAAAAAGAGUCCUCCACCUAACCAAUUAGAAUUCAUCUCAUUUUUGGAAGCAAAUACAUAAGAUAUGAAGAGGAAUUUUAGAUAGAUCAAACACAUAUUUUCUAUUUGUUUAGUACUUCUAGUAAUUAAGGAUUUAUUAUUAGUAUUUAAAGUAUAGUAUUUUAUAAACAACAUUAUCUUCUACUUUUGAAUACUUCUACUUAUUGUGUCUCACCUAUGAACAUUUGUGGCUAAAUUCUCUUUUCAAUUGAAAGAUAAUUGAAGUUUCAGUUCAAUUGGUUAGGAGAUUUAAUUAUUUUAAUUAUUUUUUUAUUUUCUUUUGGUAUUUAUAUGUUCUUGUGACUAUUGUUUAUUAUUAUUGUAUUAAUUGUUGCAAUAAGAAUCGAUUAGUAGUUGCUAGAACAAUACAUUGAUAUUCAGAUUGAUUAAAUCUGUAAUUAUUUAAUUUAAUAGGAAACAAGUGGUAAAUUAAGUUGCGUAAGGCUUUCAUAAAAAUAAUAUAAUAUAAUUUAAAUGAACCGAGUGCCUCACAUUUAUUAGCUAGAAUCAAGUUCUUUUAAUUUUUAAUAUAGUAAUUAGAUUAAAUUUUAGAAGUAUAGUUAUCCAAAAGUUAUAACUAGUUAACCAGUAUCCCUUAACUAAUUUAAAAAUUAAGGUGGUAUUUGGUAUUUAAAACAUUUUUAAUAUUUAUAAUUGGUUUAUCAAGAACUAAUUUAGAAUUAUCUUGAUAUUUAUUAUUAAUCAAUAAAACUAAAACUGAGAUUAAUCCUUUAGCUCAAUUCAUCUCAAGUGAUUUUCUUUUCUAAAUUUAAUUAGUUUAUUUUUUUUAAAUUUAUUUAAUUUAUUUUUUUAUUAAAUUAAUUUUUAUUUACUUGCAUUGAAAAUCGUUCAUUUUAUUUUUAUUUUUAUAUUUUCUAUCUUUUAAUUAAAUUAAAUUUCUCACUUUUUUUGAUCAAUCUUACUCACCAUUAUUAUAAUUUAUUUUAUUUUAAAAAAAUAAAAAUUUAUUUUUAUGAUUUUGACACUCAUAAAAAAUAUUAUUUCACUAUCAUAUUUAUUAUGUUUUAUUUAUCUCUACUUUUAUACUUUCACAGUAUAAUAUACAUAAAAGUGGAAAGAGAGAAAAUAUUGUGAUUAGUUAAUAUACUUUUAGUUAGAUUAGAUAAUUACAAUUUUUUUUUUUAUUUUGAUUGGUUUAAAAAAUAACAUAAUAAUGUAUUAUUAUUUUAAAAUCUUUAAUUUAAAUGGUGAAGUGAGUUUUUUUUUAAUUUAAAUUUUAUUUAAUUAAUCGAUAAGAUUUUAUUAUGUUUAUUUUAAAUUUAAAUUAUGAACUUUAAAAUAUUUAUUUUAAUUAAAUGGAUUUCCUAUACAAUUUCAAAUUCUAAAUUUCGUGAUGGAUAUAAUUUUGUUAUUAUUUUUACAAAUAAAGUUAUACUUAAAUUAUUUUUUUAAUUUUUUAUUAUAAUUCAAAUUAUAAAAAAUAAAAUAAAAUCGUCUAAGAAGAAAAUUUUUAAUUUUUUUAAACUUCUCAAAUUAAAUACUCAACUUAUGUAAACUUAAGCCGUUUAUGAAAAACUAAAUGUUAUCAUUAAAUUGAGUAAUAUAUAUAUAAUAGAAAAAAUUACUAAUUAGUUUUAUGGUAGGGAAAUUUUUUUUUUGAAAGCAAAACUCCUGAUUGUAUUAAUAAAAUUCUAUCAAACAAAGAGAGAUAUCAUCCCAAAUAGAUAAACGAUUAUACCUAAUAGAUUUUCUAGUCAAAGUAUGUGCAGUUAGAGUAGCAUUACGACGAAUCCAUCUAACAGAAAUAUCAGUUCUAGGGUCUAACAAAGAUUUACAAUCAUUCAAAAUCAAACUCCUGCAUAAGAUAAUUUGGCAAACAUGCUCUUCUUUCUUUCUCAUCUCUCGAGCAUAAAUCAUUAAAAUCUCCCGAAUAAAGCUGCGGAUGAGAACUUCUAUGAGAUAAAGCUCGAAUAAGGUUCCAAGACUGACGUCAUCGUUGCGAUUCCGGAAAUCAAUAAUAACUAGUAAACCUCUAUUUAACAUUACCUUCCGAAACAACCGAAUCAAUAAAAUUUGAAGAAAAGCCAACCACAGAAACAGACACAUGACUCUUCCAUAUUAACGAAAAGUCACAUCUUAGUCCUUGUCUAUUGACUAAGAAGCAACCAUCAAAAUAUAAAAAACUACGAAAAAAUUCCAUACGAGAACUAAGACCUUUUGUUUCCAUAAAAAAUAAAAUGUCCGGUUUGUAACUAGUAACCAAAUCUUUCAAUGCAUUAACUGUCCGAGGAUUGCCGAGUCCUCGGCAGUUCAUACAGGACGAUCAUUGCUUUCGACUAUCCCGACCUUUGACGGGAUGAGCCGCUUUACUGUUGCCUGUCAAAUUAACCUCGGCAGUUCCAAUACAGGACGAUCAUUGCUUUCGACUAUCCCGACCUUUGACGGGAUGAGCCGCUUUACUGUUGCCUGUCAAAUUAACAUUCCCUAUAUUCUCAAAAUCAACAUUAUUAAAAAACUGAAACAGAUAUCUUUUUGCCUCUAAUUGCAUAAUAGAUACCUCCUCUAAAGGAUGCCAUAAAUCUGCUAAAGAGGUUUGCAUAUUCUGAAAAUUGAUUGGAUUAUAUGUGAGAAACAUCCCCACCAUACAAAAAUCAUAAGUGAUGAUCGGAAUAUCUCUGAAGCACUUAAUAGGGACAACAACUUCUUCUUCUUCAUCGAUAGUCAAUUGACGCAGAUUGUCAUCCAUGGGGAAAGGGAAAGAAGAAGUUAGGUUUAAAGAAGAGGAAAGGCGAGAGUAUCGAGUCACAAAGGGACCAGAGGGAAACUUGUGUCGAAAGUAUGUGUGGAGAUGAAUUUAAUUUUUUUUUUUAAAUUUAGUUAAAAUGUUUCUGAUAUUUUAAAAAAUCUAAUAGAACUUACAUUAAUUUUAACGGUUAAUUAUUGCAAAAAAAUCUAAAAUAUCUCUGAUACGGAGAGACUAAAUAAUAGAUUUUUUAAAAAUUUGAGGGUCUAAUUAAUAAAUUUUUUAAAAUUAUAAAGAUUAAAUAAUAAAAUAUUUAAUGACUAAAAUUAAUGAAAUAAUCAAUAAGUAGAUUUUUUAAAAUAUCAAUGAUAUUUUAAUAAAUUUUUCAAAACCAAAGAAUCAAUUAUUGAUUUUUCUGCAUAUAAGAGAGAUUAAAUAAUAAUUUUCUCUUUAUAAUAUUUAAGAUUAAAAUUUUAUAAUAUAUUAAAUUUAUAACUACCAUUAAAGGAUAAAUUUAAUAAGAGAUAAUCAUUACCUAUCUGAAUCUAAUUAAGUUCUCACAAAAUAUAGUAAUCGAUAAAGUUUAAUUAGGAUAUGAAUUCAUGAUUUUGUGGACAUGCAUAUUAUAAAUACAUCAACUACUCAACAAAAUUAAAAUAACAUCAUACUACAUUAUUUAUAUCAUACAAUAGAAAAAAAAAAUAGUAAUCAUUAUAAAAAAUAAGGUCGAUAUUGCUUCAAAAAAAAAAAAAAGGUUGAUAUUUAUUUGGAAGACACUGUACGUGUGCAUGCAAUUAUUCAUAUUCUCUAAUCCUAUUAAAUUUGCACCAUAAACUCUUCAAGUUUCAAGCAUACACUCAACCUUUCAGAUUUCAUCUACACUAUCAGCUUCUCAUGUCCUAAGAGUGUCAUACACUCACUUUAUCUCCAAUUUGUAUGUAACCUCAGUUAAUUUAAAUUUAUGUUGAGCUUGAACUUCUGUAGAUUUACUGGUUCCUCUUACUUUAGUUUAGUAUUAUAUAAUUUUUAAUAUACAUAUAUAUAUUGUUGUUAUUUAUUUGAAACAUUUGUUUAAAUAAAAUUUAAAAGUUUAGCAAUUGUAUCUUUAAUUUUAUAAUUUUUAUACUUUAUGUUGAUUUUAUUUUUAUAAGGAAAAAUAUCUAUCAAGGAACAUACAAAUUAUUUACAUUGAUUUUCUAUAAUACUUCCCCUUGUGGUUGAGCAUAGAUGUUAAUCAUACCUAACUUGUUAUAUAUGUAAUUAAACUGAGCCUCAUUAUUGCUUUAGUGGAAAUAUUCCCUAAUUAUUCUCUAGUUUUGACAUGUCUUGUCGAGAUCAUCUUCUGUUGAAUCUUUUCGAGCAUAAAGUGAUAGUCAAUUUUGAUAUGUUUGGUCCUCUCACAAAAUAUUGGAUUAGAGACAAUGUGGAUUGCCGCUUGGUUAUCACGCCGUAAUUUAGCAGGCAAUGAGUUCCUCUUCUAGUAGUUGAUAUAUCAAUAAUACUUCAUAUACAGUUUGUCAUAAUUCGAUAUUUUAAUUCACUACUAGAAUGAGAGAUCACAUUGUUUCUUACUUCUCCAUGAUAUUAGGUUGCCUUCCAUAAAAAUACAAUAUCCUGUUAUUGACCUCCUGCCAAUUUUUAAACUUGCCUAGUCUAUAUCAAAAAAAUAUUCAAUAUUUGAAUUUCCAUGAUUACCAUAGUAGAGGCCACGCUUUGGAGCUCCUUCCAAGUGAUACAAAAUUUAUCCCAAAGCUUCCCAGUGAGUAGCUGUAAGAGAGGACAUGAACUAACUCAUUACACUAACUAAAUAUGCAAUGUCUAGUCGAGUCACCAUCAAAUAAUUCACUUUGCCAACCAAUCUUCUUGAUAAGGUGUUUAUUAUGCCUAAUUAAUACAUUUUCUUACUUGUGAAUUUGGAGUUGAUUAUGCUGAAUUAUACACAUUUCUUUCAUUUUUGCAAUAUUGACAGAUUCUAUACUCUUUAGAAAGAAAAGCCUUAAUUGAAAGAUUUAGCAGAAAAUCAGAGGAAGAAUCAUGAAGACAGAUUUCGAGUAAAGCCGACCUCUUGCAAGUGGACCUCAACAGACCUAAUCAGACCUCUCACGAAGCCGACCUCUUACAAGGCAGACUUUGUGCAUAAGACUGUGGGUACGAGUUAUGAAAUAUUACAGGAUUUUCAGGCAUGAUUGAAGAUUGUCAACUUGGAAAGGAAUGAUUUCAAAAAGAUCAUGAUUUUAGGGAUAUUUAUUUUCUUCCUCUUUAAUUUAUAAUUUUUCCCUUUUAAAAGGGGGAAGCUUCUCUGUAAUUAGGGCAUUCAGAGUUUUAUUUAGAGUUUCAGAGUUCUGUCAUGAGCUCCAAUAGCUAAGCUCUUUUAUCUAGUUAGGGAAGUUUCAAGGUGUAAUUCGUACGGAUUGUGAGAUCAAUCGAGGUUAAACCUUUCCUUCUCAUUUCUAGUUUCAAUGUUAUUCCUUUUAUUCUUAAGAUUAUUAUUUGUUUGACUGAUGCAGUCUAGCCAAUUGUUCAAUUGAAUGAAUAGUAUACAGUCAUUCAGAUUCAUUAAGUCUAUAAUCAUUUGUGAGUUUAAUAUUUGCGACAAAUAAUAUUUUAUUGUAAAAUAAUGUAUUCUGAUUUCAUAGUCGUGCUGAGUGAGCUUCUUGCUAAUGUUGUUAUCAAAUUGAAAUCUCAUUGAGCUGAUCAUGUAGUUUAUUUGAUGAUUAGGGGGGAUUACAUAGCUAAUCCUCUUCAGUCUUUUAUCUAAGGGAAGAUUAGGUUGUUAGACUAUGUCAACAACUAUAACUGGCUAGUCAGAAGUUGAAGUCGAACAUCCUUGCAUCUAUGAUCAAUCCAAAUAAUUCACACUGAGAUACUCCCGAAGCUAGAUGUUUUCUUACUCUUUUUAAUCUCUUUUAAUUAUUCAUUCUUUAUUAGUUUACUUUUUAGAUCUUCUCAAUCAAAACUCCUUUUUAUAUUUAUAGUUUAAUUUGUUUGUUUUGAAGCCGAGAAAGAGGUUGGAUAGUCAGACUCUUGAUAGGUUGAUGACUGGGUUCUUAAAAUGUGUAGUCAAUAGAUCAAAAGUCAUGACUUCAAGCCAACACGUAAGACAUCAGGCCUUCAAGACAUCGAGUCAUGCACUCAAUAGGUCGUCAUGACAGUGAAGCCAUCAAGAGGUCAAACAAUCGAAUUUCUACAAGAUUGUAGGUAGGUCUUCAGUUCAGCCAUUAGGUCGGAAGUCAGUCGGCCACCCAGUCAGGUCAGACAUCUUAUCGUAAGGGCAUAAGUACAUCAGGACGUCGGUCCAACAGUGUGGGAAGGUCGGUGACCAAGAGGUUGGUCAUCAAGUCGAUAGGUCGAAAGGUCAAAAUUCAACUCAUUGAGUCAUAUAGUCGUCAAUUGGUUAGUCGAGGAUAGGUCGAUCAUCUGGACUUAAUUUGAUAGUCACCCAGUCAGUCAGCAGGUCUUCUUGCGUCUUCUCCUGCAUCUAUUCUCAUGAGUAAAAUUAUAGUUAACCCUUUCACUGUGGAUUCAACCCUACUUACCAUAUCUACAAAUCAUAAUUGCAGGAAAGAGUAGGAUUUAUUUUUGGCAGAUUUGACACCCACCACUUAUAUACAUUUUAGGGUCUGUAAAUGGCACACUAUUAUCUACGAUAAGUUGUAGAUUCGGAAGCAUGAUGCACUAUAAAGCUUAAUACCCAAUUUUUCUAUUUUUGCCAACAAAUCAAAGAUAUAUUUCCUUUGAGAUAAGAAAAUAUAUUUCUUACAUUCAGUAACUUCAGUGUCCAAAAAAUACUUCAAGGAGCUCAAAUCUUUUGUAUGAAAUUAUGACUUGAGGAAAGAUUUUAGAGAUGUAAUGCUUAUAACAUCACUACCCAUGAUAAUAAUAUCAUCCAUAUGCAUUGCUGAUAGGAUUAAUCUACCAUCAAAAUACUUUUAAAAGACUAAGUGAUCAUAUUUGCUCUUUUGCAUGCCAAACUAUUGUAUUGAUUCGCUAAAUCUCCCAAACCAAACUUAGGUUGUCUAUUUCAAGCUAUAGAGAUUUACAAAGUAUGCAAACCUUGUCUAACUUCCUCUUAGCAACAAAACUAGGUGGUUGCUCAAUAUAAACUUCUUCUUGAAUAUCACCAUAAAGAAAAACAUUCUUUUUGUCUAGCUAGUGUAAGGAUUAAAAGAAAAAGUACAAAAGUUAGAAAAUAAUUCUGAACGAAUUUUCAUUAAAAAUAACUAUGUAGUUUUGGAGAAGUUAUCAAUAAAGAUAACAAAAUACUUAAAAUCAGACUUAAAAACAAUAAAACAAUGAUCCUAAACAUCUAAAUGCACUAACUCAAAAGGAGACGAAAUCCAUUUAUUGACUAAGAUAUUAUAGAUAAAUAAUGAUACUUGGUAGACUGACACGGCUCAUAAUUUAAAGCAGACAAUGACUCGAUGUAACACUCUAAUUUUUUUUAGAGAAAAUAAUAAUAAUUAUUACUAUAAAAAAAAUGAAAAGACAAUUUAUAAAAACUUUUGGAAAAAGGUUUAUUUAGUUUCAAAUUUAGACAUAAAAGUGAAGAUAUAGAAUUUUUUAUUAGAAAAUUUGAGUUAUAAAAUAAUAAUAAAUAAGGAAUAAAAUGAAAUUAUUCUAAAUGGUAGGUGGCUGCCAUGUUUCAAAUUGUAGUGCCACGUUUCUCUUCUCUAAUAAUUCUAUUUAUAAAUAUAUAUAAAAAAGAAAUAAAAGGAAAAUUACAAAAGAAGUUGGCUGCCAUCUAAUAAUUCUAUUUGAAUUUUUAAUUAUACAUUUAAACUUUAAUUAUGAAAAGUUGACUAUGGACGUAAGAUGAAAGGGUGUUGAAAUUCAUGAUUGUCCAUACAUAAUAAUUAAGGAAAUGAAUAUGCAGUCUUGCUAUAUAACUAUAUUAUGUAUAGUAAAAAGGAGUUGAGGAUUUAGAAUUGAUAUAAUCAAAUUUUAUAUAUAUAAGCAUUAAAUUAGUAUAAUUUUAUAUUUUUAUUAAUUAUAAAAGUUGCGUGAAUUUAAUCUUUUAUUUAAAAUACGUAGGCAGUCUUGCAUGUAGUGCAAAGAAAGUAAAUUUUAUUUUCUUAAUUUUUAUUUUAUUUUUUUUCUCAAUUUGUUUUAUUACUCAUCUUUUGUAAGCAUAUAAAUUGUAAUACCCGGCUGGAGUCCGGCAUCGGAAUUCUGCUUUCCAGUGAGAUCCGGGAUGUCGGAAGUCUCUAGAAGGGUUCGAUUUAUGUUUUUCUUAAAUGUUUUGAUAUGUUCAUCGGUUUCAUGCAUAAGGAAAUGAGUUUUUGAGUGAAAUGAACCAAGGCAGAAAAGUCAGGUUCGGCCGCCGAAGUUGAGGUUCGGCCGCCGAACAUGCAUGGCUUUCGGUUUCACGUGUGGCCGCCGAAGGUGGUCUAGCCAGCCACCUAUAAAUGGCCCUCAGUCUGUUGAAGCGGUAAGAGCACCGUUUCUUUCACUUGCUGAGGUGAAACUCUGUCCUUUGUGAGUAUUCUUUCAUGUUUUCAUUAAAUCAUGCAAAGAUUUGAUUAGUUUUCAUGAUUAUUUGAAGGUUUUAAGCUAAAAACUCAAAGUUUGGAAGUUUGGUGAGUUUUGCUCCAAAACUCCACGUUAGGAUCCUUCAUCUACUUGUUUUCACGAGGUACGUGAAGAUCCUGAGCUUGUUUUUAUGUUUUCUGAAGGUUUUAUGGGGUUUGUGGAGAGAGUUGCAUGAAUAGGGUUAUUUGUGAGGUUUUGAUGAUUGUGUGAGUAAAGCUUGUUUCUUUGUUGUUUUUGUUGUAUGUUUGGGGUUUUAAGGUAGUUUUUGACCCCUUUGAGCAUAUACAUGAGUGUAUGCAAGUGGAAGUAUUGAGGUGUUUGAAGUGGAGUGAGUUUUGUGCAUUUGGCGAGAGGCAGGGCAAGUUUCUGCCCUGCUGAUGAACUCAGGUUCGGCAGCCGAAGGUACAUUCGGCCGCCGAACCCCUGAGGAGAAGAGAGGAGGUGGCUUCGGCUGCCUAAGCUUGCCCCCGAGCUUUUGGACUUUCGGCUCUGGAGGAGAGUUCGGCCGCCGAAGGUGCCGCCGAAGGUUAGAGACUUUCGUCUCUGGAGUGCCUUUUGGCCUCCGAAACUUGCCCCCGAAAGGGUUCGGCAGCCGAAAGUGGAAGUUCGGCCGCCGAAGGUGCUUGAGUUUCGUCUCUGGAGAGGACUUUCGACCGCCGAACCUGCCGCCGAAAGUGUUCUGUCCAGCUUUCCUUUGCAUGUUUUGCAAGGAUGAUAGAGUGCGUUUAAGGGGAUUCUUGGGAAGUUUAAUAGAGUUGUUCAUAAGCUAGUUUGGUCCCUCAUUUGCGUCCAUCUGUAUAGGUACAGACCAGAGGAACCAGAGAGAGCAGCAGUGAGUACUGCUCUGAGUUGUCAGAGCCUGCAGAGUCAGUCCAGAUAGCCAGGGGUGAGUGGAACUAAACUUAAUGCUUUUAAUUGACUAAUGGAAUGUUCUAGCAUAUCUCAUGCAUCAUGAUUAUGCCAUAGGUUGAUUGCAUUAGUAUCCACGAAUAUGUUGCAUUGCAUAGUGAAUUGUUGGUGUGGGUGAAUGCUGAAUGAUCCAAUAGUCUCAGACAGGAAGUCCAGGAGCCUUUGACUACGCCCUGGCAGGUAUAGUAAAGACCAGGAGCCUUUGACUACGCCCUGGCAGUUAUAGUAAAGACCAGGAGCCUUUGACUACGCCCUGGCAAUGGUAAGUACAGAGGUGUUAUAUACAUAUAUACAUAUAUGACAGGAAGACCAGGUGCUCGAUUCUACGCCCUGGCACAGAGUUACUGGGACUAUGUGGUGACAGGUUUACUCUUGAUAUGGUUUGUCUGUGGUAUGAUGCAUUCCAUGAGAUCAUGUUUUACUGAGAUGUUUUACUGUUCUACUCACUAGGCUAUAGAGCUCAUCCCACUCCCUUAACCCCAGUUUUGCAGGUUCAGUAUACAGUAUAGAGAGGAGAUCAGCAGAGUACAGCAAGAGAAAAGAGAAUUGUAAUAGUGUAGAGUGGACAUGUACUAUUACAGAGAUGUACUAGUUAUGUUAUUAGUUACAGAUGUGCUUGACUUAGUAGGUUGUGUUGUAAAUCUGUUGGUAUGUACAUGAUCUGUAUAUGUAUACAUGUUUUGUAUGUGAAAAACCAGGCUUAACAGGUAUGAGUUAACCCAUCUAGAGCAAGCUCUAGUCAGGGGUACAGAGUACAGAGUACAGAGUACAGAGUACAGAGAUAGUGCAUGCACAGGUUAAGCCUUGAUUCAGAAAAGAGUUUUUAUUGUCACAGAAAAUGUAUGAUCAUGUAUGAGUUUUACAGGUACAGAGAGUAUAGCAGGCUUGCUACGGGUUCUGGCGGCCUUAAGCCGACCUGAAUCCUAGCGCCGAUGACGGUCCAUUUUGGGGUCGUUACAUAAAUAGUUUGUGGUAUUUUUAUUUUAUAGCAAAUACAUGGAUCAUUAAUAUAAUGUUGCUUAUUAAAAUAGCAUUAUAAUUUAUUUUCAAUAAUUACUAUAGGAUUAAUAUUUUGUUAUGAUAAAUAGUUUCUUAUAAUUGCUAUUUUGUAGUUUAUAUAUAUAUAUAUAUAUAUAUUUUGGUUGCUAGAUCUUAAAAUUGAAUUCUAUCCUAGAGAAUAAUGUCUAAACGACUCUUACAAUAUAAUUGGUUUCUAUAAAUUCAUUAUACAAAGAAAUGUUCAUGUUUUUUAAAAUAAUUUCUCUCGUUUAGUAGUAUCAUAGCAAAGAUAUAGAUUCUAUAAACCCAUAUAGAUGUUUAAUCUUUAAGUUAAUAUAGAUGUGGGUAAAUAAGGUAUUCAGAGUCUUUUUAUUAAUAAAGCGUUAUGAUUUUAUUCUUUAGUAAUAGUUAAAAAGCUAAAAUUAUGCUUAGUAAUAUAGUGUUAUAGAAUUUAAGUGAUAAGUUUAUCUAAUUAUGUGCAAGUUAUGAAUUCACUUUUGAUAGAUGGAUACACUAUGAUCCUAAUUGAGAAUCGAAACUUUUGAAAUAUAUACGGAGAACUAGUCUAAGAAAAACAAAGUUUAGAAUAGAAAACUUGACAAAUAUGAAGAUAUGUUAUAAGUACAUGAAUAUGUAUGAGAAAGAGUUAGAAUUUGAAAAAAUAGAAAUAGGAACAAAUAGAGAAUGGAAUUAUAGAGUUUGGGUAUCGAAACUAUAAAAAAUAAUCUAUCCAAAUCCAAUAAGAAAAAGUUAUUUAUGGGGUGAAUAAGAUCAUAUCCAUAUAGAAUGGAUACUAAAAAUCUCCCAUCAAUAACCAGGAAAAUAAACAAUAAAAAUAAAGAGAGGGUUUGAUUAAGAGUAAAACUAAAAUAAAAAAUCAAGACAGUUAAAGAAAACAAUAAUCAAGUUAAAAUCAAAUAAUAAAUUUAGAAGAAAAUCAAUGCAAACAAUUUCCUGUUGAAAAAUAGGAUCCAUUUCAGUUAUGAGAAUUUAUCAUUGAAAUAAAAAUAUAUUUAUUCAUUCUAAUAAAUUAGGAGAGACACUCCUCACAACCAAUCUCUUCUUAAGUAUAAAUAAAUUAGAAAACAUUUACUAAUUGAUCUUAGUCAAUAAAUAAUUGUAAUACCCGGCUAGACCCCGACACCGGAAUUCCUACCUUCCGGCGGACUCUCCGUUGGAAUCCGGAAUUUCUCGGAUGUCGGAGCCUUUUAGAAGGGUAAAAUAAAGGUUUUCUAAAAUGUUUUUAUGUGUUUUUAUGGUUUUAAUGAAGAAAGAAAUUGAGUUUUGAAAGAAAAGACCAAGGAGGAAAAGUCCAGGUUCGGCCGCCGAACAUGGUGCUCUUGCGGAAGCACCUUUGGCCCCUGAAGGUGGUCUGGCCAGCCACUUAUAAAAGGCCCUACGUCCGAAAAUGGCCGAGUUUUCUCUCUCUAUUUUCGGGCGUAGGUGAGAUUUUGCCCUCCUUUGGUUGAUUUUGUGUUUUCCUUCAAUCUCUUCAAGUUUUUGAUGAGUUUUACGUUGUUUUGAAGAUUUUUGAGCUAAGAUUAAAGUUUUGAGGAUUGGAGACCCCCGGUGCUCGAUUUCUCCCAAUCUCCAAGUUUGGAUCACCUCUCCUCUCGAUCUUCAAGAGGUAAGUGUAGAUCCUAUCUUCUCUUAUGUUUUUAAGUAAGUUUUAUGAAGGGUUAAGGGGUUUUGAUGCAUGUUUAGGCUAGGGGUAAAAUGUUAGGGUUUAUGUACCCUUUAUGUUAAAUGUUUGCUAAAUGUGAUGUUUGUUGGGGUAUAGGUUAGUUUUAUGCCCCUUUAUGCUUGAGUAAGUGUUUAUACAUGUUUUAGAAUAAUUGAAUGCAUGUUGGGUUGUUGUGGGUGGCUGGAUAUACAAGGCAGAAUCAGGAUUCUGCCCUUUGGGAGAGCCCAGGUUCGGCCGCCGAACCUGCUUGUAGAGGCAGUUUUUGUAACAGCCCGGAAUCCGAUACCCCUCUGUAACGGCCCGGACCGCUACCGGCGCUAGGAUCCAGAUCGGCUUAAGGCCACCGGGACCCGUAGCAAGCCUAUCCUAAACUCUAUGUACCUGAUAAAUCCCAUACAUGACCAAACAUAAACACUACAAACUGAAAACUUUCCUUUCCCUUACCAAGCUUGACCUGCAUGCACUAUGUCUGACAACAUAGAACCCACUCUCAUAGGGUUAACAUAUCACAAAUCAGCCUUAGUGCAACGCAUUUCUUAACAAGAAACAUAAAACAUUCUAUAAGGAUCAUGCAUAACAAGGGAUUAAUCAUACACUAGGGCAAAGCACAACUCUAUCCAUUACAUGACAUUAUAUCUCUAUACAUUACAUUACAUACUAAUCCUUUAAUUUACAUCAUGUCCACUACUCUAGUACAUAACGAACUCAUACUCAUAACUCUGCUGACCCUGACUUCCCAUAGCUAGCUCUGGCCCUGCAAAACUAGGGUUAGGGGAGAGGGGUGAGCUAAAAAGCCCAGUGAGUAGAAGCAAUGAAAAUAGUUCAUUAAUAUCAUGCUUUCAUGAAAUGCGUCACAGCAUAAAUAUUUCACAUCUCGGAUCGGACAUGACCUCAAAACUCCCUCUGUCAGCGCCCGGCCCCCCUUGGGAGCUCACACAGGCCUUUCCUUACUUAACAUAUCGUGGGCUAUUGAGGUCACCUUAGUCCAUCCACAUCAUCAAUAAAUAAUGCAAUGCAUCAUAUUCGUGACUACUAAUGCAAUCAACCUAUUGCAUACUCAUGGUGCAUGAAACAUGCUAAAAGCAUUUAACUUUUCAUAUUAAAAAACAUUAAGUUUAGUUCUACUCACCUCUGGCAGACGCUGGACUGACUCUGCAACAGCUAACACUGAUGGCCUCCUCGGUCCCUCGGGUCCGAUCCUACACAGGUAGACUCGAAUGAGGUGCCAAACACACUCUACACAACUCAUAAACAACUCCCCAAAAACCCCCUAAAACCUCCUUAAGCAUGCAUGAAAAACAAGCAAAGAAAAGCUAGACAGGGCAGCUUCGGCGGCACCUUCGGCGGCCGAACCCUCUCUCCAGAGACGAAAUUCGGGUACUUUCGGCGGUCAAACCUUCCUUCGGCGGCCGAAAGUCUGCUUUCAAGCCAAAACUCAACUUUCGGAGGCAAGGUUAGGCGGCCAUCACAGCCUUCCUAAGGGAUUCGGCGGCCGAAUCUUGCUUCGGCGGCCGAACCUGAGUUCAUCCAGAACUCAGCUUCAUGCACAACCAAGCCUCCCAAACCGACCAAACACCAAAACAUGCAUACCACAAAUCCACAACCUGCAUAUACUCAAGUAUAGGCACAAAGGGGUCCAAAACUAACUUACAACCCCAACAAACAACACAUCUAAACACAUCAGCUUGCUUUGACCACAAAUCAACCAAAAACCCACUUUACCCUAAACAUGCAUCUCUACCCAUAAACCUCCAUAAAACUCACGUAAAACUUCAUAAAAACUAAGGAUCUACACUUACCUCUUGAAGAACAAGAGUUGGUGUGACCCCAAACGUGAAGAGCAUGAACCUCCCUUUGCACGAAAAGAGAGUGAAAUACACUCCAUUUUCGGUCAACGGGGCUUUUAUAGGUGGCCAAAUCGCCUUUCCUUCGGCGGCCGAACUUCAACUUCGGCGAGCGAAACCAUGCAAUGUUCGGCGGCCGAACUUAUCCUUCGGCGGCCGAACCUGCAAUUUGUCCCCUUGGUCUUUUCCUUUUCAAAACCCAAUUCCUUUGCAUUCAAAACCAAUAAACACUUAAAAACAUUUUGAAAACCUCUUUUUAAACCCUUCUAGAAGGCUCCGACAUCCUCACAUUCCAGAUUCCAACGAAAAUUCCGCCGGAAAGUCAGAAUUUCGAUGCCGGCGUCGAGCCGGGUAUUACAGUUUUGGCCGCCAAACCUUGCCCUCGAAAGUUGGACUUUCGGCUCUGGAGGGAGGUUUCGGCCGCCGAACUUGCCCCCGAAGGUUGGUGACUUUCGGCUCUGGAAGCACCUUCGACCGCUGAACCUUGCCCCCGAAAGUGCUUGACUUUCGGCUCUGGAGGGACUUUCGGCCGCCGAACCUGCCGCCGAAAGUGCCCUAUUCAGCCUUCCUUUGCAUGUUUUCUAUGAAUGUUUCAUGAUGUUUUAGAGGGUUUUUGAGGAGAAGUUUAGAGUUUGUUUGGUCCCUCAUUUGAGUCCACCUAUGUAGGUUCGGACCCGAGGAACUGAGGAGGCCAGCAGUGUUAGCCGUUUCAGAGUCAGCCAAAGGUGAGUAAAAUAGAACUACUUAUACUUUAAAAGUAAUUAAACUUCUAAGCAUGUUCAUGCAUCACGAUUACCAUGUUUAUAGGUUGUUGUAUUAGAAUUCACGAAUAUGAUGCAUUGCAUAAUUUGUUGUUGAUGUGGAUGGAUGUUGGAUGAUCCAUUAGCCCUCGAUAUGAUAUGCUAUGUUAUGAUGUGGAAGACCAGGUGUGGCCUGCACUACGCCCCUGGCAUUAUGUAAGAGAAAGUCCGGGUGUGGCCUGCACUACGCCCCCGGCACGAUUGGAUUUGUUAUGAUAUGUAUAUGUAAGAGAAAGACCAGGUGUGGCCUGCACUACGCCCCUGGCACAAUUGGACUAUGUAGAGGGUUAUUGGUGAUAAAUCCAUUCGUGAUGUGAAUCGUUUGUGAUGUGAUGCAUUUCAUGAUGGCAUAUGUUUAUAAACUGUUUUAUUGUUCUGCUCACUGGGCUCUUGUAGCUCAUCCUUUUCCCCUAACCCCCAGGUUUGCAGGUUCAGGAUAGACCGGGAAGUCGUCAAGGGUAAAAGCUAUGUAUAUGUAAUAGAUUAGUAGUGGACAUGAUAUGUAAAAUGAUGUAAUGUAAUGUAAGGUAUUGUCCAGUGAUGUAUUGAGGAUUAGUAUUGUGCUUGGCCCUAAUGUAUGGUAAAUCCCCUUUUGUACAUGAUCUUAUGAAAUAUUUUAAUGAUGAGUUAUGUUGAACCAGGCUUGACAUAUGAUAUAUUACCCCGCUAGAGCAUUUGAUGAGGGCUCUAGUGUGGGGUUUUAUGUUUACAGUUAUGGUGCAUGCACAGGUCAAGCUUGGUGUAUAAAAAGUUUAAAGUUUUUAUAAGAAUGUAUGAUCAUGUAUGGGAUUUUAUCAAGUGUACAAGAUGUAUAGUAGGCUUGCUACGGGUCCUGGCGACCUUAAGUCAAUCUGGAUCCUAGCGGCGGUAGCGAUCCGAUCUCCGGGUCGUUACAAUAAUCCAAAGCACAUCUAUUGGAUUUAAUCUAUUCGUUGUCUUAAAAAUUAGAGAGAUUCAAUUCUAACUAACAAACCAAAUCCCAUGAUAAGUUUAAGGUAGAUUAUGUAAUUCCUCAAUGGAUUACUCUAAUUGUUACCAAUUGUUGAAUAACUGAAGCAAGUACAAACUCAAGUGUUUAAACUAAUAAUAUAUUUGAAAAUAAAACAAUAAUAAAGUAAUAAUAAUAAUAAUAACUAAAAUUUCAUAAAUAUUAGAAGAAACAAAGUUAAUAAUUAAUUUUAGAUUUCACAAUACUUAGGAAAAAUGAAACUUCAACCUAUCUUCAAUUAGAACUAACAAUUAGCCACUCAUAGCUGUUGAAAGCACAAAAAGUAUAAAGAAAAUUUGGUCAAAAUAAAGGAUAUUAUGCGGUUAUAAAAAAAAAAGAUAGUUUUAUACAAAAAUCCUAGAGUAAUCCUAGCCCAAAAACUCUUCCUAAAGAGUUAUCUAUGUAUCUUCGGUAAACUAUCUUUCUAAUUUGUUCCUAGAGGGAGCAAUUGCUUCCUGAUCUUCAGAAGGGCAAUCCCACGAAAUUUGACUCGAUUUUGCUUUUUAAAAGAGAGAAUCUUGACUUGGCCACAUUAGAUACGCUUCUGUUACUAUUUGGCACCCUAUCUAAGGUUUUGGGAAAAGCUUUCCUUUUGUCAUUUUAACUCAACAAACAGACUUGCCCUAGGCCUUAGGCAAAGCUUUGGGCAAGUCUCAUUCUUUGGUUACACAAGGUUCGCAAAUAGAUUUGCCCAAAUCUCUAGUCAAGGCUCUCCUCAGCAGUUUUCUCAAGCUUGAGCACAUUUACUCACACAAGCACACAAAUUUUAUUUGGCAUUCUACAUAGUGAUCACUAGGCCUUGCCCUUGCCUUUUCAUGGUUAGUUCAAAACUGAUUUCCCCCUUUAGAGGCCACAGUUAAUGAGCACAGGUUCAUCGUAAUGGCUAUUGAUUACUUCUCCAAGUGGAUAGAGAUUGAGUCUUACAAGACAGUGGGGGCAAAAUAAAUAUCCAAUUUCAUUAGGAAGAAUAUAAUUUAUUGGUAUGAGAUACCUUCCAAGGUAGUCUCUGAAAAUAACAAGCAAUUUAAAGGUAAAUUUUAGGAUCUAGUUAAGGAAUACCAUAUUCAGCAUCACAAGUCUUCUCUCCACAGACUAUAGACUAAUCAGCAAGUUGAAGCAGCCAAUAAGAAUAUAAAUACCAUUCUUAAAAAGACUUUGAAAACUUAUAAGGAUUGGCAAAAAAAAAUCCUUAUGCUCUUUAGGAGGACAUAAUGACAGCUAAAACAUCUACUGGUGCCAUGCCUUUCUCUUUAGUUUAUUGAACUGAAGCGGUCUUAUCGAUCAACCUAGAAGUAAAGUUUCUGAGAGUUGUGCUAGAAGUUGGGAUCCAAAAAUACUUUGAGCUCUACACCACAUGCAUGCUUAUUAGAAGAAGAUAGUUUGAGCCUUCAAUAGAAAGGUAAAGACUUCUGCAAGAAAUGAAAAAUUGACUUAAGGUUCAAUUUAGCCUAUCAGCCCCAGACAAUGGCAUGACAAAGGUCACAAACAGGACCAUCUUACAGGGGCUAAAGAAAAGGCUUGAACAAGCCAAAGACUACUAGCCCAAAGAGUUACCUCAAUACUAUGGGCAUACAAGACUACUCCCAGAACAACUACGGGAAAAACUCCCUUUUCCCUCAUGUAUAAGGCCAAGGUAGUCAUUCCUAUGGAAAUCCAAGUAAGCAACUUUAGAACACAACACCCAAAGAUCUCAGAAAAUCUAGAAGAAAUGCAAUUCAAUUUGGACCAAGUCGAGUUCUUACGAGAAAAGGCCGCAAUCAAAAUGGCGGCUUAUAAAAAUAAAAUGUCUAGAAUGUUUAACAAUAAGGUCAAGCCACGAGCUUUUAGUGUGGGGGACCUAGUCCUCAAGAGAAUAGAAAUAGCAAGUGGCAAUGUCGAGCCUAGUAAGUUGGGUGAAAACUAGAAAGGACUGUUUAGGGUCUCGAAGGCUAUUUGUCCAAGGUCAUAUAAGAUGGCCAAGCUAGAUGGACAAGUCAUUCCCCAUGCCUGGAAUAUUUGUAACUUGAGAAAGUUUUAUCAAUAACAAGUUAACGAAGUAUUUCUUUUACAUGUUAUGUUCUUCAGCAAAAAGGAACAAUAUGAUUGCCUUCCUCAAGAGAUUUGAGAAGACAAAAUAAGGCCACAAGGCAAUUUUCGCUAGGCCAGGUCACAAAGCGGAUUCCGCCAACCAUUCGGAUGUUGGUCCCACUAAAUAAGGCCACAAGACAUUUUUCGCCAGACUAGGUCAUAAGGCAAGUUUCGCCAGACCAUUCGAACGUUGGUCCCACUAAACAAUGUCACAAGACAAUUUUCGCUAGGCCAGGCUACAAGGCAAGUUUCGCCAAACCAUUCGAGCAUUGGUCCCACUAAAUAAGGCCACAAGGUAGUUUUCGCUAGGGUAGGUCACAAGGCAAGUUUUGCCAGACUAUUUGGGUUUUGGUCCCACUAAACAAAGCCACAAGACAAUUUUUUUCAGGUCAGGUCAUAAGACAGGUUCUGCUAAACAAUUUAGGGUUUGUCCUGCUAAAUAAGGCCACGACUAGGUUAGGUCACAAGGUGGGUUCCACCAGGCCAUUUGGGCGUUGGUCCUACUAAACAAGGCCACAAGGUAGUUUCUGCUAGGUUAGGUCACAAGGCGGGUUAUACCAGAUCGUUCGGGCAUUGGUCCCACUAAACAAGGACACAAGGCAGUUUUCCCUUGGCUAGGUUACAAGGUGGAUGUAAGGAAGCCCAUAUAUCACUGCAACCCAAAAUUACGCAGUGAAAAAAUAAAAGAUAUUUUUUUCCCUUUUCAGGAUUCGAGUGCUUCGUUUAAUUCGAAAGGAAUGAUAAAGGAACUAACAUUUUAGAUUUUGAAAAUUCUAGCAGGAUUGUAACUUUACGUUUUUUACGAAAAGAAACUAUUAUUGACUGAUGGUGCUGCUUCUAAAAUGAACACUCUUAAUGGUAUCCACAUGAACAUUUCUAUCUGGAGUGCUAGCUCUCUGAAAGGAUGGAUUAACUAUGUGCUCCAAAUCUGCAACACCGAAAACGAUUACAAAAACUUUCCUCACGCUUUUAUAAAGCUCUCAAAGAAGGUGUUUUUUGUUCACUCAUUUUCACUCAAACUUUUUAUUUUCACACUCUUCUUUUCGUAAAAGAAUUGUGAUUAUGGUAACAGGCACAUAAUUGCAGAUACCAAUAUAUCUGUGUAAUAAAUCCUUUUCAAAAGAAAACGAAAAGACCUUUUAUCUGUAACCGUUAUAGAUAGGCUGCAAAUUUUUUAAAUAUUAUUAUCUUAUAAUAAUUAUAAAUAAUUAAUGUUCAUAAUAAUAACAUCUCUUUUAAUAUUAUUAUUAAUUAUACUAACGGGCGCUUAGUCCAUUAAUAUGACAUAACACAUCAAUGACGUUCUUUUGUGUGUGACCUAAUAGGCCCAGUCCAACAAGGCUCAUAAAUCAUAAGUGGCCUCUAGCAAGAUGUUAUGACUACCCAAUUAAUAUGAGGAUCGAUAGUCCGAUAAAACCUAAUAAAUAGAACAUGUAUUAAUCCGUUUGUCACACGAUAUCUAGUUUGAACAUAAGUCAUGGUCAAUGUCAAACUUAUAAUGUCCAAAUUUAUGAUUUCUCGAUCUCUAAAUAGACUGAUAAAACCAAAUGAUAUUGAUCACAUUAUUAAUUCAUUUGAGCACGGCCAUACAUUUCUCAGUCUCACUUAUCGAAUGGCCUAGAAGAUAUCUCUUUCAAAGAGAGGGACAAAUUCUAUCUUGAUUGUUUAAUAUCCUCUACAUAAUUUCUAUUAUGCUCAAUCAUAACCUUUAAGAUUAUCCGAUUAAAGACAAUGUUUGGUUAUGUCAAAAUAUAACAUUCUUUAUGUUGGAAACUUGACAAUCUCAAGUCAAAGGAUUAAAACAUAACUAUCUUGAGAUUCACUUAUAAUAAUAACCCAUGUAGUGAUCUCAAUGUGGGUCCAUCCAAUACUUUGUUCUCAAACAAGUAUCUAUGAUUAUUGAUUUAUAUUAAUAUACACAUAAUCAUCUCAUGAUUAUCAAUCAAUAAUCAUACUAGUCAUAUUUUAUUAUUAUUAUUAUAAUAAUAAGUAACCAAGAAUGUUAAUCAUUAUUAUGUAACAUGUAAAUAAAUAAUAAUGAUAAUAAAACUUUUUUUAUUAAUAAAUAAAAUGACAUACAAGAUGUCCAAAAUAAUGGCCUAGGAAAAAUACACUAACAGUGAAUUCUGCCAGACCAUUCGGGUGUUGGUCCUACUAAACAAGGCCACAAAGCAAUUUUCACCAAGUCAAGUCACAAGGCAGGUUCCGCUAGACCAUUCGGGUGUUGGUCCCAUUAAAUAAGACCACAAGAUAGUUUUUACCAAGUCAGGUUACAAUGCUAGUUCUGUUAGACCAUUUGGGCAUUGGUCCCACUAAACAAGGCCAUAAGGAAAUUUUCACUAGGCCACAAGCUAGGCGUUGGUCCCUAUAAACAGGUCAUAUGCACCAGACAACCAUGAAAGGGGUGAAAAGAUGAAGGUAUCAGCUAAAGAUUAAUGUUAAUGAGGCGAGCCUUAUGAGUAAAAAUAAGAUGAAUAACUAGGUGAAAGCCCCUAUUACAAAAAUGUCCAAGGCAUUUUAUGGUGCCAAGGUGGGAGUCUGCCAAACUACGGACUCAGAUAUUAAUCCUAUUUUACAGAAAUUCUAUAAAGUAUAUUUGAUUAAAACCAAGUGAAUAUAUUUUUGCCUCCAAAUAGAUAUGCAAAAUAUACACUUUCAUUACAAAAGGUUACAAGGGGAUAAAGAGACUUGGACAAAGUCUCUAUUAUAUUAGAAUCUUUUACAAAUCUAUUAUCAGAGACCCAAUUGGCAAGGUUCUUCUCAGCCCCUUGCUCGGUCUCAUCCUCCGAAAGACAUCAUUCAAAAGGUUAUAUGAAUGACUAUCUCCCUAAAUUACCUUCCCGAUCUGGCCCUCAAAAUCAAUCUUGCACAAUCGAAGCCCUCUCUUUGGGGUCGUAGCGUCGGAAAGGCGUUAUAGUCAAGCUGGUUGUAAUCCUUAGAACUAAGCAGCAUGAUACCACCAUCAUGAAGACCCACUCUCAGCUGUCCUUUGUAGAUCAUGAUGAUAUCCACUGCACAUAUCUGAUUAUUCUCAAAAAAAAAAGAAAGAAAGAAAGCACCAUUAUUCAUGUCUCUUGCAGAUGAUAGGCGCAAACAUAAAAGAGAAAGGAGGAUUUUUAUACAGUGGCAUAGUUGGCAAAGUUUUUAUUAUGGCUUGAAAAAUAAGGCCACCAUUAUAACCAAAGGAAGACAAAACAAUGCAAACGGUAAAGGCUAGACAAAUCAUGCCACGUAAUAAAAAGGGCAAACCCUCACCUUUGAAUAUAAAGAAUCAAAGACCAACAAAGAGGACCUCUGAUGUUUCAUAACAAUAGCCCAAAGUAAGUCAUGAGCUGUCACCAAAGAGCAGAGCCACGUGGCAGGAAUGUAACAAGUGAGAAACGCGGUCCAGUAUGAGGAAAGUAAGAACCGGACACCUUAAAUACCCAGCUCAUCAUUAAAGACUCGCCCUUCCCUCAACAGGGCAAGUCUCGACAUGAAGUUACCGUUAUCAAGCAUAGCACAGCAUAACCCCAUAUGCUUGUAAUCUCGGGAUUACUAACCAAUUAGCUGAAUAUAUCCUUUAUCAAGCAGCCGACACAUCAUCGCUGAAUUAUCCAAAAAUGCUAUAUUCAUCUCCACCUUCCUACUGUAUAAAAGGAGAAGAAUCACAGAGGCAAAAGUACACUAUUUUUUAACACUAUUCCAAUUCUAAGCCAUUUAGUGCAUUUUAUCUAUUUUUCAGUAUAUUGACUUGAGUGUCGGAAUGGCUGCUGUAGAUGCCCACUACCGCCUCACAUUCUCUUUUUUGCAGGUUCCACCCAAUCACAACGUAGCUCUAUUCCAACCACGUCAUUAAUCUAAUCUCUACAACAUCAAUAAUCCACUAUAAUAAAUUUUAUAUCAAAAUUAAAUAAAAUUUAUUUAUUUAUAUAUUAAAUCUAUUCAAAGUCUAUAAUUUUGAAAGUUAUAAUAUCCCGAAAUUAUAAAUUACUUUUAAUAAAAAUUAUGUUCUAAAAAUUAUUUUAAUUUUUUUUAUAAGAUAGAACAAAUAUUUUAAAUAUAAGAGUAAAAAAUAGAAUUUAAAUAUAAAUAAAAUUAAAAACUUUAAAAUGAAAUAAACUCUAAAACUAUUUUAUAUAAUAAAAUUUAAAUUAAAUUAAAAUAAUUACUAUAGGGAACAUAUUUGUAUAUAUUAUAGAUUUUAGUUUAUCUUUAAUUAAUAAUUUAAAAUUUACCUUUAUUAUUAUAAAAACCAAAUUAUCAUGGAUACUUUUAAUAAUUAUAGCAUUCUCACUAUUUUCACUUUUACAUAUAUUAUAAAAUGAUAGAUUAAAGAUAAUUUUAUAUUUAUAUAUAUUAUGAAUUAUUAUCUUAAAUAUUUAUUUAAUAAGUUUUCAGUGGACACUUUCCUAAUAUAUUUAGUUAAACUAAAUAAAUAAGAAUACAAAAUUUAUUAUUCCAACUCUAAAUUUUAGACAUCUAAUAAAAAAAAUUAUUACAUAUUUCAUAUAGUAUUAGAGAAUUUAUUAAUUAAUCAUUCAAUUUUAAAAAAUAUAUUAAAAUAUUUUUAAUAUUUUAAAAAGUUUAUCAAUUAGUCCUUCAGUAAAAUAUUAAAUAUUUUAUUAUUUAUAAAAAAUUUAUUAGUUAGUUAUUCAAAUUUUAAAAAAUUUUACUAACUUAUUCUCUUCGUAUCAGAGAUAUUUUAGAUACUUUUAUAAUAUUGAAUGGUUAAAAUUAAUGGAUAGAUUAAUUAGUUGACUUUUUAAAAUGUUAAAAAUAUUUUAAUAUAUUUUUUAAAAUUGAAAGGCCAAAUAAUAAAUUUUUCAUAUUUUAUUAUAUAUUACUUAAUUUUUUUAAUUUAAUAAAAAAUGAUAAUUCAACAUUUUACCAAGUAGGAGUGUAAGUAAAGUAAUAUUUUAUUUUCAAUUUCAAUCCAUGCCAUCUAUUUGUUUUUAACUUUAAUAUUAUAAAACAUUUAUUUAAAUAGCAUUUAGAUUUUAAAAGCAUAUAAACUCUAAAAUAAAUUUAUUUAAAUAAUAAAAUAUAAUAUAAAUGGUUAAGGGCAAUUUUGUCAAUCCAAUUAUUUCCACUGCCCCCUUUCUACUUUUAUAUGUCAUUGAUUAUAGAAUAGAAAAUUGUUUGGUUGUAAUAUUAAGAUUAAAGAGAUUAAUAGAUUAAUUAUAUAUAAAUCGUUUAAUAGUAUUAAUAAGAUUUUUAAAUUAAAAAAUGACUUUUUUUAAACAAAAUUAAUUUAAUUUUUUGAGAAACAGACAAAGCCUCUACGAUGAUUAUUCAAUCGGUUCGAUUCAAAAUUGAUCUGAACUGAAUAAAUCGAAAAUUAAAAUUUUGGUAUUUAUGAAAAUUGAAUCGAAUCGAUUUUAAAUAAAAACUGAAUUAAAUCGAACCGAUAUGAUUUGAUUCAAUUUGAUCGGUUUAAAUUUUUAAUAAAUUUUUUAUUUUUUAUACUUUAUUUUUAAUAUUUUAAAAUUUAAUUUAAUCUCACUGUAUUAUUGAAAAUAAUAUACUAUUAUUACUAAUCGGUUCGAUUUGAUUUUUUUGAUUUUUUUAUUAAAAUUGAACUAAACUGAAAUAAUAAAAAUUUUUGAAAUUAAAAAUUAAAUCGAUCCAAAUCAAAAUGAAUAAAAGACCAAAUUAAAAUUUUAAAUUAAUUAAGUUCGAUUAAUUUUUAUAAUUUUAACAGAAUACGCGCCGUAACGGCAAAAACAAAAGAAAAAUUGUUUUGCUUGCAAGAAAUAUGUAGACUUUUUUUUUUUGAAAGCAAGACGUGUAAUUGUGUUGAAAGCCAUAUUUAUUGUAAUGUGCCUGGAAAAUCUAAGACAUUAAAUGAUUAGUAAUAGCAUAUGUAAUUUUCAUAUAUUCAAUAUGUUGACAAAUGAUGCCUAUCUUCCCAGGCGGCUGCGAGAGUCAAACUCAUUAAUUCACACAUUUAAUAAUUAUAGAUAAUUGUCCUCUUCAAUCUUUGUUAUUGAGCGUUUUAAAAUUUAUUCUUAAUAAUAUAAAAAAAUUUAUUAUUAAUAUCUCAAUUUUUUAAAAAUAUCUAUUAAUUAGCUUUUUUAUUUAAUUUUUUAACAUUUAAUAAAUAAAAUUAAUAAUUAAAUUUUUUAAAUAUAAAAAUAUUUUAAUAUAUUUUAAAAUUAAAAUUUUUUUUAUAUUAUAUGAAUUAAAUAAUAAUUUUUUUUAAAAAAAUAUGUAAAAUGUAGAUUAAAUAUCACUCUAACCUUUUCCUCCUGAUUUCCUUCAUUGUAUUGUGCAGAGUGAUUCUCCUCACGCAAUGAUAAGUCUUUUUCUGUAAAAGAAAAACAUUAAGACAAAAUAAUAUAAUAAUAUUUUUAUAAUAAUUUUCAUAGCGAUGUUGUUGCAUUGUAUUUUUUUUUAGUAUGAAUAUGUAAAGUAAAAGAUAACAUUGGAUGGUUAGCUUUGUAACCUCUUCUAUUUUUAAAUUAAUAUGGAUAUCGAGUCAAUAUUAAUAUAAUACUCUAUUUGUUUCUAACUUUUAUGGAUUUAUUUUAUAUAUAUAUUAAAAAAUAUAAUUUUUUUAUUAAAUUUUCAAUUAUAUUCAUAUUAAAUAUAUUAAAUUUUAUUAAAUAUUAAAAAAUAUUUUGAGAUUUUUUUAAAAAUGAAAUAAAAAUUAAAUAAAAUUAUAAUAAUUAAUUUAUAUGUUAUUAUAGUCUAAAAAAAUAAAUAAUAAUUUUAAAAUAAUUAAAAAAAUAAAUAAAAAUUCUAGGACAAUGGAGUAUAAUGACUAGACUUGAUUAUGAAAGUUAUAAGUUUUUUUUAUAUAAAAUAUUAAAUAAAGUUUGAAUACUAUUAUAAGUGUAUAAGAUAUAUUAUAGUUAGGAUUCUACCACCUUAUAAGAAAAGUUAUAAAAUAAUAAUUAAUGUGAUUCGACUUAUUAAGAUAAUAAUUUAAUAUAUUUUAAUAUCAAUUUAUAUCACUAAAAUUAAAAUAAUUUUUUUAAAAAAAAUCAAAUAUUAAAAUUGAUAUUGUAUGAGAUUCGCUCAAAAUAGAUAGUGAGCUGUCACCAUAAGACGAUACCACAUGAAAAGGUUAUAAUAAAUCUAUAUGCAGUUUCAGUCGUAGAAAAGAAGACUUGAGCGCUUCAAGUCGGCCUCAAGACAUGUUAGCCUCAAGUUGGAUAGACUCGCCCUCUCAACUUUAUAAUGAGGCUCCAUAAUAAAGUUACUGUUAACAGCUACAAUCCAGCAAAUUCCCUUUACGCCUGCGAUCACGGGAUUCUCGACCAAUUAACCGGUGAAGAUCCCUUACCAACGAGCCGGCCACAUCAUCGCCAGAUUAUCCAAAAAUGUUAUAUUUGUCUCCAUCCUCCUAUAGUAUAAAAGGAGAACGAUCACAGAGAUAAAGAUACACAAUUCUCUAACACAAAUAUUCUCAAAUUCUAUAUUUGUCUCAUUCUUCAAAUUACUGACUUGAGUUUCGGAAUGGCGGCCACCCACCACCUUGCUUUCUCUGUCCUGCAGGAUUAGCCAAUCACAGUACAACUCUAUUCCGGCCAUGCCAUCAUUUUAUUCUCUGCAAUAUCAUUUGGUUCCGCUGUCGGGAGCAUUCCAUUGAAUUCUCUCUGUUCAUUUGGAUUAAAACUGAUCUUUUAUCCAUUUUAUCUUAAAAAGAAAUCUCUCGUUAUCUUUAGAAAUGGCUGACAAUUCAUGAGUUGUUGCUAAGGUUGCUACCAAUGAGAAUGCUAUCAUUUAUUCCACUCCUAGUAGUGAACAAGACACACCUUUUAUGGUCAACGAAGUAGAUUUCAACAAUCUGAGCGUCGAGCAAAUGCUCCAAUAUAUCAGAAGGUUGUAGAUUAUUUUUGAGCAAUACAAAGCUUGAAAGAGGCAUCACUCAUGGCUCCUAAAGGGAGGGAGGAAGUUUCUGUAGAGACCUCAAGAACUUGAACAGAGGCAAUCCAGACUUAGUCCAAAGGAAAGGACAAGUCCAAAGAAGAGGAGCCAUCAGAUAAUGUUCCCAAGGACGCUGGUACAGGCUGCCCAAAGGUGCUAGGAAAUAUGGGAAGAGGAUAAAAAGAUGGGUCAGAAGCAAGGCCAAAAGCUAGAGAAACAAGGGUAAGAGGGAGACCACAAAAGUUAUCCGGUCUCCCGAUGAAGGAAUAACUGAGAUAAGUAUAAGAAAUAUACCCCAUUGAACGACUCACGAAUACAUAUUCUAAUGUGGAUUAAAAAAAUGAUAAGAAGUUUAGGUGGCCGCUCAAACUCAACCCUAAGAGAGCUCGAAAGAACAUCAGGACUAGAAAAUGCCCAUAAACUCGUUAAGACUAGAGAAAGCUCGAAAGCACAUCAGCACUAGAAAAUGUUUAUAAGCUCAUCAAGGCAUUACUACAUCACUCGGAUCGAUUUUUACCAGAUAAAAUCUUGGACCAAACUAGUCGGCAGGGCAAGUAAGAAAAAAGUAAGGGCAUCAUGCGCUCAGCCCGAACAAAUAAGCCAUAUGCCCCAGAUCAUUAAGACAAUUGUCACCUUCGAAUCUAAAGAUCGAAGACCAGCGUGGGGACCUCUGAUGCUACAUGAAACUCACCCAAAUUAGCCAGUGAGCUGUCACCAUAAGACAGGAUCAUGUGGCAAGGAUUUGAUAAACCUAUACGUGGUUUCACCCGUAGAAAAGAAGACCAGGUGCUUCAAGUCAGCCUCAAGAUAGGUCGGCUUUAGGUCGGGCAGAUUCUCCCUCUUAACUUUAGAACGAGGCUCCAUAAGAAAGUUAUUGCUAACAACUAUAAUCCAACAAAUCUCCUUUAUGACUACAAUCAUGCAAUUUUUGAUUAAUUAGCCAGUGAAAAUCUCUUACCAACAAGCCGACCACAUCAUCGCUGGAUUAUUUGAAAAUGUUAUAUUUGUCUCCAUCCUCCUAUAGUAUAAAAGGAGAACAAUCACACAGUAAAAUCUAUGUAAUUCUCUAACACAAAUACUCUCAAGUUCUAUAUUCGCUUCAUUCUCUAUAUUACUGACUUGAGCGUCAGAGUGGCUGUUGUGGGCACCCACUACCUCACUUUCUCUGUCUUGUAAGAUUAGCUAAUCACACCACAACUCUAUUCCGAUCACGUCAUCAAUCUAGUCUCUACAACAUAAAAAAUAUUAUUUAAAAUAAAUAAAAACUCAAAGAUAGUAGACGGAUUAUGGUGUAUAAAACAACUUCAAAUUUAGUGGAGAGUUAUGUUUAUAUUUAUAAAAUUUUAUAUCGAAGCACAUUAAUAAUAAUUAUAAUAAUAAAGAACUAAAAUAUCAUUUGAAAAAAAUUUAUUUUUAAAUUAAUGAUUUAAAUUAAUUGUUCUUAAUAAAGGUUGAAAAUAUAAAUAUAUAUGUACUUUUAUUUAAUUAUAAUUAUAAUUUAUUUUUAACAAAUUUGGAUAGGUAGAUUUUAUUACAUACAAACAUAACAAUACUAACCGGACUUGCUCACUAAUGCAUAUAUAUCGUUUGGUAAAUACAAGUUAUUUAUGAUCUCGAAAAAUUAUUAAAUAUUUUUUUAUACUAUUUCAUCAUUUUAAAGCGGUACAUUGCAUCAAUAAAAUUACAAUAAAUAACUGAAAAUGUUAAAAAAUCCACUAAAUUUACAUCACUAUAAAAAGUUUAUACUUUCAACUUAAAUUAAAAUUAAAAUGAUUAAGUUUUAAAUUUUUUAAUUACUAUAAUAUUAUUAAUUAGUGAUUUUACAUAACCAUCACCCAAAAUAAACUAUGAGAUAUCACCACAGGACAGGGUCACGUGGCAAGAGUUUGACAGGUGAACGAAGCAGUCCAACCCAAGGAAAGAAAGAUUCGGGCACCUUAACGCCCAGACUAUCACCAGAAGACUCGCCCUUCCUCCCACAAAGCGAGCCUCGAUACGAAGUUACCAUUAUCACGUAUAAUUUAGCAUGUCUCCGUGGCACCUAUGAUCGUGAGAUUUCUUCUUAAAGACUGGUGGACCCUUGUAUCAAGCAGACGGCCACACCUCCGCUGGAUUCUUAGGAUGUACCAUACUAAUCUCCAUCUUCUCAUAGUAUAAAAGGGGAAUUAUCGCAAAGGUAAAGGUACACUAUUCUCUCACACAAAAGUUCUAAGCAAUUCAUUGUGUUCCCUCUCUACUCCUCGAUAUACUAAUUUGAGCGUUGGAGUGGCUGUCGUAGUCACCCACCACCACCUCACUUUCUCUUCCUUGUAGGCUUCAACCAAUCACAGCACAAGCUCCCUUCCGACCAUGUCAUCAUUCUAUUUUGUGCAACAUCAUUUGGUUCCGUUGCCGGAAUAUCCUUUGGAUUUUCCCUGUUCAUUUGGAUUUUCUCAGUGUACCUUCGGAGUAAAAGCUAGAAAGUUCUUAGGGUAUAUAAUCUCAGAAAGAGGUAUAGAGGUAAACCUUGAGAAGAUCAACGUCAUCCAAAAUAUGAAAGCACCCAAAACUAUUAAUGAAGUACAAUGGCUGAACAAGCGAGUCAUUACCCUAGGUCGUUUCAUAUCAUGCUCGGCCAAAAGGCGCCUCUCAUUCUUCAAAGCUCUAAAAGGCAAAGGUAAGUUUGAAUGGAGGGAGAAGUAUGCAGAGACAUUUGAAAGUCCAAAAACAUUUUUAUCAUACUCUCUCUGUUGCUAAGCUCGCCUGUUGAAGGUGAGGUUUUAUUUCUAUACUUGUCUGUGAUAUAGGAAAUAGUGUGCUCGGUACUCGUUCGUGAAAACAAUGGGGAGUAAAGUCCAGUAUAUUAUGGUAGCCAAGUGUUGAAGGGGGCAGAGUUGAAUUACCCUCCUCUAGAAAAGUUGGCAUUUGCAAUUCUAAUGCAAGCUAUAAAGUUGCGACUAUCCUUUGAGUCACACACCAUAGAAGUCAUAACAGAUUAUUCUUUGCGGAAGGUUCUACACAAGCUGAAGUUGUCAGGACGGCUAUCCACGUGGGCAGUAAUAUUGUCAGUAUAGGAUAUCAGAUACAUUCCAAGAAAGGCAAUGAAGGCUCAGGUGUUAGCUGACUUUGUUGCGAAAAUGACUCCGCCAAUAGAAACUUCAGAGUCCCCUGAAUCAACUAUAGAGGAAUGAAAAGUUUGGGCAAAUGAAGCUUGUGGGACUAGAGGUUUCGAAAUAGGGAUCUUGUUGUAGUCUCAAACCUAUAUAAAGCUUCGCAUAUAAAGCUUUGGUAUGUGUAAAGCUCGCCUUCAACACCACCAACAAUAUGGGUUAAUACAAAGCUGUAAUAAUGACCCUAAAAAUAUCAAAGAAAUAAGUACACAAAAAUUUAUUAUUUUUAGUGACUCACAAUUGGUUGUUAAUCAGUCUUAGAGACAAUUCAAAGUCUGAAAGCCAAAUCUUAUAAAGUAUAAGGAAAAGGUUUAGGCCCUGAUGGAUAGGAUCAAGGAUGGACAGGGCCACUGUGAACUUUGCCAGGUGGCCAGAGGCAACAAUGAAGAAGCGAAUCUUCUAGCCAAAAUGGCAACACCGAGUGAACAACACUUGACCCAACCAUUUAAAUUUGAGGAAUUACACACCCCAGCAACGGAGGUGGAAGAGUCCUUUCCCAUAGUGGAAGAGGAGUCAUGGAUAACGCUGGUAUAUAAAUUAUUAACACAAGAUGAACUUCCAAUCAAUGUGUUAUCAGCUAAACAGUAAUGAGGAAGUCUUCUAAAUAUGCACUAAUCAAUGGUUGGCUAUACUGGAGGUCAUCGACACAUCCAUGGUUGUUGUGUGUUAUAAAGGAAAAAGGCCAGGAAACGUUAAAGGAUAUCCAUGAAGGAGAUUGCGGGAGCCAUGAAGGAGGCCGAACAAUCACCCAGAAGGCAUUCAGGCAAGGGUUCUACUGGCCAAUGAUAAUGUAAGAUGCGAAGCAGCUCAUCCAGAAGUAUCAAAGAUGUCAAAUACAUGCAAACAUUUCGAGGACCUUAGGAGAAAUGCAAGUAGCUAUUGGAAGUCCCUAGACUUUCUUUCAGUGGGAGAUAGACAUCCUUGACCCCUUUUCUAAGGCAUCCGAGUCACGAAAGUUCAUGAUCAUGGCAAUAGAUCAUUUCAGUAAAUGGGCCGAGGCCGAGGCGGUAUAAUCCAUCACCACCCAACAAGCAAUUUUCUUUGUUAGCAAAAGCAUAUUUACUCGAUUUGGAAUAUCAAAGAUAAUGAUCACUAAUAAUAGAACUCAAUUUGCAAGAUUUAAAGACUUCUGUAAGAAAUGAAAAUUUAAUUUAAGGUUCAGCUCGGCCUAUCACCCCCAAACCAAUAGUAUGACUGAAGUGACAAACAAGAUCAUCCUACGGGGGCUAAAAAAAUGGCACGAUUAAGCCAAAGGCAACUGGCCUGAGGAUUUACCGCAUAUACUGUGGGCAAAUAGAACCAUGCCCAGAACAACCACAGGAGAAAUGCCCUUUUCUCUUGUAUAUGGGGCCGAGGCAGUCAUUCCCAUGGAAAUUCAAGUGGGCAGCUUCAGGACACAACACCCUGAAAUAUGCGGGAAUCCUAAAGAAAUGAAAUUCAACUUGGACCAAGCAGAAUCCUUACAAAAGGCCACAAUCAAAACAGCAGUUUACAGAAACAAGAUGACCAGAAUAUUCAACAAUAAGGUCAAACCAUGUGCCUUUAAGGUGGGAGACCUAGUCCAUAGAAGAACAAAUAUAAUAGGUGGUAAUAUCGGGUUUGGUAAGUUGGGUGAGAACUGGAAAUGAUCAUUUAGGGUCUUGAAGGUUAUUCGCCUGGGGUCAUAUAAGCUGGUCAAGUUAGAUGGUUAAGUCAUCCCCCAUUCUUGGAAUAUAUGUAACCUGAGAAAGUUUUAUCAAUAACAAAUUAACAAGGUACUUCCAUAUGUUGUUUUCUUCAAUGAUAAGGAACGAUAGGAUUGUCUUUUCAAAAAGAGACACUAAAAGGCCAUAGGGCAGUAUUUACCAUGCCAGGUCAUAAGGCAGUUCUUACCAGACCACUAGGGUGUUAGACCCACUAAAAGGCCACAAAGUAAUAUUUGCUAAGUCAGGUCACAAGGCAGUUUUUACAAGACCACUCGGCCAUUGGACUCACUAAAAUGCCACAAGGCAGCAUUUGCCAGAUCACUUGGGCGUUGGAUCCACUAAAAGGCCACAAGGCAAUAUUCGCCAGGCUAGAUCACAAAUAAUUUUUACCAGACCACUAGGAUGCUGGACCUACUAAACAAAACCACAAGGCAUUAUUGGCCAGACCAGGUCACAAGACAGUUUUUGCCAGAAUAUUUGGGCAUAGGACUCAUUAAUCAAGAUCGCAAGGUGGGUUCUGCCAGAAAAAUGAAUUCAAGUGCUAGUCCCAGCAAUCAAGACAUCUACACCGGACCUCUGAAAAAGGCAGGUGUACCAGCCUCCAAAGGACAAAGAAUAAAGGCGUCAAACCAAAGGUUAAUGACUAAAGUCCUAGAUCGAGUGAAAGUCCCUUAUCACCAAAUCUCCUCAAGGCGUUUCACGAAAAGGUGGUAGUCCAUCAACCCAUAAGCUCAGGUAUUAAUCCUAUUUUUCAGAAAAUUCUCCAAAUUAUUUUAUAUCUAUUAAACUGGGCGUUAAAACCCUGGAAAGAAGAUAUAAUUUAGCCCUUCUUUGGCAAAAAUGGUGGCAACAAGGGGAACAUAUAAAAACAUACGAAAUACAUAUUUUCAUUAUAAAAGAUUACAAGGUCGCAAAAAGGACUCGAAUAAAGCCUCUAUUACAUCAGAACCUAUCUUAUCCUAUGGGAGGAUACCGUCUAAGAAACCAUAAAAGUGGCUAUCUCUCCCACUACCUUCCUGGCCUUGCCCUCGAAAUCAAUCUUGCACAAUUCAACUCCUGCUCCCAAGAUCGUAACGCAGUGAUGGCAGUGUUAGGCUUGAAACCGGCUUGGCGUCGUCAGACGAAUUGUUUGCGGUCCACAAGGCUAAACCAUAUGCUUGCACCUUCAUACAGACCUGCCUUCAAUUGUUCUUCGAAGACCAUGAUGAUAUCCUCUAUAUAGAUCUAGUUCGCCUUAAGGAUAGAAAAGGAAGAACCCUCAUCCAUCUCUUCUACGAGAAAUUGUUGUAAACCAAAGAAGGGAAAGAAGAGUUCUUAUAUAACAGAGUAGCCAAUAAAACUUUGACUAUAGCGCUAGAAAUAAGGCAACUAGCAUAGCCAAAGGUGAGCAAAACGAAAGGCAGACCGCCAUCUUCGAAUCUAAAGAAUCGAAUACCAGCGGAGAGACCUCUAAUGCUACAUAACGAUCACCUAAGAUAAACCAUGAGCUGUCACCAUAAGACAGGGCCAUAUGGUAGGAAUUUAACAGGUGAGCGGAGCAGGCCAGCCCAAGAAAAGGAAGACUGGGGCACCUUAACACUCAGGCCAUCACCAGAAGACUCGCCCUUCCUCCCACGAGGCAAGCCCCGAUAUGAAGUUAUCAUUAUCAGGCACAACUUAGCAUGCCUUCGUGGUGCCUGUGAUUGCAGGAUUUCUUCUUAAAGACUAGCGGAUCCCGUAUCAAGCAGACGAUCACACCUCUGCUGAAUUCUCAGGACAUAUCAUACUAAUCUCCAUCUUCUUACAAUAUAAAAGGGGGAUUAUUCCAAAGGUAAAGAUAUAUUAUUCUCUCAUACAAAGGUAAAGAUAUGUUAUUAUCUCAUACAAAAGCUCUAAGUAAUUCAUUGUGUUCCCUUUCUACUCGCCGUUAUACAGACUUGAGCGUUAGAGUGGCUACCGUGGGCACCCACCAACACCUCACUUUCUCUUUUUUACAUGCUUCAACUAAUCACAACACAAGCUCUCUUCCGGCCAUGUUAUCAUUCUAUUUUAUGCAACAUUAAUUAGUGUCAUCUCAGCAUUAUGAGGUGGUACUUUAAAUAUAUCAAAUAAUUUACUUUAUAUCUCGAUAUAUCUUUAUACAAAAAGUCAAUUAGAACACUGAUUUUUCGUUAUUAACUUUUAAUCCUUACCUUUAUAAAAGUAUAACUAUUAACAUCUAAGUUUCAUAAACUAUAACUAUUUAACUUUCCUAUAACUAUUUAACUUUCGAAUAUUUACAGUAUAUGUAAAUUAUAUGCGCGUAGGGUUAAAUAAUUAUUCUCUCUAUUCCAUAAUUUUUAUUCAUCUUUUUUUUUUUUCAUUGUUCCAAAAUUAUUGUCCACUUUUUUUUUAUACUAUAGUAACAUAUAAAUUUACUAUUACAAUCCCAUUUAAUUUUAUCUUAGUUUUAAUAAAUUUCUUAAAAUAUCUCUUAAUAUUUAAUAAAUUUUUUUUAACAACAAUAUUUAAUAAAAUUUAAUGUAUUUAAUAUAGAUAUAAUUAAAAAAUUAUAUUUUUUAAUAUAUAUAGAAAAAUAAAAUAAAAAAAAUUAUGGAAUGGUGGAAUCACAUUUUUAUAAAGUUAAGGAUUAAUUUUCACUUUAAAGUGACUUAAAUUUAAUGUAUUUUUAGUUUAAUUACUUAAUUUUAUUUUUUUUCAAAAUAGAACUUCAAUUUUUCGUUCUUUAAACUUUACAAGUUAAAAGAAAUAAAAAAAAGUUUUUUUUUUCUCUUUUGUAUCAUCUACCUUCCACUUUUAUUCACUUUUUUCAAUUUUUUAUUAAAUUUUUUAUAUGUAUUUUACUUAUACAAUUUAUUGAUUAUUUAUUAUUUUCUUUUAAUAAUUUAAUUUAAUGUUUUAUAUUUUGUUUUUAAAUUUACAUUGAAAGAUUUAUUAAGAAUAAAAGUAUUAAUUAGUUACAAAUUUAUUUCAAAUACUAAUGAAUAAUUUUAGAUAGUAAUUUAUAUAAUCUUAUACAUUAAAAGAAUUUUAAAUAAUUAUUAUUAUAUUUUAUAUAAAUUAAAUUUUAGUAUUUAAGUUUUAAAGAUGUUUUUAAAUAUUAAAUUACAAAUAAAAGGAGUAGUGUUGCAUCAUGCAGAAUAUUUAUUAAUUUAUUUGUAAUAUAAUUUAAUAUUUUAUAUUUAAAAUAAUAAUAUAAAACUUUAUUAACACAUAAAAUUAUUUAUUAAUUAUCAUUCUAUUUUUUAAAUGUUAAUGAAUAAGUUCUAAACAGCAAUUUAUAUAAUUAUAUAUAUAUUUAUAAUAAAGUGAAUUUAAGAUAAUUAUCAUUUUAUUUUUUAUUAAACAAGAUUUUAAUUUUAAAAAUUUAUAAAUAUUUUCAUAUAAUAAAUUACAAAAAUUAGGUAGAGAUGCGAGAGAAGAGAAUAGAUGAGAGAGAAUCUAUAAUUUUUUUAUAGGUAGUGAGAAAGAAAAAAAAAAAGAAAAAAAAGCAAAAAUAUAAUAUAAAUAAUAAAAGAGAAUUCAUGUUAACGUAUAAACUUGUAAUUAUAUAAGUGAUGCGGUAUAAAAAUCACUCAAAGUGAGUCAUGAGUUGUUAUUAUAAAAUAAGAACAUAUGGUAAGAAUAUAAUAAGCUAAUAUUCGGUUCCAUAUAAGGAAUACAAAACUCGGACAGCGUCGUUAUAUCUGAUUUUUCAUCAAAAUUCAUCUUCCUCUGAAGAGGUCGAGUCUUGACGUAAAGUUACCAUUAACAAGUUUAAGCCAGUAUAUCUCCGUUAUGUCUAUAAUCGCAAGAUUAUCGACUGAUUAGUUGGCGAAAUCUCUUAUUAAAUAACCGGCCACACCAUCGCCGGAUUUUCAGAAAAUACUACAUUAACUUUAUUUUGUUACGGUAUAAAAGCUAAUUAUCACAGAGACAAAUGUACGUAAUUUUUCUAGUUUACUGACUUGAACGUCGGGUGACUGCUAUAAACACCAACUAUCUCACGUUCUCUUUUUUGCAGGUUUAGUCAAUCACAAUUCAACUCUUUUUUCGGCUGCAUCAAUAAGUAAAAGAGAGUUCAAUGAAACUUAAAUUAAAGAUUGAGAAAUUUUAAGAAAAAAAUUAAAACUAAGCCAUUAAAUAAAAAAAUAUACUAAAAAUUGAGCAAUUAUCAAUGAAAUUUAUCUAAAAACCAUGUAUAUAAAAUUAAUAAUAAAAAAAGGAUGCAAACUCACUUUUUAAGUAAAAAGUUAAUAGCAAAUUAUAUAUUCAGUAUAUAUAUAACCAUGACAUUUUGCCAUAAUAGUAGAAAAAGAAAGGUCACUUAAUAGGUUGAACUACUCUUUCAUUCACUCUUAUAAGCUACUGAAAUGUUUAUUACAUGAGAGGGACAUUUAAAAUUUAAAAUCUACAAAGGAGACCUUAAUUCCAACCAACUGCCUGCCUCUUUUGAUUUUUCAAAUUAACUUUUAUGAGUACUUAAACAUUUCCUUCCAGAAAAAAAAAGAAAGAAAAGCUAAUUUAAUUGACCUGUUAAUAAUAGAGAAUUAAUUAAGGCAUUGAAUCUUUCAAAAUUUCAUCUAUUAAUUAAUAAAAUUCAUUUAAUUUUCUUACUACAUACCAAUAAAUUCAAUUAUAUCGAUUAAUUAAAUAAACAGUUGAUGAAUUAUUUUUUUUUUAUAUAUAUCAUUUGAUAUAUAUUUAAAAUUUAUUAAUUUAACUAAUUCAAAUUUAAGCCAAACAAGAUUAAAAAACAAAGUAUUUAUUCUUAAAUUUUAAGGAAACAUCAUAUUCAGCAUUUAUAUUGAAGAGUUCUGAUUAAUAAAUAAAAUAUUUAUAUUAUUCCAUUUCAACCUUUUAAGGUUAAUUUUCUUUUCUCCUUUCACAAAUGUAUUUUUUUAACUGCAUUAUAGGACUCUACAAGUGCAGUUGAAAUACAAAAACCUACUAAAUAAAUAAUAACUUAUAAAUAAAUAAUAACUUAUAAACAGAUAAAACUGGUCCUGAAAAAAAAGUUAUUUUUUUAAAUACGUUUUUGUCAUAGAGUCUACCAUAGUAUCUGCAGAUCAUCUAAUUAGAUUAAAAGAUAUAGUCUCGAAUUGUGGUCACAAUUUUGAUAUGUCAAUCACAUGAGCUCAGCUAUUCCAUGGAACUAGACUAGGAGAAUGUAGAAGGGCGGAAUGUACCGUGGAUGAAUCUGUCUAACAAAUGAUAUUGUGAAAACCCUGAUCCAAUGCAAACCUAACUACUUCCCUAAGCUCUAAAGCCUCUCUUGUAACGACCCGGAAUCCGGACCGCUACCGGCGCUAGGAUCCAUAUCGGCAUAAAGCCGCCGGGAUCCGUAGCAAGCCUAACAUACAACCUGUACACCUGUUUAAUCCCAUACAUGAUCAACACAUACAUAAAAAUUUUGAACUUUUCUUUUCAUUCACCAAACUCAACCUGAGCAUACACUAUUCAAAAACAUAAUCAUAAACAUUAACCCCUCCUUGGAGUCCUCAUCAAUGCUCCAAUGGGGUGACAUAACAUGUAUUAAGUUUGGUUUACAUAAGCAGCAUUAAAAUCAUGUACUCAAAGGGAUUAACAACGUACUAGGGUCAAGUACAAUGCUAUCCUUAAUAACAUCAUUACAUUACAUAAUUGAUUAAUACUAUUCAUUAUAUGAUUGUACUAAAUAUUACAUUUCAACAUUUAUCAUGUCCACCACUAGCUAUUAAAUGACUAUAACUUUACUCUAGCUGACCUCCUGGUCUAUCCCGUACCUACAAACCUGGGAAAUUAAGGGAGUGGGGUGAGCUACUAGAGCCCAGUGAGCAGAAUAAUAAAACAUUAUAUUAAAAGUUCAUGCUUUCAUGAAAUGCAACACAUCACAAACAAAUCACAUCAAGGAUGAAUUUGUCACCAAUAGCCCUCUACAUUUCUAUUAGUGCCAGAACGUAGAAUGGGUCCUGGUCUUUCUCUUAUAUAACAUAACAUAACAUUCCAAGAUGCCAGGGACGUAGAAUGGGUCUUCCUGGACUUUCUCUUACAUAGUGCCAGGGACGUAGAAUGGGUCUUCCUGGACUUCCAUACCGUAUCAUCAUCAUAUCAUGACAUAACAUACGAGGGCUAAUGGAUCACUCAACAUUCAUCCAUAUCAACAACAUAAUAUGCAAUGCAACAUAUUCGUGAAUACUAAUGCAAACACCCUAACAUAUCACAUAGUAUCCAUGAUGCGUGAAUCAUGCUGAAAUAUUCAUUAUUUACUUUAAAAUAUAAAGAGUUAUUCCACUCACCUCUGGCUAGCUCAGACCAAACACUGGAGCAGCUAACUCACUGCUAGGGUCCUCGGUUCCUUGGGUCCGAACCUACACAGGUGGACUCAAAUGAGGGACCAAACAUACAAGAACAUGACUCUAAAAUACUCCCCAAAAAAAUCCCCCUAAAACACCUCAAAACAAUCAUAGAAAACAUGCAAAGGAGGGCUGCACAGGGCACUUUCGGUGGCAGGUUCGGCGGCCGAAAGGCCCUCUAGAGCCGAAAGUCAUGCACCUUCGGCGGCACUUUCGGUGGCCGAAGGUUCCCUCCAGAGACGAAACUCAUGCAUGUUCGGCGGCACCUUCGGCGGUCGAAACUCCCUUCCAGAGCCGAAAGUCCACUUUCGGGGGCAGGGUUCGGCAGCCAAAGGCUGACCUCCACAGGCAGGUUCGGCGGCCGAAAGUCCCUUCGGCUGCCGAACCUGAGUUCUUCCAAAGGCAGAACUCAACCUCAACUCAUGCACAAAUGCCUCCCAAACUUCACAACUCAACCAAAACAUGCAUAAACACAUACAAUAGCUCCUAGGGGCUUCAAACUAUCCUAAACCCCAACUACAACACAUCAAACACACAUAAACAACCCACAUUGCUCAUAAACAUAUCAUAAACCCAUAAACUCGAAAAUAACCUAACAUGCCUUUCUACCCCAUAGAUCUUCAUAAAACUUGUUUAAAACAUACAAGGAAGGUUGGAUCUAAGCUUACCUCUUGGAGAUCGAGAGGAAAGACGAUCCUAGCUUGGAGAUGGGGAGAAAUCAACUCUUUGGUCUCCAAGCUUCAAAACUUGCUCUUUUGCUCAAAUAUCUUCAAACCAAGUGAAAACUCAUAAGAAAAUCAUGAAGAUUCGAAGGAAGAAGCUCAAAAUCAAUGAGGGACGGCGGAGAACUCACCUUGGCCGAAAACGGGGAGAAAAGCUCACCCGUUCGGACAUGGGGACCCCUUUAUAGGUGGCUGGCCAGGCCACUUUCGGGGGCCUAACGUGCCUCCGCAUGCAUGCCAUGUUCGGCGGCCGAACAUAAGGUUCGGCGGCCGAACCUGGACUUUCCUCACUUAUGCCUUCGGGGGCCUAAAGCACUCCGGAAGUGCAAGCAUGUUCGGCAGUCGAACUUGAGGUUCAACGGCCGAACUUGAGUCUUCCCCUCAAGACUAUUUUCAUUCAAAACUUAAUUUCUUUCUUGCUUAAAACCAUAAAAUACAUUAAAACAUUUUAUAAAAACAUGAUUUUACCCUUUUAGAGAUUUUCGACAUCCGAGAUUCCACCGGACGGUAGGAAUUCCGAUACCGGAGUCUAGCCGGGUAUUACAUUCUCCCCCUCUUAAGAACAUUCGUCCCUGAAUGUUCACCAAACAAACAUGGCAUAGCAUAAAACAUGAACAUACAAAGCAUAAAACAUAAACACACAACAAAACACAUAACACUCACCUUAGAAGAGAUGAGGAUAUUGCUGGAGCAUGGACUCCCGUGUCUCUCAGGUACACUCUUCGAUGUUGUGGUGAUUCCAAAGGACUUUCACCAUCGGGAUUUCCUUGUUUCUCAACUUUCUGAUCUGGGUGUCUAAGAUCCGUACUGGCUGCUCAACAUAGGUGAGGUCUUCUUGGAUCUCCAUAUCAGGCUCACUGAGAACCUUGCCCGGAUCUGACACAAAUUUCCUUAACAUGGAAACAUGGAAAACCGGAUGGAUUCUCUCCAUUGAAGCAGGCAAGUCCAGCUUGUACGAUACACUCCCAAUCUUUUGCAAGAUUUCAAAGGGUCCGAUGUACCGUGGAGCUAGCUUACCUUUCUUUGCAAACCGAAUCACCCCUUUCAUUGGAGACACCUUGAGCAAUACUAAAUCUCCCUCCUGGAACUCUACUUGCCUUCUGCGGACAUCUGCAUAACUCUUCUGUCUACUUGCAGCAGUCUUGAUCCUUUCUCUGAUUAUGGGCACCACUCUGCUGGUGAUCUCUACUAACUCAGGCCCUGCCAAGGCCCUUUCUCCAACUUCUUCCCAACAGACAGGUGACCUGCACUUCCUUCCAUACAAAGCUUCAUAUGGGGCCAUCCCUAUGCUAGCAUGAUGGCUGUUAUUGUAGGCAAACUCCACCAGAGGUAGAUGCUGCCUCCAAGAACCGCCAAAAUCUAGCACACACAUUCUGAGCAUAUCCUCUAUUGUCUGGAUGGUCCUCUCUGACUGUCCGUCCGUCUGUGGAUGGAAAGCAGUGCUAAAAUCCAACCUGGUACCCAUAGCAUUCUGCAGACUCCGCCAAAACCUGGAGGUGAACUGGGGUCCUCUAUCAGACACUAUUGAAACAGAAACCCCAUGCAACCUGACAACCUCAUCAACAUACACCUGCGCCAACUUGUCCACAGAGUAGUUACUCCUGAUAGGAAUGAAGUGAGCAGAUUUGGUCAGUCUGUCCACAAUCACCCAUAUGGAGUCUAAUCUGUUGGACGUUGCCGGUAACCCCACCACGAAGUACAUAGCUAUAUUCUCCCAUUUCCACUCUGGAAUAGGUAGUGGGUUAAGCAUUCCAGCCGGCUUCUGAUGUUCCAGCUUCACCCUCUGACAUACUUCGCAGGCUGACACGAACUGUGCCACUUCUCUCUUCAUAGCUGGCCACCAAUAAACUUUCUUCAGAUCUUGAUACAUCUUGGUGGCUCUAGGGUGAACACUGUAUCUGGCAUUAUGAGCCUCCCUCAUAAUGUCUCCUUUCAGACCUACGUCAUCUGGUACACAUAGUCUAUUCCCAUAGCAGAGGAUCCCCUUGCUGUCAAAGCUGAACUCUUCAUUCUUGCCUGACUGAACAGUCCUGGCAAUCUUCACUAAUUCUAGGUCCUUAUGCUGUUUCUGAGCCACCUGCUCUAGAAACACAGGUGUCACUCUCAUCUAGGCGAUCAAAGCACCUGUACCAGACAACUCCAACUGUAGACCUUCAUUAAUGAGCUCGAAGAACUGCCUCACCACUGGCUUCCUCUCUGCUGAAAUGUGGGACAAACUGCCAAGUGAUUUCCGGCUUAAGGCGUCUGCCACAACAUUCGCCUUACCCGGAUGGUACUGGAUCUUGCAAUCAUAGUCACUAAGCAGUUCUACCCACCUCCUCUGCCUCAGAUUCAGCUCUCUUUGACUCAGGAUGUACUGCAGGCUCUUAUGAUCGGUGAAGAUCUCACAUUUUACCCCAUAAAGGUAGUGCCUCCACAUCUUGAGUGCAAAGAUUACAGCUGCCAUUUCUAGGUCAUGCGUAGGGUAAUUCAACUCAUGCUUCUUCAGUUGCCUAGAAGCAUAAGCAAUCACCCUUUCAUUCUGCAUUAGCACACAAUCCAGUCCCACACGGGAUGCAUCGCAAUAGACUGAGAAGUCUUCAUUACUAGAUGGCAGAGCUAACACUGGCGCUAAAGUCAACCUCUUCUUUAGCUCCUCAAAGCUCUCCUCACACUGGUCGGUCCACACAAACCUCUGGUUCUUCUUAGCCAGUUUGGUCAUGGGAGCUGCAAUUUUAGAGAAGUCCUGAACGAACCUCCUGUAGUAACCUGCUAACCCUAAUAAGCUCUUGAUCUCUGUCACUGUAGUGGGUCUAGGCCAGUUUGCUACAGCUUCCACUUUCUUGGGGUCUACCUCGAUUCCAUUUUCUGACACCACAUGCCCCAAGAAUGAAAUGCUCCUCAACCAGAACUCACAUUUGGAGAACUUGGCAUACAAGCCAUGUUCCCUCAAGGUCUGCAGAACUAACCUCAGAUGAUGGACAUGCUCCUCUGCAUUCCUGGAGUACACUAAGAUAUCAUCUAUGAAGACAAUAACAAAGUGAUCCAGGUAUUGACUAAACACUUUGUUCAUGAGAUCCAUGAAUGCUGCAGGGGCAUUGGUUAACCCGAACGGCAUCACAAGGAACUCAUAGUGCCCAUAUCUGGUCCUGAAUGUUGUCUUCGAUACAUCCUCUGCUCUUAUCCUCAGCUGAUGGUACCCAGAUCUCAGAUCUAUUUUGGAGAAACAACCUGCUCCUGCUAGCUGGUCGAAUAGAUCGUCGAUCCUCGGCAACGGGUACUUAUUCUUGGUAGUGACCUUGUUCAACUGCCUAUAGUCGAUACAAAGUCUAAGGGAUCCAUCCUUCUUUUUCACGAACAGCACUGGAGCACCCCAAGGUGAGGUACUCGGUUGGAUGAAGCCCUUAUCUACCAACUCUUGCAACUGCUCCUUAAGCUCUUUCAAUUCAGCUGGUGCCAUCCUGUAGGGAGGGAUAGAGAUCAGUCUAGUUCUAGGCAUCAAUUCAAUUUCGAACUCUAUCUCCCUAGCAGGUGGUAAACCUGGCAGCUCGUCUGGAAAAACAUCUAAGAACUCACUGACCACGGACACUGAGGUGGGCUCUCUGACAUUACUAUCUAGCUCUCUCACAUGAGCUAGAAAACUCUGACAACCCCUCCUAAGCAGCCUACGAGCCUGUAGGGCUGAUAUCAAACCUCUAGGUGUACCCCUCCUGUCUCCUCUGAAGACAACCUCUGACCCAUCCUGACAUCUGAACUUGACUACCUUGUCUCUGCAGUCCAAGGUAGCUCCAUGGGUAGAUAGCCAAUCCAUCCCUAGAAUGACUUCAAAAUCUGUCAAAUCUAGAACCACAAGGUCGGUGGAAAGGCACCUUCCCUCAAUAAAAACUAGACUACACUGGCAGACUGACUCUGCCACUGACGGGUCACACUUGGGUCCACUGACCCAUAGGGGACACUCUAAUCCAGAGACCAUCAACCCCAACCUCUCGACGGCUCUCAGAGCAAUGAAAGAAUGCGAUGCACCAGGGUCCAUUAAGGCAUAAACAUCAAAACAACCAAUGAUGAGAUUACCUGACACCACUAUGUUUGAUGCAUUUGCCUCCUGCUGUGUCAUGGUGAAGAUCCAUGCUGGAGCUGAUGGACCUUCACCCCUGAAACCCGCUGAAGAAGAGGCUACCCCUCUCCCUCGGCCUCUGCCACUAGCCUGAGUCGCGGCUGGAGCUACUGGCUGAGCCACACUACCCGAAGCUGUCUGCUGGCACUGUGCCACAAAAGCUGCUCUAGGACACUCCCGUGACAUGUGCCCCUCCUGCCCACAUCUGUAGCAGGCUGUCGUCCCAAAUCGACAUACUCCUUUGUGCGGCUUCCCACACUUCAUACAUACUGCAUUAUCUGCACCUGAGCUCUAGCCACUUCCUAAUCCCAGACCGGACUUGAUCUUGUUCCAGAACUUGUUCUUCUUUGACUUUUUGGUGGUAUUGCUCCACCUCUUACUGCCUGAACUCAAAGAAGAAGGGUCUAACCUUCCCCCACCUGGGGUCUUGGAACUAGAAGGCUGUGCUACUGACUGCUUAACUUUCCCUUCGAUGAUUGCACUAGCCUCCAUCCUCCGAGCCAUAUCCACUAUGGCAUGGAAACUCUCCCUCUCUGCUGACUGGAUCAAGGAGGAAUACCUGGAAUGGAGCUUCAUGAUAUACCUCCUUGACUUCUUCUGAUCUGUGUCCAGAUUCUGCCUAGCAAACGGCAACAGCUCCAAGAAUCUGUCUGUGUACUCAUCCACACUCAUCUCAUCCGUCUGCCUCAACUGUUCAAAUUCAAUCAUCUUCAACUCUCUUGAACUGUCAGGGAAAGCCCAUCCUGCAAACUCAUUUGCAAACUCCUCCCAUGAUAGGCUGUCCAACCUCGGGUUCACAUAGUUUCUAAACCACUCACGGGCCUUCUUGCACUUCAGUGUGAACCCAACCAUCUGAAUGGCUCUACAGUCAUCAGCUCCUAUCUCAUCUGUUAUCAUCUUGACCCUCUCAAGGUACACAAACGGGUCAUCACCUGUUUCAUACUGGGGAGCACCCAGCUUCAUGUAAUCGGUCAUCUUGACCUUGCUCCCUCCAGAUGAGCUAGGCUUAGGCAAUUGGGUUACUGGGACAGUAGGUUCUGCUGGUGGUGGAGGAGGUGCAGCAUCUCCCGGGAUAGAGUUUGCUGUACCGGGAUAGAAUGAUGGGGGUGGGUACAUAGGGUACUGUGGGUAUGGUGGGUAGAAAGGUGGGUAUGGCAUGUGAGAGUGAUAAGGGUUAUAGCUGGGGUAAUCCGAUGUACCUCCCAUUGAAUACCCGGGAUUUUGAGAAAAGGGUAGGUACUGGGGUGGCUGAACAAAUCCCGAGGCCUGAGUGCCUCCUUGGGACUCUCCCACAUCCUCUUCUGACAUCACCGGAUUUUUAAAAAAUAAUACAUUAACUUUAUCUUGUUACGGUAUAAAAACUAAUGAUCACAGAGACAAAUGUACGUAAUUUUAUUAUACAACUACUGUCAAGUUCUCAAUUCGCUCUAUUUUCUAGUUUACUGACUUGAACGUCGGGGUGGCUGCUAUAAACACCAACUACCUCACAUUCUCUUUUUUGCAGAUUUAGCCAAUUACAACACAACUUUUUUUUUCGGCUGUAUCAAUAAGUAAAAGAGAGUUCAAUGAAACUUAAAUUAAAGAUUGAGAAAUUCUAAGAAAAAAUAAAAUUAAGCCAUUAAAUAAAAAAAUAUACUAAAAAUUCAGCAAUUAUCAAUGAAAUUUAUCUAAAAACCAUGUAUAAAAAAUUAAUAAUAAAAAAAGGAUGCAAACUCACUUUUUAAGUAAAAAGUUAAUAGCAAAUUAUAUAUUCAGUAUAUAUAUAACCAUGACAUUUUGCCAUAAUAGUAGAAAAAGAAAGGUCACUUAAUAGGUUGAACUACUCUUUCAUUCACUCUUAUAAGCUACUGAAAUGUUUAUUACAUGAGAGGGACAUUUAAAAUUUAAAAUCUACAAAGGAGACCUUAAUUCCAACCAACUGCCUGCCUCUUUUGAUUUUUCAAAUUAACUUUUAUGAGUACUUAAACAUUUCCUUCCAGAAAAAAAAAGAAAGAAAAGCUAAUUUAAUUGACCUGUUAAUAAUAGAGAAUUAAUUAAGGCAUUGAAUCUUUCAAAAUUUCAUCUAUUAAUUAAUAAAAUUCAUUUAAUUUUCUUACUACAUACCAAUAAAUUCAAUUAUAUCGAUUAAUUAAAUAAACAGUUGAUGAAUUAUUUUUUUUUUUUAUAUAUAUCAUUUGAUAUAUAUUUAAAAUUUAUUAAUUUAACUAAUUCAAAUUUAAGCCAAACAAGAUUAAAAAACAAAGUAUUUAUUCUUAAAUUUUAAGGAAACAUCAUAUUCAGCAUUUAUAUUGAAGAGUUCUGAUUAAUAAAUAAAAUAUUUAUAUUAUUCCAUUUCAACCUUUUAAGGUUAAUUUUCUUUUCUCCUUUCACAAAUGUAUUUUUUUAACUGCAUUAUAGGACUCUACAAGUGCAGUUGAAAUACAAAAACCUACUAAAUAAAUAAUAACUUAUAAACAGAUAAAACUGGUCCUGAAAAAAAAGUUAUUUUUUUAAAUACGUUUUUGUCAUAGAGUCUACCAUAGUAUCUGCAGAUCAUCUAAUUAGAUUAAAAGAUAUAGUCUCGAAUUGUGGUCACAAUUUUGAUAUGUCAAUCACAUGAGCUCAGCUAUUCCAUGGAACUAGACUAGGAGAAUGUAGAAGGGCAGAAUGUACCGUGGAUGAACUUGUCUCACAAAUGAUAUUGCGAAAACCCUGAUCCAAUGCAAACCUAACUACUUCCCUAAGCUCUAAAGCCUCUCUAGCUAUCGGUGAAUAACACCAAAUCCUUUUCGCCAAGCUAGUAAGAAAGUCUCUAAGAUGAUUUCUUGCAAUUACAACAAUCACUACCAAAGAAAAUUGGCUCGUCCAAGACAUAUUGCAAUUAAGUUUAAUAAUGCCAACCAAAGGGGGACUCCAGUCAAUUAAGUCAGAGACACAAUGAGGACAAGGCUCAGAAAUACCAGCAAAAACAUAUUGACAAUAUUGUAGUUCCAAGAGACCACUAUUGAUUUGCUUCAUGGUUGCCACAAGAUCCGGUCGAAUAUGUUCAAAAACACAUUUAUUUCUAGCCUUUCAAAUGUACCAUAAUGUCACAGUGACUAUUGCCAUGAUGGAUUCAUAAUGUGGCAAAGUACUAAAGGAAUACCACACAUCCAUCCACCAACACUUAAAUCCAGGAAAACCCACAAUUUCAGGUUUACAAACAUAAAGGCUUAGAAACUAUGAUAUCCGAGCAUGAGGGUACCAAAAAAGCGUAUGCUUCAAUUUUUUCAGGCCUUGAUAACAUAGAAUGAAAACAGACGACACCUGCAUACCUUUACUUGCUAAAUUACUCAAAAUAGGUAUUAAAUUAUGUAGAAGGCGCUAAAUAAAGUACUUAAGUUUCAGAGAAAUUAGUAAAGUCCAUGAUCGCUUCCAAAGAGAGUCUGAUACUAUAUCUGAAUGAGAAGUAGUAGCAUUAGUGGUACCCUGAACAGAGGAUUGCACUAAUAAUUUGUAUCCAAAACGAACCAUAUAUUGAUCAUGCUGCUUAUAAUGCUACACUAAGAUAUCAGGCAUACCAAGAGGUGCUAUGGGAAUGGCAAAAAUAGCUUAAGAAUGAGUUGUUGGAACUAGUCAAUACAUGAAAGACCUUUUCCAUUGCAAGGUAGUAUGGUCAAUCAAACUAGCCACCCUAUUAAUAUGGAGGGGACAUGAGGCUGGAUGAGAAAGCUCAAAACUAACAACUCUAGGCACCCACAGCUCAGACCAUAGAAGAUUUUCCUAACCAUCUCCAAUAUUCAUACAUACCCCAAUCUUUAAUAAGUCUCAUCCUGCCAACAAAUCUCGCCAAAUCCAAGAACAAUGCCUUUUGCUUUGUGCCUUCCAAAAAUACGUAUGAGGAAAGUACAAACCCUUAAGGACCCGUGCCCACAAAUUGGUAGGUUGAACAACAAGUCUUCAACAUUGCUUUGCUAAGCAUGCAAGAUUAAACUUUUCUAAAUCCUUGAACCCCAUACCACCUUGAAAUUUGGAGACACAAGAUUUCUGCCAACUAACCCACCUAAUCAUCUUUCAUCAUUACCUCCCCACCAAAAUUAGAAAUAAGACUAUUCAAUCUAGCACAAAAUUGCUUGGGAUAAAGAAAAAAAUAGCCAUAGAAUAGGUAGGAAUAGCAGUCAACAUAGAUUAAAUCAAGGUCGCCCUACCUGUUUGUGAAAGAAAAUUUUGCAUCCAUGAUUAAGUUUUAGCUCGAAUUUGAUCUUCCACCAUUUGUAGGGCUUGUAUUUUAGAUUGACCUAAGAACACUGAGAGGCCUAAAUAUUUAUUAGUAUCUUGCAUUUCUUACAUCUAAAACAAUGUUAAAAGAUUGUGUCACAAGCCAAUUGGGUUUUUCUUACUGAAAAGUAUAUGAGACUUAUGGAAAUUGAUUCAUUGUCCAAAAGCUGACAUAUAAGAUUGAAGAAGAUGGAGCAAGGUAACAACUUCUUGUCUUGUUGCUCUAACAAACAACAGUGUAUCAUCAGUAAAAAAGACACUCGUAAUAGUUGGAGAAAACCGCGAGAGUUUAAUUCCCUAAAUACUUCCCUGAGUCUUAGCAGUAGUAACCAAAUAUGACAAUACCUGAGACACAAACAGAAAAAGAUAAAGGGAUAAAGGAUCUCCCUGACGGAGUCCUCGAGAAGGAGAGAAUGGAACAGUGGGUCACCAUUAACAAGUAUAGAAAAACUAAAAGUUGAUACACAUUGCAUAACCAACUGGUAAAACCUAUCUGUAGCAAAACGGAAUGCAAGAAAUCCCAUUCCACUUGGUCAUAGGCCUUGUACAAAUCCAACUUCAAAGCCAUAGAAUGUUUUUUACUAUUGGAGAUACGUAGAUAAUGAAAAGCCUCAUGUGCUACCAUGAUGUUAUCUUAAAGCGUCCUAGAGGGAAUGAAAGUAGUUUGAUCAUGGGGGAUGAUAAAAUCCAUCAACGGCUUUAAUCGUCUUACUAGGGUUUUGGAGAUGAAUUUACACACAAAAUUGUAAAGGCUUAUAGGUCGAAAUUGAUUAAGCCCAGCUGGAGUAGGACACUUUGGAAUGAGAACUAUAUUUGUUCGAUUCAUCUCCUUGAACAAAUAUCCACUAUCAUAAAAGGUCUGAAUAGCAUGACAUAAAGCCAAUCCAAUCUCUUCCCAAUUAUUUUGAUAAAAAAUACCUCAAAAUCCGUUAGAUCCUAGAGCUUUAGUACCUCCUAACUCAAAAACUGUUACUUUACCUUUGCCUCUGUCAAUGGAGCCAAUAAUGUUGCAUUCAUUUCAUUAGUGACCAAUCAUGGAAUAAGAGCUGUCACCUCAGAAACUUCCUUAAUCCUACCAGCCGUGUAUAACUUCUUAAAAAACUCCCUGACCACACAUCUAAUCGCAUUUGCUCCCUCGAUCCAACCACUUGAGUCAUUUUGCAACCUAGCAAGGAAAUUUUAUUGUCAACGAUGAAUUGUAGUGAGAUAAAAGAACCUCGAAUUAUGAUGUCCAUCCUGAAGCCAUUGGAUGUGGGACCUUUGUUUCUAAUGAAGUUUAUCUCUCUUCCACAACUCAUGAAGCUUUACCAAUAAACUAGCCUCAAUUGCAUCAAAGGAAGGAUCAAAGGACUGAGAAUAAAUGUGUUCUAACUUGUAAUACCCGGCUAGACUCCGGCAUUAGAAUUUCAAUUUUCCGACGGAAUCUCCGUUGGAAUCCGGAAUCUCGGAUACCAGAACCUCUUAGAUGGUUAAAAUAUGUUUUUAUAAAAUAUUUUCAUGAUUUUAUUGGUUGGUUUUGAGUUAAAGUUUUAAAAAAUGAAAGAAAAGAGUUUGAGGGAAAACAUCAGGUUUGGCCGCCAAAAGUGGUGCUGCCACGGGAGCUCUCCUGUCGGCCCCCGAAGGUGGCCUGGCCAACCACCUAUAAGAGGCCCUCAGCCCAAAAAUGAGAGAGUUUUCUCUCUCCAUUUCCAGGCAAGGUGAGUCUCCGCCACCCCUUGAUGAUCUUGUGUUUUUCCUUCAAAUCUCUCAAGAUUUUUAUGAGUUUUUAUCUUGUUUCUGAAGAUUUUAAGCUUAAUCAAAGAUUUUAAAGUUUGGAGACCUCUGUAGACCCUUUCUCCCCCUCUCCAAGUUUGUGUAACAUCCUCUGGGCCCACACCAGUGAAUAUUGUCCGCUUUGGGUUCACGCCCAGCAUCUUUCCCCUCACGGUUUUAUUCUUGGGUCAAGGGAUUUGAUACCCUGUCUUCCCAAAACGCGUCCACUGGGGUCUCUUGGGGCUUGCCCUUAUAAGGCUUCCCCCCUCCUUACCUCUUUCCGAUGUGGGAUACUUUAAAUCCACCUCAUGGGGUUCCUUCCCCCCAUAAGCCUUGAGCGUCCUCGCUCAGCACACCGUACUCAUGAGGCCCAAGCUCUGAUACCACUCUGUAACGACCCGAAAAUCGGACCGCUACCGGCGCUAGGAUCCAGAUCGACAUAAGGUCGCCGAGACCCGUAGCAAGCCAAACAUACAUCCUGAAUACCUGUCAAAUCCCAUACAUGAUCACACAUAAACAUAAACAUGAGAACUUUUUCUUUCCUUUUUCCAAGCUCAACCUGUGCAUGCACAUAAACAUAAACAUAAACCACACACUGGAGUCUCAUCACAUGCUCCAAUGGGGUAUCUCAUCAAUCAUCAAGCUUGGUUGAACAUAAACAUCAUAAAACAUAGAUCAUGUAUAUACAUGGGAUUAUUCAAACAUACUAUAGUCAAGCACAAUUCUAAUCCUCAGUAUCAAUGUUACAUAACAUGACUGAUCAUAACCUUACAUCAUUUUACAAAUCAUCAUGUCCACAUCUAACUAUUACAAAUCACAAGACUUUACUCUUCUUGACUCCCUGAACUAGCCCGUACCUGCAAACCUGGGGGAUAUAGGGAAAGGGGUGAGCUACUAGAGCCCAGUGAGCAGAAUACUAAAACAUUUANNNNNNNNNNNNNNNNNNNNNNNNNNNNNNNNNNNNNNNNNNNNNNNNNNNNNNNNNNNNNNNNNNNNNNNNNNNNNNNNNNNNNNNNNNNNNNNNNNNNNNNNNNNNNNNNNNNNNNNNNNNNNNNNNNNNNNNNNNNNNNNNNNNNNNNNNNNNNNNNNNNNNNNNNNNNNNNNNNNNNNNNNNNNNNNNNNNNNNNNNNNNNNNNNNNNNNNNNNNNNNNNNNNNNNNNNNNNNNNNNNNNNNNNNNNNNNNNNNNNNNNNNNNNNNNNNNNNNNNNNNNNNNNNNNNNNNNNNNNNNNNNNNNNNNNNNNNNNNNNNNNNNNNNNNNNNNNNNNNNNNNNNNNNNNNNNNNNNNNNNNNNNNNNNNNNNNNNNNNNNNNNNNNNNNNNNNNNNNNNNNNNNNNNNNNNNNNNNNNNNNNNNNNNNNNNNNNNNNNNNNNNNNNNNNNNNNNNNNNNNNNNNNNNNNNNNNNNNNNNNNNNNNNNNNNNNNNNNNNNNNNNNNNNNNNNNNNNNNNNNNNNNNNNNNNNNNNNNNNNNNNNNNNNNNNNNNNNNNNNNNNNNNNNNNNNNNNNNNNNNNNNNNNNNNNNNNNNNNAUCAAAGAAUUCAUGCAAAGGAGGGCUGAACAGGGCACUUUCGGCGGCAGGUUCGGCGGCCGAAAGUCCCUCCAGAGCCGAAAGUCAUGCACCUUCGGCGGCACUUUCGGCGGCCGAAGGUUCUCUCCAGAGGCGAAACUCAUGCAUGUUCGGCGGCACCUUCGGCGGCCGAAAGUCCCCUCCAGAGAUGAAAGUCCACUUUCGGGGGCAGGUUUCGGCAGCCGAAAGCUUGCCUCCACAGGCAGGUUCGGCGGCCGAAAGUCCCUUCGGCUGCCGAACCUGAGUUUCUCCCAAAGUGGUAGAAACUCGGCUCUUAUGCACAUUUGCCUCCCAAAAACCUUCAAUCAUGCAUACAACUCAACCAAAACAUGCAUAAACACAUACAUAAGCUCCUAGGGGCUUCAAACUAUCCUAAACCCCAACUACAACACAUCAAAAGCAACUCAGCAACCUACAUUAUCCAUAAACACACACAAAACCUAACAAAGCUCAACUAACCUAAACAUGCAUUUCUACCCCAAGAAUCAACUUGAAACUUGUUUAAAACAUAUAAUGAGCUCAAGAUCGAUUCUUACCUCUUGAAGAUAGAGAGGAAAAAUGAUCCUAGCUCGGAGAUGGGGGAGAUCGAGUUCCUUGAACCUCCAAGCUCCAAAACUUGCUAUUUGCUUAAAAAUCUUCAAAACAAAGGUGAAAAUUCAUAAAAAUCAUGGAAGAUUUGAAGGAAGAACUCAAGAUCGGCAUGAGAGCGGCGGAGACUCACCUUGGCUGAAAAUGGGGAGAAAAAGCUCACCCGUUCGAACAUGGGGACCCCUUUAUAGGUGGCUGGCCAGGCCACUUUCGGGAGCCUAACGUGCCUCCGCAUGCAUGCCAUGUUCGGCGGCCGAACAUAAGGUUCGGCGGCCGAACCUGGACUUCCCUCACUUAUGCCUUCGGGGGCCUAAAGUACUACCGAAGCGCAUGCAUGUUCGGCGGCCGAACUUGAAGUUCGGCGGCCGAACCCGAGUUUUCCUCCAAUGCUAUUUCAUGCAAAAACUCAUUUUCUUUCUUGCUUAAAAACAUAAAUUACAUUAAAACAUUUUAUAAAAACAUGGUUUUACCCUUCUAGAAGUCUCCAACUCCCGAGAUUCUACCGGACUGUAGGAAUUCCGAUACCGGAACCCCAUGAGGUGGAUUUAAAGUAUCCCACAUCGGAAAGAGGUAAGGAGGGGGGAAGCAUUAUAAGGGCAAGCCCCAAGAGACCCUAGUGGACGCGUUUUGGGAAGACAGGGUAUCAAAUCCCUUGACCCAAGAACAAAACCGUGAGGGGAAGGACGCUGGGCGUGAACCCAAAGCGGACAAUAUUCACUAGUGUGGGCCCAGAGGUCGUUACAGAGUAGUAUCAGAGCCCUAGGUUCAUAUGAUCGGACCUAUAGUGUGUCGGGCUCAUAGGUGUCAUAGAAGGUCAAGCACAAUAGGAUGAUCAUGUCCACUAGGAUAGGAUAAAGAGUCCUGUCUUGAAUGAUGAUGUGAAAUGCCAUGAUUAUAUGCAUGUGCAUUAAUGUUAUGCUAUGAUAUGUGAUGUAUGUGAUGCGGGUUCAUGUGUUUGCACAUGAACCAUUUGAUGCUAAUGUUCUAUGUGAUGUGUACUGUUUUUCAGAAAACAGGAUGAGAGGAACUCAUCGAUCUGCACGAUUGACUGGAGUACCACCCCAGGACGAGGGCACUGAUGCCCGUCCUCCUGCAUUGCCUAGGGCAAUGUCAAGUAGGUCUAGCAGAGAAAGAGCAGUAAGAGACCCUAGAAGGUCUUUGGAUCUGGGUAGAAGCAGAUCAGUGAGGGGAACAGUGCAAGGGGAUAUGUCCGAGGAUGUGGGGGAUCAGAUGGAUGUGGAUCAGAGGAGGGAUGGCAGUCUUGGAGUAAGUAUGUCGGAAGAGGGGAUGGGAGAGUCCCAAGGAGGCACUCAGGCCUCGGGAUUUGUUCAGCCACCUUUCUACCCACCCUUUUCACAUAAUCCCGGGUAUUCGAUGGGAAGUACAUCGGAUUACCCCAGUUUUAACCCUUAUCACUCUCAGAUGCCAUACCCACCUUUUUACCCACCGUACCCACAGUACCCUAUGUAUCCACCCCCACCCUACCAUCCAAGUACAACAAACCCUACCCCAGGGGAUGUUGCACCUCCUCCACCAGCAGUAGCACCUACUGUCCCAGAAACCCAAAUGCCUAAACCUAGCUCAUCUAGGGGGAGCAAGGUCAAGAUGACCGAUUAUAUGAAGCUGGGUGCUCCCCAGUUUGAAACCGGUGAUGACCCGUUUGUGUACCUCGAGAGGGUCAAGACAAUUACAGAUGAGAUAGGAGCUGAUGACAGUAGAGCCAUUCAGAUGGCUGGGUUCACACUAAAAUGCAAGAAGGCCCGAGAGUGGUUUAAGAACUAUGUGAACCCGAGGUUGGACAGCCUAUCAUGGGAGGAGUUUGCAAAUGAGUUUGCAGGAUGGGCUUUCCCUGACAGUUCAAGAGAAUUGAAGAUGAUUGAGUUCGAGCAGCUGAGGCAAAUGGAUGAGAUGAGUGUGGAUGAGUAUACAGACAGAUUCUUGGAGCUGUUGCCGUUUGCUGGGCAGAAUCUGGAUACAGAUCAGAAAAAGUCAAGGAGGUAUAUCAUGAAACUCCAUUCCAGGUAUUCCUCCUUGAUUCAGUCAGCAGAGAAGGAGAGUUUCCAUGCCAUAGUGGAUAUGGCUCGGAGGAUGGAGGCUAGUGCAAUAAUCGAGGGGAAAGUCAAGCAGUCAGUGGCACAGCCUUCUGGUUCCAAGACCCCAGGUGGGGGAAAGUUAGACCGUUCUUCUCUGAGUUCAGGCAGUAAGAGAUGGGGUAAAGCCAAGUCUAGAAGAACAAGUUCUGGAGCAAGAUUAAGUCAGGUUUGGGAUUAGGGAGUGGCUCAAGCUCUGGUGCAGAUAAUGCAGUAUGCAAGAAGUGUGGGAAGCCGCACAAAGGAGUAUGUCUUGUUGGGACGACAGCCUGCUUCAGAUGUGGGCAGGAGGGACACAUGGCACGAGAGUGUCCUAGGGCAGCUUUUGUGGCACAGUCUCAGCAGAUGGCUUCAGGUAGUGUGGCACAGCCAGUAGCUCCAGCCGCGACUUAGGCUAGUGGCAGAGGCAGAGGGAGAGGGGCAGCCUCUUCUUCAGCGAGUUUCAGGGGUGAGGGUCCAUUAGCUCCGGCACGGAUCUUCACCAUGACUCAGCAAGAGGCAAACACAUCCAACACCAUGGUGUCAGGUAAUCUCAUCAUUGGUUGUUCUGAUGUGUAUGCAUUAUUGGACCCUGGUGCAUCUCAUUCUUUCAUUGCUCCGAGGGCCGUCGAGAGGUUGGGAUUGAUGGUCUCUGGGUUAGAGUGUCCCCUAUGGGUCAAUGGACCCAAGUGUGACCCGUCAGUGGCAGAGUCAGUCUGCCAGUGUAGUUCAGUUUUUGUGAAGGGAAGAUGCCUGUCCGCCGACCUUGUGGUUCUAGAUUUGACAAAUUUUAACGUCAUUCUAGGGAUGGACUGGUUAUCUACCCAUGGUGCUACCUUGGAUUGCAGAGACAAGGUAGUCAGGUUCAGAUGUCAGGAUGGGUCAGAGGUUGUCUUCAGAGGAGAAAAGAGGGGUACACCUAGAGGUUUGAUAUCAGCCCUACAGGCUCGUAGGCUCCUCAGGAGGGGUUAUCAGGGUUUUUUUAGCUCAUGUCAGAGAGCUGGAUAGUCAUGCCAGAGAGCCCGCCUCGGUGCCAGUGGUCAAAGAGUUUUUAGAUGUGUUCCCAGACGAGCUACCAGGUUUACCACCUGCUAGGGAGAUAGAGUUCGAGAUAGAAUUGAUGCUUGGAACCAGACCAAUCUCUAUCCCUCCCUAUAGGAUGGCACCAGUAGAAUUGAAGGAGCUUAAGGAGCAGUUGCAAGAGUUGGUAGAUAGAGGAUUCAUCCGACCGAGUACCUCACCUUGGGGUGCUCCAGUGCUAUUUGUGAAAAAGAAGGAUGGAUCUCUCAGACUUUGUAUCAACUACAGGCAGUUGAACAAGGUCACUACCAAGAAUAAGUACCCGUUGCCAAGGAUCGACGAUCUAUUCGACCAACUAGCAGGAGCAGGUUGUUUCUCCAAGAUAGAUCUGAGAUCAGGGUACCAUCAGCUGAGGAUAAGGGAAGAGGAUGUACCGAAGACAGCCUUCAGGACCAGAUAUGGGCAUUUUGAGUUCCUUGUGAUGCCGUUUGGGUUAACCAACGCCCCUGCAGCAUUCAUGGAUCUCAUGAACAGGGUUUUUAGUCAGUACCUGGAUCACUUUGUUAUUGUCUUCAUAGAUGAUAUCUUAGUGUAUUCCAGGAAUGCAGAUGAGCAUGCCCAUCAUCUGAGGUUGGUUUUGCAGACCUUGAGGGAACAUGGCUUGUAUGCCAAGUUCUCUAAGUGUGAGUUCUGGCUGAGGAGCAUCUCCUUCUUGGGGCAUGUGGUGUCAGAAAAUGGAAUCGAGGUAGACCCCAAGAAAGUGGAAACUGUAGCUAACUGGCCUAGACCCACUACAGUGACGGAGAUUAAGAGCUUCUUGGGUUUGGCAGGUUACUACAGGAGGUUCGUCCAAGACUUCUCUAAAAUUGCAGUUCCCAUGACCAGACUGACUAAGAAGAACCAAAGGUUUGUGUGGACCGACCAGUGUGAAGAAAGCUUUGAGGAGCUCAAGAAGAGGUUGACGUCAGCACCGGUGUUAGCUUUGCCUAACAGUCAGGAGAAUUUCACAGUGUUCUGUGAUGCAUCCCGAGUGGGAUUGGGUUGUGUGCUAAUGUAGAAUGAAAGGGUGAUUGCUUAUGCUUCUAGGCAGCUAAAGAAGCACGAGUUGAAUUACCCUACACAUGACCUAGAGAUGGCAGCGGUAAUCUUUGCACUCAAGAUGUGGAGGCAUUACCUUUAUGGGGUAAAAUGUGAGAUCUUCACCGAUCAUAAAAGCCUGCAGUACAUCCUGAGUCAAAGAGAUUUGAACUUGAGACAGAGAAGAUGGGUAGAACUGCUCAGUGACUAUGAUUGUAAGAUCCAGUACCAUCCGGGUAAGGCGAAUGUUGUGGCAGACGCCUUAAGCCGGAAAUCACUUAGCAAUUUGUCCCAUAUUUCAGUAGAGAGGAGGCCAGUAAUGAGGGAGUUCUUCGAGCUCAUGAAUGAAGGUCUACAGUUGGAGUUGUCUGGUACAGGUGCCUUAGUUGCCCAGAUGAGAGUGGCACCCGUGUUUUUGGAGCAGGUGGCUCAGAAACAGCAUGAGGAACCAGAGUUAGUGAAGAUUGCCAGGACUGUUCAGUCAGGCAAAGAUAGUGAGUUCAGAUUCGACAGCAAGGGGAUCCUCCGCUUUGGGAGCAGACUAUGUGUACCAGAUGACGUAGGGCUAAAGGGAGACAUUAUGAGAGAGGCUCAUAAUGCCAGAUACAAUGUUCACCCUAGAGCCACCAAGAUGUAUCAAGAUCUGAAGAGAGUGUAUUGGUGGCCAGCUAUGAAGAGAGAAGUGGCACAGUUUGUGUCAGCCUGCGAAGUGUGUCAGAGGGUGAAGCUGGAACAUUAGAAGCCGGCUGGAAUGCUUAACCCACUACCUAUUCCAGAGUGGAAAUGGGAGAAUAUAGCUAUGGACUUCGUAGUGGGGUUACCAGCAGCAUCCAACAGGUUAGACUCCAUAUGGGUGAUUGUGGACAGACUGACCAAAUCUGCUCACUUCAUCCCUGUCAGGAGCAACUACUCAGUGGAUAAGUUAGCGCAGGUGUAUGUGGAUGAAGUGGUAAGGCUGCAUGGGGUUCCUGUUUCGAUAGUGUCUGAUAAAGGGCCCCAGUUCACCUCUAGAUUUUUGGCGGAGUCUGCAAAAUGCUAUGGGUACCAGGUUGGAUUUUAGUACUGCCUUCCAUCCCCAGACUGACGAGCAGUCAGAGAGGACCAUCCAGACGAUAGAAGAUAUGCUCAGAAUGUGUGUGCUAGAUUUUGGCGGUUCUUGGAGGCAGCAUCUACCCUUGGUGGAGUUUGCCUACAAUAACAGCUAUCAUGCUAGCAUAGGGAUGGCUCCAUAUGAAGCUUUAUAUGGGAGGAAGUGCAGGUCACCUGUUUGCUGAGAAGAAGUGGGGGAAAAGGCCUUGGCAGGCCCUGAGCUUGUUGAGAUCACCAGCAGGGUGGUGCCUAUUAUCAGAGAAAGGAUCAGAACUGCUGUGAGUAGGCAGAAAAGCUAUGCAGACAUCCGCAGGAGGCAGGUAGAGUUUCAGGAGGGAGAUCUGGUAUUGCUCAAAGUGUCUCCUAUGAAAGGAGUGGUUCGUUUUGGGAAGAAAGGUAAGCUAGCCCCACGAUACAUCGGACCCUUUGAAAUCUUGCAGAAGAUUGGGAAUGUGUCGUACAAGCUGGAUUUACCUACUUCAAUGGAAAGAAUCCAUCUGGUUUUCCAUGUUUCCAUGUUGAGGAAGUUCGUGUCAGAUCCGGACAAGGUUCUUAGUAAGCCUGAUGUGGAAAUCCAAGAAGAUCUCACCUAUGUUGAACAGCCAGUGCGGAUUCUUGAUACCCAGAUCAGGAAGCUGAGAAACAAGGAAAUCCCGAUGGUGAAAGUCCUUUGGAACCACCACAAUAUGGAAGAAUGCACCUGGGAGACACGGGAGUCCAUUCUCCAGCAAUACCCUUAUCUUUUCUAAGGUUAGUUUCUUGUAUGUUUCAUGUAUUUUAUGUGUAUGAUGUGUAAUAUGCCUUGCAUGUGCUAGUUGAGGAACAUUUGGGGACGAAUGUUCUUAAGGGGGGGAGAAUGUAAUACCCGGCUAGACUCCGAUAUCAGAAUUCCUACCGUCCGGUGGAAUCUCGGGAGUCGGAGACUUCUAGAAGGGUAAAACCAUGUUUUUAUAAAAUGUUUUAAUGUAAUUUAUGUUUUUAAGCAAGAAAGAAAAUGAGUUUUUGCAUGAAAUAGCAUUGGAGGAAAACUCGAGUUUGGCCGCCGAACAUGCAUGCGCUUCGGGAGUGCUUUAGGCCCCCGAAGGCAUAAGUGAGGGAAGUCCAGGUUCGGCCGCCGAACCUUAUGUUCGGCCACCGAACAUGGCAUGCAUGCGGAGGCACGUUAGGCCCCCGAAAGUGGCCUGGCCAGCCACCUAUAAAGGGGUCCCCAUGUCCGAACGGGUGAGCUUUUUCUCCCCAUUUUCGGCCAAGGUGAGUCUCCAUCGCUCUCAUGCCGAUCUUGAGUUCUUCCUUCAAAUCUUCCAUGAUUUUUAUGAGUUUUCACCUUUGUUUUGAAGAUUUUUAAGCAAAUAGCAAGUUUUGGAGCUUGGAGGUUCAAGGAACUCGAUCUCUCCCAUCUCCGAGCUAGGAUCGUUUUUCCUCUCGAUCUUCAAGAGGUAAGAACCGAUCUUGAGCUCAUUAUAUGUUUUAAACAAGUUUCAAGUUGAUUCUUGGGGCAGAAAUGCAUGCUUAGGUUAGUUGAGCUUUGUUAGGUUUUGUGUGUGUUUAUGGAUAAUGUAGGUUGCUGAGUUGCUUUUGAUGUGUUGUAGUUGGGGUUUAGGAUAGUUUGAAGCCCCUAGGAGUUUAUGUAUGUGUUUAUGCAUGUUUUGGUUGAGUUGUAUGCAUGAUUGAAGGUUUUUGGGAGGCAAAUGUGCAUAAGAGCCGAGUUUCUGCCACUUUGGAAGAAACUCAGGUUCGGCAGCCGAAGGGACUUUCGGCCGUCGAACCUGCCUGUGGAGGCAAGCUUUCGGCUGCCGAAGCCUGCCCCCGAAAGUGGACUUUCGUCUCUGGAGGGGACUUUCGGCCGCCGAAGGUGCCGCCGAACAUGCAUGAGUUUUGCCUCUAGAGAGAACCUUCGGCCGCCGAAAGUGCCGCUGAAGGUGUAUGACUUUCGGCUCUGGAGGGACUUUCGGCCGCCGAACCUGCCGCCGAAAGUGCCCUGUUCAGCCCUCCUUUGCAUGAAUUCUUUGAUUGUUUUGAGGUGUUUUAGGGGGUUUUUGGGGGAUAUUUUUAGAGUCAUGUUCUAGUAUGUUUGGUCCCUUAUUUGAGUCCACCUGUGUAGGUUUGGACCCAAGGAACCGAGGACCCCAGCAGUGAGUCAGCUGCUUCAGUUCAUUAUCAGAGUUAGCCUAAGGUGAGUAGAAUAAACCUUAUGUUUUAAAUUAAUGCAAGUUUUAGCAUGAAUCAUGCAUCACGAAUGCCAUGUGAUAUAAUAGGUUGUUGCAUUAGAAUCCACGAAUAUGUUGCACUGCAUUCUUUGUUGUGGAUGUGGGUGAAUGUUGUAUGAUCCAAUUAGUCCCUGAGGAAAGACCAGGACCCCAUUCUACGGCCUGGCACGGUAUGAAAGACCAGGACCCCAUUCUACGGCCUGGCACGGUAUGGAACGUGAAGACCAGGUGCCCAGAUAAGGCCCUGGGGCAAUGGUAAGUAAUGUUAUGAUAUGACAGGAAGACUAGGACCCCAUUGUACUGCCUGGCACGGAUAUGAUGCUGGGACUAUUUGGUGACAGGUUCACCCUUGAUGUGAUUUGUCUAUGAUAUGAUGCAUUACAUGAUGGCAUAUGUUUUAAAUGUUUUAGUAUUCUGCUCACUGGGCUCUAGUAGCUCACCCCUUUCCCUAUAUCCCCCAGGUUUGCAGGUACGGGCUAGUUCAGGGAGUCAAGAAGAGUAAAGUCUUGUGAUUUGUAAUAGUUAGAUGUGGACAUGAUGAUUUGUAAAAUGAUGUAAGGUUAUGAUCAGUCAUGUUAUGUAAUAUUGAUACUGAGGAUUAGAAUUGUGCUUGACCAUAGUAUGUUUGAAUAAUCCCAUGUAUAUACAUGAUCUAUGUUUUAUGAUGUUUAUGUUCAACCAAGCUUGAUGAUUGAUGAGAUACCCCAUUGGAGCAUGUGAUGAGACUCCAGUGUGUGGUUUUUGUUUAUGUUUAUGUGCAUGCACAGGUUGAGCUUGGAAAAAGGAAAGAAAAGGUUCUCAUGUUUAUGUUUAUGUGUGAUCAUGUAUGGGAUUUGACAGGUAUUCAGGAUGUAUGUUUGGCUUGCUACGGGUCCCGGCGACCUUAUGUCGAUCUGGAUCCUAGCACCGGUAGCGGUCCGGUUUCCGGGUCGUUACAGUUUGGGUCGCAUCUACCCUUGAUCUUCAAGAGGUAAGUUUAGAUCCUUACUUUUUCCUAUGUUUUAAGUAAGUUUUAAUAAGGGUUAAAGAUGCAUGUUAUUGUUGGAUCUAGAGUUAUAGGCUUUGAGUUGGGUUUUUGAUGAAUGUAUGCUUAUGUGAAGUUUUUGUUGUUUUUGUUGGGGCUUAAGUUAGUUUUUCUGCCCCUUAUGCAUGUUGGAGUGAGUAUGCAUGUUGUGGGAAGUUGGGUGUGAGGAUUUGAGAGUUUUGAGAGUUUUGGAGUUGAAAUGCAUGAGGCAAAAUCGGGUUCUUCCAUUCUGGAGAACCUAGGUUCGGCCGCCGAAGUAAGGUUCGGCCGCCGAACCUACAUGGGAGGCAGCCAUUUGGCGGCCUAACAUGCCCCCAAAAGUAUGCACUUCCGGAUCUGGAAGGGAGUUUCGGCCGCCGAACCCGCCCCGGAAAGUCCCUGACUUUCGAAUCUGUGGAGGACCUUCGGCCGCCGAACCUGCCCCCAAAGGACCUUGACUUUCGGAUCUGUGGAGACUUUCGGCCGUCGAACCUGCCGCCGAAAGUCCUCUGCCAGCCUUCCUUUGCUUGUUUUAUAUGCAUAUUUUGUGAUGUUUUAGAGGAUUUUUUGGGGAGUUUUUAGUCUUGUAGAGUUAUGUUUGGUCCCUCAUUUGUGUCCACCUGUGUAGGUUUGGACCCGAGAGACCGUAGAAGCCAGUAGUGAGUCAGCUGCUCCUUUGUCAGUAAAGCGUCAGCCAGAGUUGAGUAGAACUAAACUAAUUUAUCAUUUUUAAGUAAUCAAACUUUUGAACAUGUUCAUGCAUCACGAAUGCCUUGUUUAUAGGAUGUCUGUAUUAGAAUUCACGAAUAUGCUGCAUUGCAUAAUUUAUUAUUUAUGUGGAUGGAUGUUGGAUGACCCACUAGCCCUCGAGCAGGUUAUGAUAUGAUACGGAUACGGAAGACCAGGACUGCCCAUUCUACACGCCCUGGCACUAUGUAAGGGAAAGACCAGGGCUGCCCAUUCUAUGCCUCUGGCAUAGUUGGAUAUGUUAUGUUAUGUUUAAGCGAAAGUCCUGAGGAGCUCUCGUUGUGGGCCGGGCACAUUGGAUUAUGUAGAGGGUUACUAGUGACAAGUCCAUCUUAAGAUGAUUUGUUUGUGCUGUGAUGCAUUUCAUAUGAGCAUAUGUUUUUAAACUGUUUUUACUGUUCUGCUAACUAGGCUCUUGUAGCUUAUCCCUUUCCCCUAACCCCAGGUUUACAGGGUCAAGAUUAGCUCGGGAGGUCGGCUAGAGGCUAGUAUAAGUUUAUGUAAUAGAAUAGUGGUGGACAUGUACUAUGUAAUGGAUUAGAUUUGUGUUUUGCCCUAGUUUAUGUUUUGUACAUCCCUAUUUAUCAUGAACAUGCUAUUAUGUAAAAGUUUUAAAUGAUGAGUUAUGUUGAACCAAGCUUGAGAUAUAUAAUGUUGACCAUACUAGAGCAUUUGAUGAGGGCUCUAGUGUGGGUUCUAUGUAUACAGUUUAUGUUGAAUGCACAGGUCGAGCUUGGUAUAUGAAAAGUUUAAAAUGUUUAUGAAAAUGUAUGUUCAUGUAUGGGAUUUUACUAGGUACACAGGAUGCAUAGUAGGCUUGCUACGGAUUCCGGUGACCUGAAGUCGAUCUGAAUCCUAGCGCCGGUAGCUGUCCGAUUUCCGGAUCGUUACAUAAUUGCUGCUGAAUGGCAAACAAAUGUUGCUCGUCACCACGAAAGACCAUUUUGUGCCAUCAUGUAAGAUGGGUUCUACAAUUUUUCAACUUUGUCAUAAAGGAAAACAUAAGCGAGCCCCUAGUGCGUACCAUCCAAGCCUUCUACAUAAUUUUUUAGUAUUGUGGAUGUGAUAGCCACUUCGCUUCGAAGCGAAACAAAAAAGUUCAGUGACAAAGAGGAGGUUGUAAGAGCAAAAUCAAAGGUCGAUGAUUAGACUCCAACAAUAAUUCAUGAAUCAAAUAUGCCUGUGGAAAACACACUUGCCAUUUAGGCGAAACCAAAGCACAAUCUAGUCGUUGUUGAAUGGCGUAGUUAUCAAACCGCUUGUUAAACCAAGUGUAAGAAGAACCAUUCCAAGCAAGCUCCAUUAGUACACAAGAUUAAAUAAAAUCAUUAAAAGGCUUGGCCUGAGAGGGACCAAAAGCACAACCUCUUAAUUUGUCUACCUGAAAGCGAAAGAUAUUAAAAUCGCCAAUACAACACCAAGAGUUGGAGUCGGAUGACCGAAGUAGUUUCAGAUCACCUCAGAGAAGUGAUCCAUUUCCUCUGACUGGACAACCAUACACGAAAGUCAUAUACCAAAAGCAGGUUGUAUUCACAAUAUACACUCAACAAUGUAUAAAAUUCAAAUACAACUGAACCGACUCUAAUUCAACUGAAUUAUUCCACCAUAGAGACAAACAUUCAGCACGAUCCAUUGGAUCAACAAAAAUAGUAGCAGGAAACCUACAUUGAAUUAUUCCCCAAUACUAUGCAUUUAGAAGAGUCAGAUUUAACCUUUUUUUCAUUUGGGUAAAUUACUUUGUAUUUACUUAAUAAAUGCCAAAAUUAAUACACAUAUAUAUUAAUUAAUUUACUUUUAUAAUCUAACCACUUAAAUUUUAUAUUUUAAUUACGUCUCUUUAAAUGUGCCUUCACUCUUAUCUAAAAAAUAUAUUAUUUUUUUAAUUUAAUAGUUAAAAUAUGGAGAUUAAAUUAUUUAUAUUUAAACGGACCUAAUUAUUGAUUUUGAUAUAAAUUAAAAAUGAAAAAUUAUAUAAAUUUAAUGAUAUUUUAAUAUUUUUUCUGACAAUAGAAAAUUAACAAGUUGGAUGAAGGGAUUUUCAAGCAAUAGAAAAUUAACAAGUUGGAUGAAGGGAUUUUCAACUUUAAUAAACUUAAUAUAUACGAACUAAAUUUUGAGAUUUGACUUGUACAUUAAUUUACCCUUUACUAUCACUUCUGAAUUAAAAAAAAAAAAACAAAACUUAUAAUUUUAAAGAAUGAGUUAAAAGGAAAAAAAAAAUCCUAAAAGAAAAUAUAAUUUCACUGAUCAAAUAUUCAAGUAUGCAGUUGGAUUUUUCGUUUAAUGAUUAUAUUUUUUUUUCUCAACUUAAUGAAUUAUUUUAAAUAAAAACAUUAUUAAUUAAAUUUUUUUAUAGUAACACAAUAAUAAUAAUAAUAAUAAUAAUGCCAAUCAAACUAAUCUUAAAUUUAUUUUUAUAAUAAAGAAACAACACCCUUCUCAAUAUCGAUAGGUGAUUUUGAUAUUAUAUUAAAUUUAGAUCGAGUCUAAUUCAUUCAAAAUUAAUUAAAAGAAAAAAUAUUUAAAACUCUUAUAAAGGGUAAAUUACACUUUGAAUUCAAUAUAAAAAUGCUUCAAAAUGGAGUCUUUUGAUUUAUCUAUUAUAAAUUUAUUUUUUUUUAUUUUUCUUAAAAAAAGAAGAGGGCUAUAUCCAUAUAACAUUAUUAUCCUAUAAUCCUCUAAAAUUUUAUUAAAUAAAAAUUAAUAAUUAUAUUAAAAAUAUAAAUAAGGGCCAAUAUAUUUACACAACUAUAGAAAUAUAUAAAUAUCUCACUAUGUUCUUUUAACUAUAUAAAUAUAAUAACUCAAGCUCUUAAUUAGAAAAUUAUUUAAUAAAAUAAAUAAAUAAACCAAAUCUGUACAUAGUUGCAAAUAACUAAACAUUUUACUUUUGAAAAAUUAUAACAUAUAUUAUUUUUUACUAUGUAAACAGAUUUGUAUUAAAAAGUUUGGUAAUAAAACAAACUCUUACAAAUACAAAGUGACAAAUGAUCUAAAAAACCAAUAUUCUCAUAUAAACUCAACAAUCCAAUCUAGAAUCCAACAAUUCCACAAUCUACAAUCCGCUGAGGCAUAUUUUGGAAAAGACAAAAAAAAAAAAAUCAAUGAUUGUCCUCUUCAUAUUACCAAAAAUUAAAACCCUAGCACCAUCGCCCAGCCAAGCAACUUAGAAAAUGCAACAAUAAUCUCUAACAAUCAGCUCCAUCCAUUGCAUCACUAAAAUAGAAUAAAUCAGACGAACAAAGCAACCACUGAAUAAAUCUACAAAUUCAAAAAUCAUCGAAGGGCCAACGCACCAUCAACUCCAACUGUAACGACCCGGUGAUCGGACCGCUACCGGCGCUAGGAUCCAGAUCGGUUUAAGGCCACCGGGACCCGUAGCAAGCCUACUAUGCAUUUUGUAAACCUGGUAAAUCCCAUACAUGAUCAACAAUUUCCAUAAAAAUUUGAAACUUUACAUCUACCAAGCUUAACCUGUGCAUGCACACAAUCUCUGUAAACAUAAACCCCAUACUCGAGCCCUCAUCAAAUGCUCUAGUUGGGUCAUUAUUUCAUAUCUUAAGCUUGGUCAUCAACAUAUAUCAUUACAAAUCAUGUACAAAAGGGAUUAAUCAGUUCUAAGGCCAAGCACAACUCUAUCAUCAUUAUACAUUACAUGACCUUACAUCAUUUUACAUUACAUGUCCACUACCACUAUUACAUAAGCUUUUCUCCUGAAGCUAUCCCAUGCUAUCUCUGGCCAUGCAACUUGGGGGUUAAAGAGAGGAGUGAGCUACUAGAGCCCAGUGAGUAGAGUACCAAGAAAAUCAAUAAAACAUGCCUCCAUGAAAUGCAUCACAUCACAAACAAGUCACAACAAGGAUGAACUUGUCACCAAUAGUCCUCACACAUGCCAUAGUGCCAGGGCGUAGCAUGGGCUCCUAGUCUUUCUCAUAACAUAAUAAUAACAUAACAUGACAUUUCAUCAUGCCAGUGGCGUAGAAUGGGCCUCUGGUGGUCUUUCUCUUACAUGGUGCCAGGGCGUAGCAUGGGCCUCUGGACUUCUCAUAUAUCAUGCCAGGGCGUAGAAUGGGCCCUGGACUUCCCUAAAGGACUAAAGGAUCAUUCAACAUCCAGCCACAUUAAUAACAUAUAAUGCAAUGCAACAUAUUCGUGAGUUCUAAUGCAAUACAACCUCAUAUAUCCAUGGCAUUUAUGAUGCAUGAGUCAUGCUAAAACCUUUCAUUUAAUUUAAAACAUAGUUCAGUUCUACUCACCUCUAGUAGACGCUGGAAUACCGUUGAACUAGCUAACACUGAGGGCCUCCUUAGUUCCUCGGGUCCGAACCUACACAGGUAGACUCAAAUGAGGUACCGACAUACUCUAGCAUAACUCUAAACAUUCCCCCCAAAACCCCCUAAAACAUCAUAAACAUGCAUGGAAAAACAAGCAAAGGAAGGCUGGAUAGGGGACUUUCGGAGGCAGGUUUGGCGGCCGAAGGUCCCUCCAGAGCCGAAAGUCAGGCACUUUCAGAGGCAGGUUCGGCAGCCGAAAGUCCUUUCCAGAGACGAAAGUCACAACCUUCGGCGGCAUGUUCGGUGGCCGAAACUCCACUCUAGAGCCGAAAGUCCAAGCUUUCGGGGGCGGGUUUAGGCGGCCAAAACAACCUCCUUAAGGGGUUCGGCAGCCGAACCUUGCUUCGACAGCCGAACCUGAGUUCUCCAAGAAGGCAGAACUCGAUCCAACCUUAAGUCUCCAGCCUCCAAAACCUCUCCAAAGCAUGCAUAACUCACCAACAAGCUCUCAAACACAUGCAUAUACCCUUCUCCAUGCAUAUAGGGGCUUUAGAACUAGCUUAAACCCCAAAAACAACACAAAUACACACAUAUGGCUUAUGAUCAACAUAAACCCUACCCACGCAAACCAUGCAAAACCCAUGCAAAAACCUCACUUAAACCCUUCAAACACCCUUAAAACAGUAGAAAAGGUGAGGAUCCAUGCUUACCUCUUGAAGAUCAAGAGGAUUGAUGGUCUUAACUUGGAGAUGCAAGGGAAAAACAGAUCUAGAACCUCCAAGCCUCACAACUUAGCUUCUUUGCUCAAAAAAUUUAAAAGCAACAUGAAAACAACUUAAAACUUGCUCCACGUUAAAGAAAACUAAGAAAUCAACCAAAGGAGGUCAAGAACUCACUUAUACCCGAAAAGAGAGAGAAACCUCACCUCAAAUCCGGAUAAGGGACCCUUUUAUAGGUGGCUGGUCAACCAUCUUCAGCAGCCAAAGCUGCCUCCACAGCUUCACCACUUUCGAAAGCCGAACUUGGGCUUCGGUGGCAACGAAAGUGUGCCAUCUUCGGCGGCCGAAAGUGAGGUUCGGCGACCGAACCUUACAUUUCCCUCCUUGGUCUUUUCUUUUUAAAACUCCAAGUUUUCUUUCUCACAUCACUAAACACAUGUAAAAACAUUUUGAAAAACCUUUCUUUUACCCUUCUAGAUAGCUCUGACAUCCUUGAAUUUCGGAUUCCAACGGAGAUUCCGCCGGAAAGUAGAAAUUCUGACGCCGGGGUUUAGCCGGGUAUUACACCAACCUAGCAGUCAGUGCCAUCCAUCUCAACACCAAAACUGAGUGAAUCAAAUGAAACGAAGUGAGCACCAAACAGAACCACAAAUCCAAAACCAUACAAGGGCUGAUGCAAAACUUCCACUUCAAGAGAAAGGGUCAUCGCUAACGGCUACUAAAAAGAUAACCAGCCUAUGGUGCUUUCAAUAGUCAUGAAGCUACUGAAUGGAAUUGAGAGACUCCGGCGCCAAAUAAUCAUCGGUCAAUAUCCUCCCAAAUUAAAAUAUCAAAACCAUCAAAUAGAAAAAACCAAAAUUCGACAAAAAAAAAAUAGAAAUAGCAAAACAAAAACAAAACUACACAAGUUGAUGACCACAAACUCCACAUCCAAAGGCAUAGAAGCUCGAUGUGUGGCACCAAUAUUGGGUUUUAAUCAGAUUGAAUGUAGUGAAAGAAAUAGAAAAAUAAAAUUUUUCACAAACGUGGAUCACGUUUAAAUAAAAAAAUCAAUAAUAUUUAAAGAAAAAAUAAAUACCUUUUGUUUUCCUUGCAGCAAACUAUGAAAUCGUUUAUUUUGAUUGGAUUGUCGCAAACCACAAACCAUCCAAGUGUUCGAUCUUUAAUAAUAUCCACACAUAAUGACAAUCGAAAAACUUUAGAACCGUUCUAAGGGUUUGAGAAGGAGAGAUAUGUUAGUGUAUAUGCCCUAGGCCAUUAUCUUGUACCUUUUUGUAUGUCAUUUUUGUUAUAAAUAAAAGAGGUUUUUAUCAUUAUUAUUUGUUUGCAUGUUACAUAAUAAUGAUUAUCAUCCCUGGUUACUUAUUAUUAUGUUGAUAAUAAUAAAAUAUAACUAGUAUGAUUAUUGAUUGAUAAUNNNNNNNNNNNNNNNNNNNNNNNNNNNNNNNNNNNNNNNNNNNNNNNNNNNNNNNNNNNNNNNNNNNNNNNNNNNNNNNNNNNNNNNNNNNNNNNNNNNNNNNNNNNNNNNNNNNNNNNNNNNNNNNNNNNNNNNNNNNNNNNNNNNNNNNNNNNNNNNNNNNNNNNNNNNNNNNNNNNNNNNNNNNNNNNNNNNNNNNNNNNNNNNNNNNNNNNNNNNNNNNNNNNNNNNNNNNNNNNNNNNNNNNNNNNNNNNNNNNNNNNNNNNNNNNNNNNNNNNNNNNNNNNNNNNNNNNNNNNNNNNNNNNNNNNNNNNNNNNNNNNNNNNNNNNNNNNNNNNNNNNNNNNNNNNNNNNNNNNNNNNNNNNNNNNNNNNNNNNNNNNNNNNNNNNNNNNNNNNNNNNNNNNNNNNNNNNNNNNNNNNNNNNNNNNNNNNNNNNNNNNNNNNNNNNNNNNNNNNNNNNNNNNNNNNNNNNNNNNNNNNNNNNNNNNNNNNNNNNNNNNNNNNNNNNNNNNNNNNNNNNNNNNNNNNNNNNNNNNNNNNNNNNNNNNNNNNNNNNNNNNNNNNNNNNNNNNNNNNNNNNNNNNNNNNNNNNNNNNNNNNNNNNNNNNNNNNNNNNNNNNNNNNNNNNNNNNNNNNNNNNNNNNNNNNNNNNNNNNNNNNNNNNNNNNNNNNNNNNNNNNNNNNNNNNNNNNNNNNNNNNNNNNNNNNNNNNNNNNNNNNNNNNNNNNNNNNNNNNNNNNNNNNNNNNNNNNNNNNNNNNNNNNNNNNNNNNNNNNNNNNNNNNNNNNNNNNNNNNNNNNNNNNNNNNNNNNNNNNNNNNNNNNNNNNNNNNNNNNNNNNNNNNNNNNNNNNNNNNNNNNNNNNNNNNNNNNNNNNNNNNNNNNNNNNNNNNNNNNNNNNNNNNNNNNNNNNNNNNNNNNNNNNNNNNNNNNNNNNNNNNNNNNNNNNNNNNNNNNNNNNNNNNNNNNNNNNNNNNNNNNNNNNNNNNNNNNNNNNNNNNNNNNNNNNNNNNNNNNNNNNNNNNNNNNNNNNNNNNNNNNNNNNNNNNNNNNNNNNNNNNNNNNNNNNNNNNNNNNNNNNNNNNNNNNNNNNNNNNNNNNNNNNNNNNNNNNNNNNNNNNNNNNNNNNNNNNNNNNNNNNNNNNNNNNNNNNNNNNNNNNNNNNNNNNNNNNNNNNNNNNNNNNNNNNNNNNNNNNNNNNNNNNNNNNNNNNNNNNNNNNNNNNNNNNNNNNNNNNNNNNNNNNNNNNNNNNNNNNNNNNNNNNNNNNNNNNNNNNNNNNNNNNNNNNNNNNNNNNNNNNNNNNNNNNNNNNNNNNNNNNNNNNNNNNNNNNNNNNNNNNNNNNNNNNNNNNNNNNNNNNNNNNNNNNNNNNNNNNNNNNNNNNNNNNNNNNNNNNNNNNNNNNNNNNNNNNNNNNNNNNNNNNNNNNNNNNNNNNNNNNNNNNNNNNNNNNNNNNNNNNNNNNNNNNNNNNNNNNNNNNNNNNNNNNNNNNNNNNNNNNNNNNNNNNNNNNNNNNNNNNNNNNNNNNNNNNNNNNNNNNNNNNNNNNNNNNNNNNNNNNNNNNNNNNNNNNNNNNNNNNNNNNNNNNNNNNNNNNNNNNNNNNNNNNNNNNNNNNNNNNNNNNNNNNNNNNNNNNNNNNNNNNNNNNNNNNNNNNNNNNNNNNNNNNNNNNNNNNNNNNNNNNNNNNNNNNNNNNNNNNNNNNNNNNNNNNNNNNNNNNNNNNNNNNNNNNNNNNNNNNNNNNNNNNNNNNNNNNNNNNNNNNNNNNNNNNNNNNNNNNNNNNNNNNNNNNNNNNNNNNNNNNNNNNNNNNNNNNNNNNNNNNNNNNNNNNNNNNNNNNNNNNNNNNNNNNNNNNNNNNNNNNNNNNNNNNNNNNNNNNNNNNNNNNNNNNNNNNNNNNNNNNNNNNNNNNNNNNNNNNNNNNNNNNNNNNNNNNNNNNNNNNNNNNNNNNNNNNNNNNNNNNNNNNNNNNNNNNNNNNNNNNNNNNNNNNNNNNNNNNNNNNNNNNNNNNNNNNNNNNNNNNNNNNNNNNNNNNNNNNNNNNNNNNNNNNNNNNNNNNNNNNNNNNNNNNNNNNNNNNNNNNNNNNNNNNNNNNNNNNNNNNNNNNNNNNNNNNNNNNNNNNNNNNNNNNNNNNNNNNNNNNNNNNNNNNNNNNNNNNNNNNNNNNNNNNNNNNNNNNNNNNNNNNNNNNNNNNNNNNNNNNNNNNNNNNNNNNNNNNNNNNNNNNNNNNNNNNNNNNNNNNNNNNNNNNNNNNNNNNNNNNNNNNNNNNNNNNNNNNNNNNNNNNNNNNNNNNNNNNNNNNNNNNNNNNNNNNNNNNNNNNNNNNNNNNNNNNNNNNNNNNNNNNNNNNNNNNNNNNNNNNNNNNNNNNNNNNNNNNNNNNNNNNNNNNNNNNNNNNNNNNNNNNNNNNNNNNNNNNNNNNNNNNNNNNNNNNNNNNNNNNNNNNNNNNNNNNNNNNNNNNNNNNNNNNNNNNNNNNNNNNNNNNNNNNNNNNNNNNNNNNNNNNNNNNNNNNNNNNNNNNNNNNNNNNNNNNNNNNNNNNNNNNNNNNNNNNNNNNNNNNNNNNNNNNNNNNNNNNNNNNNNNNNNNNNNNNNNNNNNNNNNNNNNNNNNNNNNNNNNNNNNNNNNNNNNNNNNNNNNNNNNNNNNNNNNNNNNNNNNNNNNNNNNNNNNNNNNNNNNNNNNNNNNNNNNNNNNNNNNNNNNNNNNNNNNNNNNNNNNNNNNNNNNNNNNNNNNNNNNNNNNNNNNNNNNNNNNNNNNNNNNNNNNNNNNNNNNNNNNNNNNNNNNNNNNNNNNNNNNNNNNNNNNNNNNNNNNNNNNNNNNNNNNNNNNNNNNNNNNNNNNNNNNNNNNNNNNNNNNNNNNNNNNNNNNNNNNNNNNNNNNNNNNNNNNNNNNNNNNNNNNNNNNNNNNNNNNNNNNNNNNNNNNNNNNNNNNNNNNNNNNNNNNNNNNNNNNNNNNNNNNNNNNNNNNNNNNNNNNNNNNNNNNNNNNNNNNNNNNNNNNNNNNNNNNNNNNNNNNNNNNNNNNNNNNNNNNNNNNNNNNNNNNNNNNNNNNNNNNNNNNNNNNNNNNNNNNNNNNNNNNNNNNNNNNNNNNNNNNNNNNNNNNNNNNNNNNNNNNNNNNNNNNNNNNNNNNNNNNNNNNNNNNNNNNNNNNNNNNNNNNNNNNNNNNNNNNNNNNNNNNNNNNNNNNNNNNNNNNNNNNNNNNNNNNNNNNNNNNNNNNNNNNNNNNNNNNNNNNNNNNNNNNNNNNNNNNNNNNNNNNNNNNNNNNNNNNNNNNNNNNNNNNNNNNNNNNNNNNNNNNNNNNNNNNNNNNNNNNNNNNNNNNNNNNNNNNNNNNNNNNNNNNNNNNNNNNNNNNNNNNNNNNNNNNNNNNNNNNNNNNNNNNNNNNNNNNNNNNNNNNNNNNNNNNNNNNNNNNNNNNNNNNNNNNNNNNNNNNNNNNNNNNNNNNNNNNNNNNNNNNNNNNNNNNNNNNNNNNNNNNNNNNNNNNNNNNNNNNNNNNNNNNNNNNNNNNNNNNNNNNNNNNNNNNNNNNNNNNNNNNNNNNNNNNNNNNNNNNNNNNNNNNNNNNNNNNNNNNNNNNNNNNNNNNNNNNNNNNNNNNNNNNNNNNNNNNNNNNNNNNNNNNNNNNNNNNNNNNNNNNNNNNNNNNNNNNNNNNNNNNNNNNNNNNNNNNNNNNNNNNNNNNNNNNNNNNNNNNNNNNNNNNNNNNNNNNNNNNNNNNNNNNNNNNNNNNNNNNNNNNNNNNNNNNNNACCUCACCAUGUCACUACUGAAGAACAGCUGGCUGACUUAUUCACCAAGGCCCUACCAGCCUCCCGCCAUAGCACAUUAACCAGCAAGUUGAAUCUUCUGCCUCUCCCAGCUUCAACUUGAGGAGGGGGUGUUAAAAGCUAUGCUAUGUCGUUUUACUGGUUGUAAUUGAUUGGUUAUCUAAACUACGUCGUUUUGUUUAGGUUGAGUUAUUUGUAUGCACAUGUUGUGCGUGUGAUUCAAUUUGGUAUAAACAGGAAGCGAUGCUUCCAGAACUGACAUAACGUCAUUUUCUGAUUUUAAAUAAAAGUUCUGAUUUUCUUCCUCUCUCUCUUCUGUUUCUGCACAUGAUCAACCAACAAAAAUUGAAACUAAAAUUAUUUCUUUAACCAGAUGUUUUUCAUCUUGAUUUUUUCUCUUCAAUUUAAUUAUUUCUUUUUUAAAUUGAUUUUAUUUAUUUCUCUAUAUUCAAAACCUCCCCCCAUUUUAUUUUAUUUUAUUUUAUUUCUUAUUCAUUCAAUAUAAUUAAUUUACUUACCAGUCUUUGUGGGAUCGAUUCUGCUUACCAUUAUCACAAGUUUUGUUUUAAAGCAGGAAUUUAUUUUUAGUGGUUUAGACGCCCAUCAAAUUUUGGCACGUUGUUGGGGACUAGUUCUAAAUUGUUUUAUUAAUUCUUUUUGAAUGACACGUUCUAAUCCUAUAGGCAAACUCGAAUUCAAUCUAGAAAUUGAGAAAACCAUAAGAAAACUGAGAAAAGAGGCCAAGCAGCGGAACAAAUAUCUCUCAUCGUCUAGCAAUCAGGUGCAACUCGCUGUUGAAGAACAAGUUAUUAUUGAAGCACAGGUUGCUGCCGUUGAAGAGGAGAUCGCAAUUGAAUAACAGGUUGCUAUCGCGAACAGGUCGUGAGCAUAUAAGAAACAACAUCUGACACGAACGAUACUUUUGGUGAAUCUAACGUGGAAGAGAAAAUGGUUGAAGAACAAGCAAUAUAGGAUGUUGACAAUGUGGAUAACUCUCAACCCCGCUGCAUCGUCUAUCCUGCACUAAAUGCAUAACUUGAACUAAAGUUAGAAUUAAUUCAUCUCCUAUAAAUUUGUCAAGAACACUAAUUUCUAGCACACAAAAUUUAAUUAGAUUAACUCAAUAAAAAAUAUAAUCCUCUGUUACACUUUAAUCAUUUAAACUUGACUCUGAUAUCAUUGUUGGAUUUCAAUCGAAUUGAAUGCAGUGGAAGAAAUGGAAAAAUAAAACUUUUCACCAACAUGGAUCACGUUAAAAUGAAGAAAAUAAUAAUAUUUAAAGAGAAAAUAAAUAUCUUUUAUUUUUCUUACAGCAAAAUACGAAAUCAUUCGUUUUAGUUGGGUUGUCGCAAACCACAAACCGCCUAAACGUCCGGUCUCUAGUGAUAUUCACACAAAAUAACAAUAAAAAAACCUUAGAACUGUUCUAAGUGUUUGAGGAGAAGAGAGGUUUUGAGUACAAGUUCUCUACCUUUCUUUAGAAUUUCAGUAUAAUAAUAUAUAUUUAUUUAUUUAACUAAAUAAAUAAAUAAAUUAUAAUUAUGAUCACUUUAUACACUUAUUCAUAAAAUAAGCAGCUAUAUAUUAGUUAUAGAUAUCUCAUAUAUCUCAAACUAUAAAAUCAGUUGCUUCAUCUGAAAGAAAAUGACGUAAUAUAUACUAGUAUCAACAGUUGUAAUAAUUAUUCAAUUAUGAUAAGAAUAUCAACAAAGAAUAGUUGGAGACAUUACUUAAAUGUAAUAAAAAUCUCACAAUUAUAACCAUAUUAUAAUUUUCUUUACACAAUAAUAUAGUUUUAUAAAUUUUAUUUUUAUUCGAGAUUCAAUUAAAAUAAUACUAAAAAUAAAUAAUAGUCUUUGUAUAAUAUAUUUAAAUAUUUAAAAUAGAUAAAAAAUAAUAUUCAAUUACAAUCAAUAUAUUAGCUAUAGGUCAUAUUACUAACAAUCAAGUUAAAAUAAUUGCAAGUCAUUUCAUCUUUUCUCUUUUCGCUCUAUUUUUUUAGUAUCAAGAAUAUUAAGAAAAACUCUCCUACAAAGAAAAUAGUGUGUAUAUACAAAAUCUCCUCUUAUUUUGUUAUUAAAUAAUAAUAAUAAUAAUAAUAAUAAUAAUAAAAAUUAUUAUAUAAUCUUUAUAUUAUAAAAAAAUUUAUUAAUUAAUUUGUUAAUUUUAAAAGAUAAAUUAUUUUUUUAAAAAUUUAUUAUUUAAUUUAUUAUUAAUUUUAAUAAUUAAUUAUUAUAUAAAAAUUUAAAAUAUGUUCUAUACAGAAAUUUAAAUAAUAUAUAUUUUUAUAAAAUUAAUAAAAAUUUAACCACUAAAAUUAACAAAAUUUCUGAUUAAGGAUUUUUAAAAUUUUAUGCACGUUUCUAAAAAUCAACUAAAACUAAUGAAUUUUUAAUAAUAAAGGACUAAACACUGUAUUUUUUCACCGAUAAAAAUAAAAAUAAAAGAAUUAGUUGGGGCCCAGACCAUCCAUGAAGUGCAUUGAUUGGGAGUAGUUGAGUUGGCGGCAUGUCUUGGCAGUCCCACUGUUUUCUCAUGUGCGUUCGUUCUCGAAACCAAAUUAAAACAAUUCAAAAAGUUAAACCAACCCAUCCGCCACACAACCAACGAAAGUCAAAAUAUCCUCAAGGGAUUAAGGGUUCACACCUGCCAUCUCUCUCUCUCUCUCUCUCUUAUUUACUUUUAUUUAUUUAUUUUUUAUAUUCAACAAAUAAUAUUGCAUAGUGGUGAAGUGAUGAAAAAGAUGGCUAUCAGUAUCAGGUUCAUAAUCUAUUUCAUCAUCAAUAAUUUCUGCUGCAUUCCUAACGGUGACCUGGUCAGACUAAUACCAAAUACAAAGCCACCAAUUUCUAGUUUUUCUUCCUCUGUUUAUCUUCAAGUCUUCUACCAGGCUACCAUUGGUGUGUUUUUCUCUCUACCCAUUUAUUGAUUCUUUUGUUUGCAUGCGGUUGGAGGGUUUUGCUUGCUCUUUCUUUGUUGGUAUAUAUAUGGGCUUUGUUUAAUUUUUAUUAUUGAAUGUCCGUUGUUUGUUUUUUGUGAGUAGGAAGAACGUUUGGACAAUUUUUAAGGAUUUUUAGUUUUUGGGUAAACAGGAGAUGAUUCAGAAUUCUGGUGUUUUUUCCCUUCUUGGGAUGCCCAUAUCAAGAGUUUCCACUCUUGGAGCUGUUUUGCUUAUGUGGCUGUGUUGGUCUCCACUCCUCAUUGAAGCACAAGAUGGCAUUACUGAUCCUUUAGAAGGUCAUUUUGCUUGAACUUCUGGUCUUUUCUUCUAUUUCCCUUUCUUUUGGUUUAAAGAAAGAGCUUCCCUAAAUCUUCUCUGAAUACUCUGCUGAUAAGUUUUAUCCUGACAAUUAUAAUCUUAUGAAUGCUUAGGAUUAAUAGAUGUGAUGUAAAAGUGCUUGUUACAUCAAGUUCUUAAUCAGACACUCAGAUCAAUUGUAUUAAUGUUACAGUAUUUUAAAAAAUAAGUAUUUAUGUUCUAAUUAAAUGAUUACAUAUGAUAAAAGAUUAAAUUCUGUCAGUACCAAGAUUUAUUUUUAGUGGAACAGUAGGACUAUUGAUUAUAUUAUUUAUUGGACUAUCUUGUAAACAUGGUGUCUUUGGUUUAGCGUUAAUUUCUUAUAAAAGAAAUGUGAAAAGAAAUGAGGAAGAUCUUAUUAUUUCUUCAAUAAUGUUUACUUGGUCAAGCAAAUGUAAUAAUUUAAAUAUUAUAUAUGCUUAAAUAUGCAGUGAGUGCACUGCGUGAUAUCAAGAGCAGUUUGAUUGAUAUCAACAAAAAUUUGAGCAAUUGGAAUCGUGGGGAUCCCUGCACAUCAAAUUGGACUGGAGUUUUGUGCUUCAAUACAACAAUGGAUGAUGGCUAUCUUCAUGUUAGAGAACUGUAUGAGCUUUUCCUUGCAUGAGCUCUUUAAGUUGCAUUUUUCUUUCAGUUACAGUGAAUUAUAUUUUAGUUUGUAGCAAGGAACAAAAUUUUUCAGUUCUGUUUUUUUCAGUUUCUUUAAUAUUCAACGUAAUCAUCCUUCAACGGUAGAACCUAUAUGCUGAAUAUUGGCCAAUUUUUUAAAAUAGAUCAUCAAAUUCUAAUUAAUCAGAGGAUCUAUAAUAACUUUUUUUUUUUGCUGAUUACUGCUUUAAUGUUGCUUUAAAAGUUGACUGCUUCUUAUUGACAAGAUUAUGUAUCAGCUGUGUUCUACUCACAACUGUCAAAACUUUGAAAAUUAGAUCUAGUUUUAGGUACAUUUGCCUACAAACAGAAUGGAGGUUUCUUCAAGGCCUUUUUUUCAAUUAGAAAAUAGCAAGUAUAUAUUAUUUCCUUUAUUUUUUGUUUUUUUGGCAGGCAACUACUUAAUAUGAAUCUCUCUGGAACUUUAUCACCAUCACUUGGCCGCUUAUCCUAUAUGAAAAUAUUGUAAGACAGAUUACUUUCUUUACUGUGAAAUUCUCUACCAGAAUUGUUAUUUUUAUCUCUCUCUCUCCCCCCUGAUGAUAACCAUUCUCUUUUGCUAUUUUGAAGGGAUUUUAUGUGGAACAAUAUAAGUGGGGGGAUACCAAAGGAGAUAGGAGACAUCAAAUCUUUGGAACUCUUGUAAGUUAAAGUACUAUUUUCUUAUCUAACACAUAAUGCAAAUAUGCUCAUCAACUUAAAUGCUGAAAAGUUUUUUAGUCUUAAAUUUUGCCACUUUUUUUUUUUUAAUUCUCGUUGAUUUAAUAUUGAUGAAGCCACAAAUCUGAACAUAGUUAUUUUAUUGUUGCAUUACUGUGCUGUAACGCAUAUAUUAAUUUCUUAUUCUAUGAUACUUAUGCUUUCAGGCUUCUGAAUGGAAACCAAUUAACAGGUCCCCUGCCUGAAGAGCUUGGCAAUCUUCCAAACUUGGACAGAAUACAGAUUGAUCAGAACCAUAUAUCAGGAUUCCUCCCUGUGUCAUUUGCAAACUUAAACAAAACAAAACACUUGUGAGAGUUCUCUGAUGCUAUUUAGCCUAAAAACUAGUACUGGUAUACUUGAUUCUUUUACCAACUUUUCACUUGAUUUGUGCAGUCACAUGAAUAACAAUUCAAUUAGUGGCCAAAUCCCACCAGAACUGUCGAGAUUACCAAAUCUUGUUCACUUGUAAGUUGGAAAUUGCCUAGUCUCAUGUGAGAAGUGUGUCAUUUUUUUACAGCUAUAACAGGGUCUGUGAACAUCUUUGGUUCAGUUAAAUGCUAGCUUUUAUUGUUCCAGCCUCUUACUUCGCUCAUUUGUUGUUAAUUUAUUUGCAGCCUUCUAGAUAACAACAACUUAUCUGGAUAUCUUCCACCAGAGCUUUCUGAAUUGCCGAAGUUAUUAAUACUGUAUGGUUUCUCUACUUCCCUAUAGAUGAAGCAGGAAUUCAUGUUUUCUUAUGUCAGUUCCUCUAUAAUAGAUCUUAUGUUUGUAGCUUAUGUGCUAACUAUUUUAUGUUGCCUUGAUUUCUUUUCUGCUUUUUCAGUCAACUUGAUAACAACAACUUUGACGGGGCAUCAAUUCCAGAUUCAUAUGGCAACAUGACUAAACUAUUGAAAUUGUAAGUUCCAAAUGCAAUCUGUUAUUUGGAAGUACUUUUACGAGCCUAGGAUGCGGAGCAAUUUGCUAGCACCUAUAUAUUAAUUAUGAAUGAGAUUAACUCUUCAGGUCACUGGACCAUUGUUAAAAUGUCAAAUCUCAAAUUAUAAAGCUUCAUUGUCAUGCUUGAAUUGAUUAACACACAGCAUGAGACCUAUAAACAUAAUGCAUGGGAUGGCUUCAUUAUCAAGCUUAGGAUUUUGAAUUGAUUGUAUUUUUCUACCAUAGGAUGUAUUAUGAGGGCCUCCCCAUAAUUUGAGGCUUUGAGCCUUUGGAUUGAUGGGUUCUCCAAUGUGGCAUCAAAGCCGCUUCACUUUAUAGUCUGUUCAGUUUAUGGCAACUCAUUUCUUAAUUCUUAUCUUCUUAGUUAAAAUUUUAGUGCACAGCCAUAGGGGUCUAAGUAAACAUGUGUCUCAUUCAGUGAAUAACUCAUGCACAAGAUUGUUAGUAGCUCCUUUUUUUUAUCUAUAAAGUUAGACGAAAGGAAUAUAUUUUUAGGUUCCUUUGAUAAACAAACAAAAAUUUGCACAAUGAAGCCCAAUUAUGUUCAUGAACACGCACAUUUAUAUUUGCUUUACAUCUAGUUUAAAGCUUGAUAUGGUGCUUUUUUCCAAAAGGGUGCAUGUGGGAAAAAUAUUUCCAGAAAAAGCAAGUUAAGAUUAUUUCUCCAGUAAGGGUGAAUUUGACCAGCCAGCAGUCAAGUUGUGAUUCAAAACACAACAUAGUACGUGGACAAAAUUUUACACUCACCACUUGAG